RNAcentral lists this long non-coding RNA (132292 nucleotides) under Populus tremula. Its description in RNAcentral is "long non-coding RNA (PTRE_LNC001141)". The stretch from base 46359 to 46447 matches the Rfam family "MIR478 microRNA precursor family". The record is from RNAcentral. Lineage: Eukaryota; Viridiplantae; Streptophyta; Magnoliopsida; Malpighiales; Salicaceae.
GCGACCCUUUUGCUUUGAUGGCCAUAAAUGGAUCUUCCUCAUCACAAAGCGUUGCCAAUCCAAAGUCAGACAACUUGGCCGUAAGAGAGUUAUCAAGCAUAAUAUUACUAGGUUUUUAUGUUUCCAUGAACAAUCUUGAACCUUUUCUCUUCAUGUAAAUACUUCAAACCUCUUGCUAUUCCCCGACAGAUAUCAAAUCUAGUUUUCCAAUCGAGUUUUGUCGUGGAAUUUGGUUCUACAAAUCAAGAUUAUUGAUAUUAAGUUAUUGAUAUUUGCAAGUACACUAUCCUUGUACUAACAGAAGAUUCAAAUAUACAAUUAGAAGCUCUCACAAACAUUAAGUAACGGAAUUCUAUUACUACUGUACGUGUUUUAGUUCUCAACAAUUAUAUGAAUUUCACAAGGCAAUGCAUUAGGUGAAAAUUAAGAUAAAACUUGAGAACCGAAAGAGAUGGCAGUAUUACCGAACAACGCAUGGUGAAGGGAGCCUUUAUGCAUAUAGUCAUAUACUAGCAGAUGCAGGUCUUUAAUAGAAUAGCCAUCCAACAAUUGAACAAGAUUCUCAUGAUGCAAAGAUUUCAGUUGAAGAUUUCCCUUUGUAAUUCAUCUUUUCCUUGUUGCUUUGAUUGAGGAGAAAUCUUCUUCACUGCUAAUUUUAUCUCGUUCGGCAAUUCAGCCUGUAUACACGUGAAAUCAAUUUACCAGAACUCUGAAAGAAAAAAGUGCAUGUUGAGGAACAAAUGUUUCAGAAAAGAAAAUCUGACCUUGUAUACUAUUCCAAAGCGUCCCCUUCCAAUCUCCAUUUUGGGGCUAAAUUUUCGAGUAGCAUCGAUUAUUUGUUUGAGGGUGAAAUAUAUUCCAUCUCUUUUUACCUCAAUAGUUAUUUCUAUUUGAAGAAAAAAUCAAAGUAAGAAUUCUUAAGGUUGUGUGGUGCAUAAUGAUCUUAGAUUAGCAUGGAGAGGUACCAUCCAACUCGCUUUUCCGCAGCCAGCCCAUUUUCCACAUGAAAGCCAACAGAAGUAGAGGAGCAAAUACUGAACCUGCAGUAAUCCCUGCAAUUUGUGAAGGAGAUAGUUUCUUGCCGCCAACUUUGAAGUCUGAAUACAAAUAGUGGAAGACAAAAGAAAAAAUUAUUUAUCCAGAUAAAGUGUAAUAGAAAUCUUUGCUCAACAAAAUUAAGAGAAUGCAAUCUUUACUUGCAGUUACGGAAAUGCCUGCACAAGGGGUCCAUUUAGAGACAGUGCAGCAGGUGAAUAGGAAAAACCUGGCACCGGAAAGAUCCUUUGCCAGCCCAGAAAAAAUGGAUAGUCAAUAGAUGAUCAUCUCCUACAUAUGCCGUGAAAUUUUGAGUCGUAUUUGAAACACUGCCGCGUUUUCUUUAAUGUUGAAGUCUUUUAGUUCUCUCUUCCCCUAUAUCAAAAAUGGAUGUAAUGUUGAAUGGUGGAAACUUUUGAAAGAAGCUGCAGAAAAUAUAGCGGUUACCUGUAUAUAUACAUCAAAAACACGUUUCCCUAAAUUCGAGUAAUCUUCAUCACUUUUGUAAACAGUUUCAGCGAAGUAAAGCUUGACAGUGUAAUUUCCUUCAAAUAAACAGAAGCCGUAAUAUGUUAGAGAAAGAGGGCAGAGGCGACUUGAGUUGUAUAACGUGUCCAGCAGAAUCACAAUCUCCACAUUCCACGUUUUUUAUGUAAUCACUGGAAUCAUAAGUCUCCGAACCAAAGUCUCCAGAACAAGAAUAAGCCCAAUUUUCUUUUGGGGGUUUAUAGUAAUUUGUUGCUGUACUGUCUGCUUCAAACUCUUUCCCAUAAAAAACUGUGCCUCCUCCUCCACAAUUUAUAUAUAAGGAAUCGUCUGCAAAAAAUGAUAAUCAGUACAGAAAAUCUGUCCUGCGCAAAAUUCAGAGCUUCUCAAUAGAACUUACACUUUGGGUUUUCCCCGACAUUUAUCUGUCAAAUCACGUAUAGAAUUCCUAGAAAUAGCAAACAACAUUUGUAAGAAAUAGCUCAGGAUUAUUUGUUCUAAAUUAAUUUCACCAUACGGAGGAUAUUACCAUACCUGUUUGGUUCACUGCUUGAGUAGGAACAACAUGCAAGCAGUUGGUGCACAUGGUACAAAAUGAUCAGAAGUUGGAAUUUCAUAGACAAUAAUUUUCUUGCAAGUGAAAAAAAAGGAAGAAGAAAAUGAAGUUGCCGUUAUUACAUGUUCAGCUUUCGUUCUCCUUUCUUCGGACCAUCACGUCGAAUUGUAAAAUUAUUAUAUGACAAGUCCCUGCAACGUUAUUGUUUACAUAUCAAGAUUUUAUUGAGGAAAUCUACAAAAGGGAAAACAACCCAUCUGAGCAAAGAGCACAAAGCCAUGACAUACGCCUUAUCUUCAAUGGUAUGAGGAAGCCAGGAAGGUACUGUGCCAUUAAGCAUAUUUCCUGUAAGAAACCUAAACAAAACCAACCAGAAUGAAAACCAUAUAUAUAUCCCAUGUACUUUUUAACAGAGUGGCAGAACGAACUUAUUAUAAGACAUCGAGUUCAAGGAAUCUCUUUUGCAUACAUCUUACUUAAAUUCAGCUUUUUCAUGGAAUAUGGUAUUCCACCAGUUAAGCUAUUAAAGCUCAAGUCUCUGCAGGAUCAAAAAAAUGAAAGCAAACGUUAUCAUACAUAUUUGAUAUAUAGUUGUGCUAUGGUAAAUUAUUGCAUAGUUGAUUCUGUAAACACAUAGUCAACACUUCUAUGCAUGGCCUAAAGGCCCUAAACAAUGAGCAUUUAUAGAGCUGAUGAAACAAAAUAGCCACGACAGAACUACAAAUCUUUUACAAAAGAGGAAAUGAAACUUACAGGUAUUUUAACGAUGACCAAUCACCAAUGUACAGGGGGAUUUUACCACUUAUUGAGCAAUUCCUUAUCAUCCUACACAAAUCAUUGAAGAAGUUGGUGUUUGGAUUUAUCCAAUGCAUACAUAUCGUUAAGAGUCACAUACAGAAAUAUUGUGACUUCAUGAUUCUUUCUGUUAUGCCUAUAGUCGUAAUUAAUAUAUAUAUAUAUUAUUUAAACCAAAAAGUUUUUUUUUAUUCUAAAUUUAAAAAAACAUGAUUUUUUUCUUGAGAAUAUAAAAUAUAUAUAUUAAUGGGUUUCAAAUUCUAUAUUAAAAAAACAUAACUUUUUUCAUGGGAAUAUAUAAUAUAUAUACAAAAGGGCUUCAAAUCACACAUUGAAAAGAUACUAUAUUAUCUUUUUAAAUUGAAGUAUUUAAACCAAAAGGUUUUUUUAUUCCACAUUGAAAAAACAUGAUUUUUUUUCUUGAGAACAUAGAGUAUAUAUAUGAAAGAUGUUAUCCUUUUUAGUUGAAGUAUUUAAACCAAAAUGUUUUUUAUCCCACAUUAAAAAAUAUAACUUUUUUUCCUGAAAACAUAGAGUAUAUAUAUUAAUAGGUUUCAAAUCCCAUAUUUUAAAAAAAAAAACCGGGUCUCGUCUAGGUUCGCCCGGGUCAUGGGACGACCCAACAGCUGACCCAACAACCCAUCACCGGCCUUCACAGACUAUCCUCCACAGACCCGAACCAGGCCCUCCAGAUCCACCGAUAACACAACCCCUCUGCUCUUUCAGCUGCCCCCUUCUCUGCUAAACCGAGACCCAGCUUUCUCUCCUUCACUCAGCCACCUCUGCCUCUCUGUAAUUCGUCCAUAGAUGCCAUUUCAAAUCAACCCCUUGUUUCCUUGUUUUUCUCAGCCGUUUCCAGCACUGUUCCUGAGUCUAUUUUGUAAUUUGUAGAUUUUGAAAUGUGUAUUUAAAUUAUUGUAAGCAAUUUUAAUUUUUGUUACAUUGGAAACUUGAAACUGGGAGUGGGUGAGUAAAUUAGAAUGUUUGGUUGGGAGUGUGUGUUUGUGGGUAUUUUCUUUUAUGUUUUUUGAAUGUUAAAAAACAAAAAGAAUUAAAUAUAUAUUUUUUAAUUUGCAUAUGAUAAAAUCGUAUCCAUUUGACAUGAAAUUUCAAGAAUAUAUUUUGGUAUGUAACUAGUUUUAUAUUUUUAUUACUUAAAGCCUUGAUAAUUAUUUAUGUGAUUUUCGAGUGUGAGCUUUAAAGAAAAGCAAAGGAAGGAAAAACUCACAGGUAUCUUAUUCCCGUCAUACUUGCAUUUUUUGGGAAAGGGAAACCGGCCGAGCUUCUUACAUCACUAACCACCCUGGAAGAAAAACCAUCCAGAAUAAAAACAUGCAUUUAUUUCAACCCGGUUAAAUUAAAUUAUAGAGCACUUACAAGUAUCGAAGAUUUGACAAGUUAAAAAGAAGUUCAAGAGGCAGCUCUCCUUCAAAAUCAUUCCCGGAGAGGAACCUGUCAUCAGUACACAAAAACACAAAUCAUUGAAUGAUAUUCUUCGAUCAUCGACAGUUUCUCAAUCAAAUAAUAUUACAGAAAGUACAAGUAAUUUCUUACAGGUAAUUGAGUCCAGUCCAAUUCGCAAUGAACCUUGGUACUUGACCCGUCAAACGGUUCCCAGCUACGCUACUGCAGCCAUAGUUAGUUGCUUUUCCUUGGAACAAUAAUUAAACAGAUUGUUGGUUGAAAGAAUAUGAUGAGUUGCACUUACAACCACCCCAAUUGAUCCGAAGUAAAGUUGGCGUAAUUUCGCGGCAGUUCUCCACUCAAAUUGUUGGAGCUCAACCCUCUACAACAACAAAUCAAAAGGAUUGUAAUCCACCCUUUUUCUAUUUUAUUUCUCCUAUUACAAUCAAAAGUUGACAUUAUUAUUCUUCUUUUUGAAACUUACAAAUAACUAAGAUAUCCCAAUCUUCCAAGUUCUGAUGGAAGCUGACCACUGAGUUCAUUGAAGCCCAAGUCCCUAAUUAAAUAAGAGAUAUGAACCAAACCAAACUCAAAAAGUUAAGAGGAGAAUGAAAGAGUGAGUGAGUGAGUUUCUAUGCAUAUGUAGGAGAUUAGAGAGGUUGCCCAAUUCUUUAGGGAUAAGAGCACAAAACUUGCAUAAGCAAUGGAAAAAGAAUUUAAUUAACAUUAUAUGAUACUGAAAAGACUGUGAUUACAUGAUACUUACAGAACAUAGAGGGACGUCAAAUUCCCUAAAAAUCGAGGUAUGGAGCCAAUGAGGAAGUUACCGGAGAGAUCGCUAUGCAUAUGUAUUACCAUAUUAGUUCAUUAUUGCUAAAAAAUAAAAAUUCGCGUUCUAAAAUAAGAACCAAUAAUUUAAAUUUUAAGAAGACACACUAAGAACUGAAAUUAGUUAUUAAAUAUGAUCCAAAAGCUAAGUAGCUCUUUGCUUAUAACCCUGCAGACAACCCAACAAGCAUCAACACAGUUAAGCAAUUAGUGAAACAAGGCUUUUAUCCUAAUUAAAUAAAAAAAGAGAGAACCAAACAGAACUCAGAAGUCAACUUUUGUGACCAUUAACACCUUGCCAUGAACAUUUAUAGUAUCAAGACCCCAAACAGCUUGCCUUUUUUUUUUUCAUUUCUAACAAAGCUAAUUUUACUUGAAAAUGUUUCACCAAAAAUACUAUUAAAAAAUCGUAAUUAUUACAAGUUUAAUCUAUCAAUUGUAUAUUCAGUAACUUCUUCUUAUAAUGAAGCAAAUUUGGGUUCUUAACUCAAAUUUUCACCAUUAUAAUAUAAUUAUAUAGUCCUAACACAACUUCUCCGAAUGAAAAUGAAAUUUUAACUAUUGGGUUUUUGGAACUUAUCGAUGGAAUCUAAGUAUUUAAUGGAAUAUAAUUUAAAAGAAGUGAUUUUAGAGGGAAAAAAAUGUUAGAUAUAUAUAUAUAUAUAUUCUGACAACGCAUGCUGAGACUAUAUUUUCACAGAAGAUAUAUGUUAAUUGUAUGCUCUUUUUUUUUACCAUUAUAUAUUGUUUUUUAAAAUAACAGCAAUGGUAUAAAAUCAACCCCAAAUAUCCAAGAUGUUCUCCUAUAAUUCAUAUAAAAAUGGAUGUUCUUCGAUGCCCAAGUCGAACUUUUUGGUUAGUGCCAAUUUUUUUUUUAAGAAAUUCUUGAUUAUGGAUAGUUUGCUUUUAACUAUAUUAGAAAUAAUAGAUUUAGUCUUAAUUAAAGCAUGAAAUCUAAAUAGAAAAAACAUAAUAAUCUAUAAAAAUUGGACAUGGGAUGUUUAUGAAAAAAAGUCAAUAUUAAUAAAAUACAUAUAAACGCCCACAAGAAUAAGAGCACAAAACUUGCAUCAGCAAUGAAAAAAAAUUUAAUUCACAUUAUAUAAUACUGAAAAGACUGUGAUUGGAUGAUACUUACAGAUAUCCGAGGGACGACGUCAAACUCUCCAAAAAUGAAGGAAUGGAGCCAUUGAGGAAGUUAUCAGAGAGAUCGCUAUGCAUAUGUAUUACCAUAUAAGUUUAUAUAUUAUUACUCAAAAGAUAAUAUAUUUAAUGCAUGCUGAGACUAAAUUAAUUUUCAUAGAAGUUAGUAAUUGUAUGCUUUUUUUCUUACCAUUAUAUAUUAUUUUUUAAAAGAACAACAAUGGUAUAAAAUCAACCCCAAAUAUCCAAGAUGUUCUCCUAUAAUUCAUAUAAAAAUGGAUGUUCUUCGAUACCCAAGUCGAACUUUAUGGUUAGUGCCAAUUUUUUCUUUUAAAUCUUGAAUUCUUGAUUAUGGAUAGUUUGCUUUUAACUAUAUUAGAAAUAUUAGAUUUAGUCUUAAUUAAAGCAUGAAAUCUAAAUACUUGAUUAGGAAAAACAUAAUAAUCUAUAAAAAUUGGACAUGGGAUUUUUCAGAAAAAAAGCCAAAAUUAAUAAAAUACCUAUAAACACCCACAAGAAUAAGAGCACAAAACUUGUAUCAAUAAUCAAAAAAGAAUUUAAUUCACAUUAUAUGAUAUUGAAAAGAUUGUGAUUGGAUAACACUUACAGAGAUUCGAGAGAUGACAAACUUCCCAAAGAUAAAGGUAUGGAGCCAUUGAGGAAAUUAUCGGAAAGAUCGCUAUGCAUAUGUAUUACCAUAUAAGUUCAUUAUUACUCGAAAGAUAAAAAUUCACAUCCUAAAAUAAGAACCAUUAAUUUAAAUUUUAAGAAGACACACUAAGAACUGAAAUUAGUUAUUAUAUAUAAUAAAAAAGCCAAGCAGCUCUUUGCUCAUAAUAAUGCAGUCACCCAAACAAGCCUCAACAUGGUUAAGCAAUUAAAAAAUAAAACUCGGAAGGGGGAAAACAUCCACAAUAAAUUAAUGGAAAAAGAAAAAAAGAUUACAAAUAUGAAAUGUUGAAAAUCAAUACAGAUUUCUUUACUAGCUCCCUUGUUUUUAGAAGGCACUUAUUUUAUUUAUAUUUUUUACUAUUUCAAACCGACAUCUAAAUUAUACUUGUAAAUAUCUUUUCUCUUUAAUGAAACAGUAAAAAAAACUCAUACUCCUAUUUAAUUUAACAUAUCUACAUUUAUUAAUAUUAAAUAUUAAACAUUAAAAGACUAUAAAAUUAUUUGAGAUAAUUAUAUUCGUAAAAUUAACAUUGAUUUUCCUAUAUUCGUGAAUACUUGUCAAUUUACAAAAUAUAAAUAUAAUUUUUUUAAAAUAAAUUCAACCAUCAUUAAUAUAUAUGUGUAAUAUAUAUAUAUAUAUAUAUAUAUAUAUGGUUACCCAAUAGUAGAUAAAGUAUAAUGCAUAGUCUGUUUUAGAAAUUGAUAACUUAUCCAUUUAGUCACUUUUAGCACUGGAAAAUAAUAGUAAGAACGUAUUUAACGAACAUUGGCAACAAAAUAAACUGCAGUAGUAGUAUAUGACCAUGGUAUUGGAUCACUUACAGAGAGGUGAGUGAAGACAAGUUCCCCAUGGUGACGUCAGGGAUGCUACCAUAAAGUUGAUUGUGGGACAAAUCACUGUUUUGGUAAUAGGAUUGUUAUCAAUUAGUUGAGGUCAGCAUACUGAUUCGAAUGAUUAUCAUCACAUGUCAUAUGAUACUCACAUUUCUUUUAGGAAAUUGAGACUAGCCAAGGCUGUAGCGUUGAUUUGUCCGUCUAAUUCGCGGUUUGAGAGAUCUCUACCUCCCAAAAAUGGCGUCAACAUAGCAACCAGUGAGUUUUAAAGAGGAUGCAUUGCCUUACAAAGAUAAAAAAAAUUGGAUGAAGUUGAUGAGGAACUUACAGGCCGGUGACGUGACAAACUGCGUUGUUCUCAUAACUGCAAUUGCAUUCGAUGCCUCGAUAAUUAUUGUCACAAGGCGAGCUUAGCAGCAAACCCCAGCCUAACGUGAUCAUCAAGUCAUCCAAAGCCGUUUCUGCCAAACGUUUUAAACAAAGAAACACAUAUUUUGUUUAGCAAGAUUCAAACAGGCCUAGCUAUUUCUACCUAGCUUCAAAUCCGAACUAAGAGAAGAAAAAAACGAGUGCUAAUUUUAUGGAUGUGUGAAUUGACUCCAUAUAAUUCCAUGUUGAAAAUCCAUCUAGAUUUCCUUACCACCUCCCUUGUUUAUAAAAUCCUCGUAAAAAUCACUUCAUCCUUAACCAAUCACUUCGCUUGAUAGUUAUAGGAAAAGAUGGAGAAGCAGGAAAUAUCUAAGAUAUGCAGUACGUAGGCUAGCACUACGGAACUCUCUGCCAGGCUGUGGAAGCACUAGCUAGAGAGUGCAAAUGGAAGAGAGAAAUAGCAGUAUCUUGUGCACAAGGCUUUUCGUUGUUUGGGUCACAAAGAUUAAGACCCUUCCUUCCAACUCAAGAUCAGUUUCUUGCAAACAUGAGUGAGUUUAUAGUCUAAACAGUUAAUUGAGUUUAUAUUCUUGAAAACAAAUUUUCUUCCUUCUUUUGUAUAUAGCAGGAAAAGGAUAUAUAUGUAGAUGGAAAAGUAUAUCGUGCGUGUGUACCUUCAUCGUCAGGCAACAGCGGGCUUUCAGAGGAAUUUGUUGAUUGACAAACUACAUAGCGAAAUUGACGAAGAAGAAGAAGAACGGCAAGAGAGGAAACAAGCUUAGGAAAGAGCUUAUUAAGAUAAAGUUUAGCCAUUACUUUAGCAUGCAAUGCGCUUCCCUUGAGAUGACAUACAUUCUUUAUAUAGAUAUUGUUUUACCGUUCAAACAGUUAUUAACUCUGAAUCAAUUACCUCACGUUACCAAAUUGUCCCUAUCCAAAUAUCAAAAUACCCGAGAAAAGUAACUUGCAAUAUUAUGCAUGGAGGCCUAACAAUUUUGGCUCAAGUAAAUUGCAAAAUGAUUCCAAAGCAGCAUCUUUUUAAAUUGAUUAUCUCGUAGUUUUUAAAACGGUGUAAAAUUUGCAUAUUUGAAUUCAAUUCAAUGUCUGAGAUUUGUAUUCAUUCAUGCAUAAUUAAUGGGUAGUAAUUAAUCAAAUAUAUAAUAUAUAAUUAUGAGUUAUUAUGCAUUAUUAAUCCAACACUAUUUUUGUAUCUAGUAUCCUCUCCCGAGUAAUGUGAGCUUGUGUUUUAUGUCUUUUAUCUCACAAUUCAUAGAAAAAUAUCCAUCACACUUUUUUUAUAUCUAUAUAAUAAUGGAGAGAAUUAUAUAUAAAGCAGCCCUUCUUCCACUUUGGACCACAAGUUGUCACUGAGGCCGCACAGAAGCCCACAAAAUUGUUUAACAAAAUAUGAGAGAAACAAAAACAAAAACUGUUUGCAUGGUUUGCUUCACACAAAAACAAAAUAUGAGAGAAAAUCACAGGACACAGCUUGCUUUUCUGAGAUUUACUUUAAAUAUAGCAAUUAAAAGUACCGCAGAUAUAGUGGUGUAGCCAUAAUAUUUUAAAUGAGGGAUAAAUUACUUAUAAAUAUUCAAUAUUAUAUAUUAUAUAGAUAUAUGUUAUAUAAAGAAAUCUACUAAUUAAUUUAAAAUUUGUAAAAUAAAAAAACUUACAUUAUAAUUGUUCUCUUCGAGAUUUUAUAUUUUAAAACUGCUUCAUAAUAAUUUUAUUUUUAAUCUCAUUAAAAAUAUAUUUCUCAAUAUAUACAACAAACUUUUAUUUAUUUAUUUCUAAAUCUUUCAAGGAUUACGGAAGUUCUUGGUAAUAAUUCUAUGCUGAUAUAUGAUUUAUAACAUCUAAAAUUAUAGCUUAAAAGGAUUGUCAUAAAUUGAUAUUGUUCUUAUUGACUUGUUUUGUACAAAUUUAUUAAAAAUAAAUAUUAAAUGUUUUCUUUUUAAUUUAUCUAUUAUCUUUCUAAUUUUUUUAGCUGUCUUUUACUUCACUUUUAAUCAUUAGUAAAUUCGUCAUUUUUAUUUUUAACAUAAAAUUUAUAGCAAAAUAAUUAUCAAUUCAUCAAAAUUUAUUUUAAUUCAUAUUCAUUAGCAUAUAAUAUUAUUCAUACUUAUAUUAAUUCAACAAAUAUAUAAAUUAUUAUAAACUCUAAUAUUUUUAAUAACUAAUUAGUAUAGAAAAAAGAAACUAACAAGUAGUUAAUAAAGAAAAUUAUUUUGAAAUAAAAUAAAAUAAAGGAUCAAUUACGUACCUUCUCUUGCACUCAUGUGCUCCGCCACUGCGUAGAUAUUUGUUUAAGGUAUAUUGUGCUCCAAUCUUAAUUAGUUUAUAAAAACUACAAACAAUAAUGAAUGGGUAUCAGCAUACAAAACCUUUUAUCUUAUUUAAUUUAUCCCUGUAUAUAUAUACCCGAUUUGUCCAAACUCAAGCAUAUAAACCAUAAAAAAAAACAUAUCCAAAAUAAGUUCACAUCUUAAAUAGGUUUAAUUUAGAAGGACUAAAUUAAGUAAAUAUUGUUCAUAAAUCCUAUUUUGACGCAAACCAAUCUUAAUUCCAAUAAAGCCCAUUUAAAUGGUAGAGUUUUCACAUAAUUUUACUAAGAUUUCUACUAUUAAAUGGUAGAGUUUUCACAUAAUCCUACUAAGAUGGAAUACAAAGAGUCAUAUGCUGCGAAAAGAAAAGAAAAAAAAUCAAGAAAAGAAAGCUUGUCUUGAUAAUUAUAAUACAUAGUUAGGUUUAAAGUUGAUGAGAUAUCUAUUGUUAACUAAUAUUUUUUGAGUUUUAAAAUAGUUAGGUUUUAAUUUGAUAAGAUAUUUAUUGCUGACUAAUUUCUCCUUUAUACAUUGCUAUUAUCAAAGAAUCACUAGAAACUUAAAAGCUUAAAGUUUUAAUUAUUACGUACUAGAACAUCUUUUCAAGUGAACAUUUAUCAUUAUAUAUUUUGUUUUAUAUUAAUAUGUUUUUUGUAGAAUUGAAUUUUUUUUUACAUUGAUAAAAGAAUUAUAAUGUAAAUGAUUGGAUUCACGGAAUCUGAAGUAAAAAUGCAUCUUUUAAAAUUGAUGGUGAAGUCUUUGUUCGUGUUCAGCAUCAAUUUUUUGCCUCGUCAAGCAGAGAAAGAUUAAUAAAGCUAAAGCAUAUCAGUACGAAUACCGCAAGUUGAUCAUAGAUAUCUCUACAUUUCUUGGGUCCAAUAUGUGAACCUUGAGAAGUAAUAAAGACUUGACAUGGUUUUCUAUAAUAGGUUAAGCCUCUUAAUUAUUUUUAAUUUUUUCUAUGCCCAUCCAACGGCUCUCCCAAAUUGCUUGAUACAUCAUAAAAUGACUUGAUUUUGUAAUGUAUAUGAUUGAACCCAUGCAAUCUAAACAUUGAAAAGUAAAAAAGAAUCUUUAAAAUUUGGUCAAGUCUUUGUUCGUGUUCAGUAUCAAUAUUGGACCCACGGAAUGUGAUCCUUGAGAAGUAAUAAGGUCAAAAUAAAUAAAUAAAUAAAUAAAGACUUGACAUGGUUUGCUGUCUUUUCUAUGCCCCGCUAACGGCUCUGCUAAAUGAAUUGAUUUUUUGACAUUAUCAGAAAAAUAAUAAUCAACAUGAUCGAACCCAUGGAAUCUGAACAUUGAGAAGUAAGAAAUAAUGCAUCUUUAAUAUUUAUGGUCAAGUCUUUGUUCAUGUAAUUCAGCAUCUUUUGUUUUCCAUAUUAUGUGGAUCAAAAUUGCAUUGUCAAGCAGAGAACAAAUAAUAAAGCUAAAGCACCACCACAAGUUGAUAGAUUACUUUUUUUUAUAGGUACUCUACCAAGGUAUUGUUUAAACUAUAUUUUAUUUCAAAAUAAAUAAAGUAUAUAGCCUUCUGCGCUUGUAAUUGCUAAACCAUUUUGUAUUCAGAAUAUAUUAUUUAUGCUAUUCUCCCAUGAAAAGUUUUGGCUGUGAUAUUCAUACACCAAUUGCUGGCUCAAUUUCAUACACCAUGGAAGACUUGGUUGAUAUGGUCGAUGACGUGGACACCUAUGGUGAUGGGGAAGAAGACGUUGCGGAUGAUGAGGACCUUUGGGGACUGCAGCAACGGGUUGGAAAAAUCAGAUCUGGCAAAGGAUGGAGACAAUUAUCACGUAUUGAUAUUCAAAUACUCGAAAAACAAAUUAGGUGGUGUGCUGCCUCAAUCAGAAGAUUUGAAUAACUUUCAUAAUAAUUUUUUAAUAUCAUGAAUUAAUUAUUUGAAUUUGAUUAGUUACUAAGUGGUGCAUAAAUAAUGUUUUUAAAAUGCUAAAAUCAUAUUUAGAUUAGUCCAACGAUUUAGAAAGGUUUAUUCACCUUAAUUUACAUUAAAAUUUAUCUUCAUUUUUAUUAUUAUUUUAAAGUAUUAUAAGUUUUAUCAAUUUUAAUUCACAUCAAGAAAAUAUAAUUUUUAAUUAAAACAAGAUUCUAAUAAUAUUUUAUUAAUUAAACAUGAUUCUUUUUAUAUAUAUUAAUUUUCGAUGCUUAACCUUUAGCCUAUGCAUGUUUGUAUAACAUCAUAAUUUAAAUAAUCUUUAAAAAUUAAAUAAGUGAAUAAGCUUUCAUGUAUGCAUUUUUUCUCAGUGCAAACAUGAUUUUUUACCAUAAGAAACUCAGCCAGUAUAAUUAAUUAGAAGAGAGAAAUUCUCCAUCUAAUAAAAAGAAUGAACUUACGCCUUCGACCACAUUUUUUCCUCCGCAUCUCAUCACAGAGAUUUGUUAGACAUGCUUCAAGAAUAUCACUCUUAUUGCAGAAAAUUAUGGUACCACAUACCUAGUCGGGUGUCUGAAAAGCACCAAGAUCAUGAAAUUAAACCAAGAAAAUAUAUAAAUAUCAAUGAGAAAUAUUCAGGAGUGAUUUAUUAAAGUCAAUAAAUUUGUCAAAAAGAAAGCUAGCAAAAUGGAUAGGAGUUUGGUCCGUCCCUUACAUGUUUACAUACUGCAUCCCAAGUGUGGCACCCCCAAAAAAAAAAAAAAAAACAAAAGUUUGUUUUUGCGACAUUCGACUGGCGAUUUUCGUUUUGUUCUGUUUUGCUGAUUUGGUUCUUUGGAGUUGCCACCUAGUAUUUUGAUCACUAGGAACCCUAACUGGUCUUUCAGAGGUUCUAAGGUAAGGGACUGGUUGCGUAAAGGGAAGGUAUUAGCACCCCUAGUACGCCCUACCUAAGGUAAGCUGCUUGGUGUUUGGUUUGCCUUAUAAUUGCUAUGGUGUUGGUAUUUUUUUAGGCUCGUCAAUUGAUUUUGGAUAGAAAUCUAAGGAGAUUCCAUGUGCUUUAAAAGCUCAUUUUUCCCUUAGUAUUUCAAAAGUUUACGACUCAUAAAUCGUGGGAUAAUAAAAAAAAAUUAAAUUUUGAAAUGUCCUCGAUUAUAAUCAAGGCUUCUUUCAAGAAUGUGUGCGGAUUUAUUACUCCCAAUAAUAUUUUGGAUAUUCAUCCUUUUAAGGAUUUCUUUAUCCAAACAUUAGCGGUAAAUAAUAAAUAAAUUCCUUUUCCAAAAAUAAGAUUUUUAUAGUUUUUUGAAUAUUGGCCAAUACCCUUUGGAAUUUUACAAACACGUUGUAAAAUCCAGAAAUGCAAGAAAAUAAUUUGUGUUUAAGAAAUUUAUGCGAAAACACACUUUCGAAGCUUCCAAUAUAUUUGUUUUAUAAAAAAAAAGAAUAUUCAAAACAUGUUAGAGUAUUGGCCGUAUGCAACACGCAAGAAAAUAUAUAUUUUUUAAAACAAUAUUUUUUUUUGACGAAAUCGGGUAUUUUUAAUACUGAAUUUGUAUCUCCACAGCAUAAAAAUACAAACUAAUAUUAAGUCAUUAAAAAGAUGUACGAAAAAAAUCAACAAUAUUUUUAAGGAAUUUUUAGAAUUUUUUGAAAGCAAAAAAAAAAUUUAUCUUUGAAAAUUUUGGGUGCCACGACGAAAAUCAGAUAUUUUAAAUACUGAAUUUAUACCUCCACAGUAUAUAAAAAAAAUACAAACCCCCUUAGAAAUAUAUAUAUAUAUAUAUAUAUAUAUAUAUAUAUAUAUAUAUAUAUAUAUAUGAAAGGAAAAUAACAACAUUUUUUUUUAGAUUUUUUAUAAAUAUUAUAUAUAUAUAACAUAUACACACAUAUAUAUAAUAUAAUAAUAUAAUAUAAUUAUAUAUUAAUUAUUAAGGGGGCUGGGCCGGCCCAACUAACUGGGCCGGGCUCAGCCCCACAAGUCAUUGGGCCGGGAUCGGCCCAAGAAAGUGACUGGGCCGAUCUCGGCCCAAGAAAGGUAACUGGGCCGAUUCGGCCUAAGAAAAAUAACUGGGCCGAUUCCGGCCCAAUAAAAAAUAACUGGGCUGAUUCCGGCCCAAGAAAAAAUAACUUGGUCUGGGCCGGACCCGACCCAGACCACCGGGUUGGGCCAGAAUCCUUCUGGCCCAUAUACAUGUUUCUGGGCCAGAACCCGUCUGGCCCAGAAGAGGAAACAGAACGGGGGGGGGGGAAUUAAUUCCCCCCCCGUCCCCUGCAUGCAGAACAAUUCUGCAUGCAGGGGACGAAACCUAACAGAAGAAAGAAAACAAAAUGCAGGGGAGAGAGAGCGUACCUGGCGAGGCUGGAGACGGUGGUUGGCUGACGGGGCUAUGGUGGCGUGGCUCGUGGAUGGCGGUUCCGGGCGGCGUUGCUGCCGUUUCCAACAGUGGCGAAAAAUUCUUCUUCCUCCCUUCUCCUUCGGUUUUUUUUCGUUCUCAGUUGCUGUUUGUUCUCGGUUUGGUUUUGGUUUUUUUGGUUUCGGUUUCCUUCUUCUCGGUUUGUUUCUGUUCUUCUCUCUCUCUUCUGGUCGCUCUCUCUCUCUUUCUCUCCUUGGGUCUCUCGGGUUUUUCUUCUUUUUUUUUUUUUUCUCUUCGGUUUUCUUCUAUAUUUAUAGGGGCAGAACGGGUGGGGGACCAUGGUUAGUGCGCCUUCAAUCACGCAUGGCUGGUCGGUUCUUUCGGUGGUGGUGGUGGGGGCGAGGAGAGAGACGCGAGAGGUUUUUUUCUUUCGUCUUCUGUUCUGCUAAAACGGGGGGAAGGAGGAAGAUGAACAGUGUCGUUCAAAACGACACCGUUCUGAUCUUCCUCCUUUUUUUUUUUUUUUUUUUAUAUAUAUGAAACGGCGUCGUUUUGGGUAAAACGCGCCGUUUCAUUUAAAUGGCUAAACUUCAAAUCAGUCCUUCAAAUUCGGUCCCCGCCCCUCUUGUUGGCCGCCUUUUUUACUUUGGUCCUUGGUCUCUGAGUUAUGCAAUUGAGCCCCUAAUUGAUCAAUAAACUUCCAAUUUCUUCAAUUAAGCCCCUGAAACAAUUCCAAACAGCCCCCUCUAUCUUUGCGCCUUCUCCAAAUUGGUCCCUGGUUUCGGAUUUUCAUAAUUAAGUCCCUAAUUGGCCCUUAAACUUCAAUAUUUAUGCAAUUGAGCCCCUGUUUUGACCCAAUAAAUUCCUAAAAAAUAUAUUUUGGCCCCAGAACUUAAAUUUCUCCAAAUUAAAGCCCAAAUUGACUUAAAAAUCAAUUUUUCUUGGAAUCAAAUCUUCUAUAAAUUCAAAUAAAAAUCCAAUUAAAUCCAUAAAAAUCCAAUUAAGUCCAUAAAAAUCCAAUUAAGUCCAUAAACAUCCAAAUUUGGGCUUUUCUCCUCAAAAUUCCAAUUUUCCUUCUCAAUAGGGCUUUCAUCCUUCAAGAAUAUACUGUCAAAAAUUUAAUCCUUGUAUUUUUAAAUUCCUUGACCAAUUUUCUGACUGUUUUCCGAGCGCUUCUGCCUCCUGUUAUUUUUCUAACCUCUUUUGGCUAUUUAUUUUAUUUUUCAUGGGGACCCAAAAAUGGGUUACAACAGAUGCCCCCUCUUUAUAAUACUUACGGAGCAUGGGUUUUGCGCAGUAAGUGUUAUAAAGAUAAACCCAAAACGGAACUCCCGAAACUGAUCUGGUCGAAGCUUGAUUGAUCUGAAACUUUGUCCUUUAUAACAAUCCUCCUUAGCUCCAAAAAUCAUGAUCGAAACUUAGUCAUCUCGAGAUCUUUAUCCAGCGAUCCUCUGAAUUCUUAUUUUAGUUUGAUCAACAUGGAAAUCCAUCCGAGAUCCCAUCUAGUGAUCUCCUUUAACCUGGAAUCCCAUCUGGCGAUUCCUUUACUCAUAACCAAUACAAAAAAUGCGUGUGUGGCUCAUUAUGAUGGGUGACCUACCCGAAAAAAGGAAAGAGUGGUCUCAUUCUUUGGGUGACCUACCCAGAAAAAAAAAUGAGAAGGUCUCAUUCUUAUGGUGACCUACCCAGAAAAUAUGGUCCAUUGUGAUGGGUGACCUACCCAGAAAAAGGAAGAGUGGUCUCAUUCUUUGGGUGACCUACCCAGGGGAAGGAAUGGCCAUUCUUAUGGGUGACCUACCCAGAAAAAAAAAAUGGAGAAUGGUCUCAUUCUUAUGGGUGACCUACCCAGAAAAUAUGGUCUCAUUGUGAUGGGUGACCUACCCAGAAAAAAGGAAGAGUGGUCUCAUUCUUUGGGUGACCUACCCAGGGAAGGAAUGGCCUCAUUCUUAUGGGUGACCUACCCAGAAAAAAAAAAUGGAGAAUGGUCUCAUUCUUAUGGGUGACCUACCCAGAAAAUAUGGUCUCAUUGUGAUGGGUGACCUACCCAGAAAAAAAAUGGAAGUGGUCUCAUUAUGGGUGACCUACCCAGAAAAAAUGUGAUGAGUCUCUUGUGAUGGGCGACCUACCCAAAAAAAAAUAUGAAGUGCGUCUCAUUGUAAUGGGUGACCUACCCAGAAAAAUGUUGGUGAGGGCUCAAAGGCACUCGAAAAGAGGUAGGGUUUAGAAAACGCACUACCCGAGAAGUGAGGGCUCAAACGGCGCAUUCGAAAAGAGGUAGGGUUAGAAAACGCACUACCCAAAAAGUGAGGGCUCAAACAGCGCACUCGAAAAGAGGUAGGGUUAGAAAACGCACUACCCAAAAAGUGAGGGCUCAUACAGCGCACUCGAAAAGAGAUAGGGUUAGAAAACGCACUACCUGAGAAAUGGUGAUGAAAUCCCGAUCUGACAAAUGUUGAAAGCAAUAUAUUAUGGUUAAUAUGCAUGUAUGUUUUUGUUACCUAUCUUGGAAACAUAGGUCCCCCUUUCGUCGUAAACCUCUUUGCUCUUGUUUCAAGCUUUUCUCAUGAACCGAAAUAUCCUUCAUGUCCUUUUAGUGAAGAGAUCUUUGGUUCCUUAUGGGGCCCUUUCUUGCUCCAUUGAGUUUUGCGCCAAAGGAAAAAAUUGGUUUUGUUCAUGAAAACUGAAACUUUUAAUGCAAUUAGCAAAUUUUAUAAAAGAUGCUUUUUUAGAAGUUUUUAUUAUGAUACCUCUUUUUGAGCUUGGGUUUACUAUAGACCCUUAUGUGCACUUCGUGCACCUUUUGCCCCCUAGUGUGAUGUGCAACUAUAUGUCAAGCAGAUUUGAUUUGUUUCAUCAAUUGAUGGAGCCAUCUUCUUAGUCAUGCCAAAAAAAAGUUCUUUUAAACAAAAGAUUUCAAAUGUUAUGAGAUCAUAUGUUAUAUAUAUAUAUAUAUAAAAGGACUCUUUACAAAGAGAAUUCAUGGCCGAAAUUUAUUUUAUUGAACGGGAAAUUACGAAAUACAUCAAGCGUAGUAUUUCUUUACAGAGUCGGAAUUCACAGGCCUAGCUAGAUCUUCUCCAUCCAUUCUAGACAGUAACAAAGCUCCUCCUGAGAAUGCUUUCCUCACCACGUACGGCCCCUCGUAGUUAGGUGCCCAUUUACUCUGAUCUUCUCCAGGUAAAGGUAAUAUUUUCUUUAGUACAAGAUCUCCUUCGUGGAAUCCUCGAGGUCGAACCUUCUUGUCAUAGAUUUAGCCAUCCUUCUUUGGUAGAGUUGAUGAUGACAGAUCGCGGCUAUCCUCUUUUCACUGAUCAGAUUCAACUGUUCAUAUCUAACCUUUGCCCAUUCUACCUCUUCCAGCUCAGAGUCUAACAACACUCUCAAUGAUGGGAUUUCCAUUUCUAAAGGCAUCACCGCCUCCAUUCCAUAUACCAACAUGUACGGGGUGGCUCCUGUUGAGGUUCGAACUGCGGUGCGAUAUGCAUGAAGGGCAAAUGGCAACAUCUCAUGCCAAUCCUUAUAGGUGACUACCAUCUUCUGAAUAAUCUUUUUGACAUUCUUGUUAGCAGCUUCUACCGCACCAUUCAUCUUUGGUCUAUAUGGCGAAGAAUUGGAAUGCUUGAUUUUCCAUUUAGUGCAGAGCUCUAUUAUCAUCUUGCCGUUGAAAUUCUGGGCGUUAUCAGUUAUAAUCUUUUCUGGUGGACCAUACCGACAUAUCAAAUCUCUCUCAAUAAAUCUUCACCACUUUUUGCGUCACAUGAGCAAAUGACCCAGCUUCUACCCAUUUUGUGAAGUAGUCGAUAGCCACGAGAAUAAACCUAUGACCAUUGCUGGCUUUUGGGUUUACCGGUCCAAUCACAUCAAUUCCCCACAUCGCGAAAGGCCAUGGAGAUGUUAAAUUAAACAGAGGAGCCGGAGGAGCAUUGAUUUUGUCACUGUAUACUUGGCACUUAUGACAUUUCCGGACAUAAUCGAUACAAUCCUUCUCUAAUGUCAUCCAAAGUACCCGGCUCUUUGUAUCUUCCUGGCCAUCAUGUCCACUAGCAUGAGUUGAGCAAAUCCCUUCAUGGACUUCCCGUACUGUGCUUUUUGCCUCAAAUUCAUCCAAACAUCUCAACAAAGUCCCGUCAGAUGAUUUCUUAUACAAAAUCUCCCCAUCAAGAUAAAAAUCCAUUGCCAACCUUCUCAAGGUCUUCUUGUCGAUUUUGGAUGCCCCCAUGGGAUAUGCCUGGUUUUGGAUGAAAUUCUUGAUAUCAUAGUACCACGGGUUUCCAUCCACUUCUCUUUCGACUGAGCAACAAUGAGCGGGUUAUUUCUGAUAUUGAUGUGUACUGGCUGUACCUUGUGCCCAAAGUCUAUCUUGGCCAUAGAUGCUAGUGUGGCCAAAGCAUCUGCAAACUGGUUCCCUUCCCUUCCCAGAUGGGUGAACUCUAUUUCCUCAAAUUCUUUAGCUAGCUUAGACAGGUAUUCUUGGUAAGGCCUUAACUUCUCUUCUUUGGUUUGCCAUUCUCCUUUUACUUGGCAAAUGAUCAGCAUUGAAUCUCCAUACACAUCUAUCUUUCUUAUGUUCAUCUCUAAAGCAGCCUCUAAACCAAGAAUGCAAGCUUCAUACUCAGCCGUGUUGUUGGUGCACCCGAACUGCAGCUUAACUGAAACCGGAUACUGCUUCUUAUCAGGAGAGAUUAUCACUGCCCCCGCUCCGUUACCACAUACAUUUACAGCACCAUCAAAGUACAUAACCCACCAAUCUGAUUUCUCUUCCUCGAUUGCAAACACAUCUUCAUCGGAAAGUCAAAGUUUAACGGCUCAUAAUCUUCCAUAGCAUGGUCAGCCAGGUGAUCGGCAAUAACACUCCCUUUUACGGCUUUCCUUGUCAUAUAUACUAUGUCAUACUCAGCCAAAAGAACUUGCCAUCUUGCAAUUCGGCUAGAUAGAUAAGGCUUUUCACAAAUGUACCUUAAGGGUCUAACUUGGAAAUUAACCAUGUAGUGUGAUACAACAUAUACUGACGCAAUCUCUUUGUAGCCCAUGCUAGUGCGCAGCACAGCUUUUCAAUCACAGUAUACCUAGACUCAUAUUCCGUGAACUUCUUGCUUAGGUAAUAAAUGGCCCUUUCCUUCCUUCCGGUUUCAUCAUGUUGCCCAAGCACACAUCCCAUUGCUGUUUCGGUUACUGUUAGGUAUAAAAUCAAUGGCCUUUCUGGUACGGGAGGAACAAGCAGAGGUGGAUUUAGCAAGUACUGCUUGAUUUUCUCAAAAGCUUUAUCACACUCUUCAUUCCAUAUUCCAGGGUUCUUCUUCCUCAACAAACGAAAGAUCGGGUCACAAGUCGCGGUUAAAUGGGAUAUAAACCGAGCGAUGUAAUUCAACCUUCCUAAGAAACCUCUCACCUCCUUCUCAGUCUUGGGGGGUGGCAUAGAUUGAAUAGCUUUUACUUUUUCAGGAUCCACUUCUAUCCCUUUGUCACUCACCACAAACCCCAACAGCUUACCGGAUUUCACCCCGAAUGAACACUUUGCUGGGUUAAGCCUCAACUUAUAUUUCCUUAAUCUUUCAAAUAAUUUCUUCAAUACUUGGACAUGAUUCUCUCCCUCUUUAGAUUUAGCAACCAUGUCAUCCACGUAUACUUCAAUCUCUUUGUGCAUCAUGUCGUGAAACAAAGUCACCAUAGCCCUUUGGUAAGUGGCCCCAGCAUUCUUUAAACCAAAUGGCAUGACUUUGUAGCAAAAGGUUCCCCAUGGUGUUACAAAGGUCGUCUUCUCCCUAUCCUCUGGCGCCAUUCUUAUCUGAUUGUAGCCUGAAAACCCAUCCAUGAAGGAAUAUGUGGAGCUGCGUGCUGCAUUAUCAACUAACAUAUCUAUGUGUGGUAAAGGGAAAUUAUCUUUAGGGCUAGCCCGGUUUAAAUCCCUAAAGUCCACGCAAACUCUGAUUUUACCUUCCUUUUUGGGUACCACCACUAUGUUUGACACCCAUUGUGGAUACUUCACUACUUCCAAAAAACCAGCGUCCCAUUGUUUUUCAAUUUCCGCCUUUACUUUGAUUAAGACCUCCGGAUGAGUUCUCCUUAACUUCUGCUUAAUCGGCUUGCAUCCUUCCAUCAGUGGUAUUCUAUGCACUACAAUGUCCGUAUCCAGACCAGGCAUAUCCUCGUAGGACCAGGCAAAGACAUCCACAUAAUCCUUGAGCAGUGCAAUCAACUCUUCCUUUGCUUCGAGGGUGAUCAAAGUCCCUAUCUUCAGCUCUCGCUUGAUUUCUUCAUUGCCUACAUUUAUGGUUUCAAGUUCCUCUUUAGCGGGCCUCCAAGCCUGUUCGUGUUGUUCUAUUAAUUUUGUGAAUUCCCAUAUGUUUUCCUCUCCCAUUCCUCAUCUUCUACAGCCACUAUGUAUUCUUUAAAUUUUGGCCAUUCAUUCUCAAUGUAAAGUGCAGGUGUUGUUGUGGAGGAUCCGCUUUCAGAGUUCCUGAAAGCGGAAAGUGAUGUGUAAAUGCAUAGUAAGACAUCAAGAUGAAUUUUGAAAAUGCAUGAUCUCAUUAAAAAUAAAAGAUUGGCUCACAACAAAAUAAAAUCUCAUUGACAUCUUGAGCCUCGAUUGUCAAUGAAUAAAAACAAAACAGAAAAAGGCAAACAACAUAGAUAAAAAUAUAAUCCAACCAUCAUUGUUGAUUACAUUUUAAAAACCAAUGGAGCUUCUUGGGUCUCCCAAUUCUGGAACUUCUCCCCUUCGGCUAGCUUCCGGACAAAAGUCUUGACGGUGACUUCUUCCAAAGUGUGGAUGGUCAAUUGUGGCAGCUCUUCAAUCCUCCUUUCGACUCGAUUUUCUCAGCAAUGUCCUUGACUUGAUUUUCCUCCAGAGUGUUUAUGUUCAUUGAAGAAAGCUUCUGAAAGAGGUCUCCAUGUCCCCCAUCAGGUUGUAUCACAUAUGCGGCCUUUGGAAAUGAAAUCCUGAUUGGAGGGAUGGCUAAGUUUUCUUCUACAGGCUUCCUUCCUUCCAUCCUAGCCAUUCUCUUCUCCCUUCUUGCACCAGCAGCUCGUUUGUAAUCCUCUUUCUUGGGCUUAUAUCCAAGCCCAAACCUCUGUUCUGCAGCUUUCAAUUUGAUUAUACCCCUCCAUUCAGGCCUUCUUUGCUCCAUAUCGUAUGGGAAAGGAAUCUUGUUUUUCAAAAAGAUUUUAGCGGCCAUUUUAGUGGCUUCAGAGAUUUCUGGCUUCCUCAACACAGUGUUCUCGGGCACCCACUCGGUAUUCACAAUCUCAAAUGCAUGAAGGUUUCCGUCCCUACAAUCUUCUGCUUCAAUGAAUGGAACCGCCACAUUUCUUACCAUCGAUAUAGUCUCCUCAGCCUUAACAGUAACCAGGACACCGUUGGCAAUGUACUUUAAACAUUGAUGUAGCGAAGAGGUGACAGCUCCCGCAGAAUGUAUCCAUGGCCUCCUAACAACAUGCUAUAGGAAGGGUGGAUAUCCAUCACUUGAAGGGUUACUAGAAAGACUUGUGGACCCACAGCUAGUUCAACAUCAAUUGACCCUACAACUGGCCUUGAUGAGCCAUCAUAUGCUCUUGCCGUUAUCACACUGGGUUGCAUAUGUGAGGGAUCUAUUGGCAUUUCAUCCAGCACAUGCCUUGGUAACACAUUCAGGGCCGAGCCGUUAUCAAUGAGAACCUUGCCGACGAGGCAAUCCUUGCAUCGGACCGUGACAUACAAGGGCUUGUUAUGUCCAGUUCCUUCAGCAUCGAGUUCAUCUUCCGUGAAAUACAAGUAAUUGGCAGCAUGGAUCCUCCCUACUAGAUCCAUAGUCUUUUGCUCAUAUCUUGGGGCACAUAGGCCUCAUUCAGUACUUUUUGCAAAGCAUUACGAUGUGGCUCCGAGCUGAGUAUUAAAGACAUGAUGGAGAUCUUAGCAGGGGUCUUUUCAACUGAUCCACUAUACUGUACUCACUAUGCUUCAUCAGUUUCAAGAACUCAUUUGUUUCUUCCUCAGUCACAGGUUUAUUCACCUCAAACUCUUUAUCGAGGUCCAGCACCUCCUUGCCUUUAGCCUUUCUUUGUCUUUCUAGCUCUUCAGGUGUGUAACAACGACCACUCCGAGUUAGCCCACUUAUCUCCGUCGAACAGCGGCAAAGGAGCUUCAAUAUUCGAGGUAUAACCAUAAUCUCCAGGCAUCGCUCCAUAGUUUACUUUGCUUGCAUAGGAGGGCCUAGUUAAUACCAGUUUUGAGCGACCAUUAGCUGUUGAUUGGAUUCUACAUUUCUCUAUCAUCCUACCUCUUCAUUGUCACUUAUGUCCUCAAUCCUCAACUCUCCUAGAGCCAGCAUUCUUGCAACUUUUUGAUGAAAUUCAUGCAUUCAUCAAUGUGAUGCCCUUCCUUUUUAUGGAAAGGGCAAAAGUUACUUUCCCCUGUGCAGUACUCAGUCGUUUCUUCCAAAUGUCCAGACUGUACCAACAUCAGUAUAGCUUGGCCAUGGUCACUUUCAACACCCUCUUUUUGCUACCAAUCUCCAUGGUAUUCACUCCUCCCCUACCAUCAACAUGUUUAGGUAAAGGGUUUGAAUUCUGAUUAGGUGAAUCCUCAAAAGUGACCCAUCCCACUUUGAUCAGUUGUAACCUUUCUUUUAAAAGCAAAGCAAGCCUCAAUGCUAUGGCCUGCGUGACCAGCAUGGUAUUCACAAGUUACCUCGGGGUUGUACCAGGCAGGGAAAGGUGGCUGCAUAGGUGGUAUGGGUAGGGGAGCUAUCUGCCCAAUACUCAACAGCUUGGCAUACAACUCUUUCAAGGUUAUUGGUAAAGGAGGUAGUUGUUCUUCUGAUGGUUGCUUAUCCUUUCUUUGGUAAUUGUGGUGGUUAUUUGCUGGGAAUUUUACUGGAUUGGGCUGGUUUGGAGUGGGGGGUUUGGAAAAGUUAAUACUAGUGACUCGAGGGGUAGGUAUUUGAUAGUUUUUGCUUCUCUUUCGAGGUUGUUCACCUCAAUUUCUUUCUUCCUUCCAAUGAAACCUCUCUUCUCUAGAGGUUCUGCAAUUCUUCCACUUCGGAUCCCUUGUUCAAUCCUCUCGGCGAUCCGCACGACAUCAUAGAAAUGUUGUGCUGAACUACCCAUAAGGUGUUCAUAGUAUGGAGCCCUGAAAGUAUUGGCAAACAAAGUCACCAUUUCUGUCUCUAUCAGCGGAGGUUGUACAUUGAUAGCUUGGUCUCGCCACCUUUGAGCAUAAGCCCUCACGGACUCUUGACUUCCUUUCUCCAUGCUAAUCAGACUGGUCCUAUCAGGAGCAAUCUCUAGGUUAAACUUGUAUUGCUUUAAGAAAGCGUCCGCCAAGUCUGUCCACUUCCUGAUCCUAAUAUUGUCUAACCUCAUAUACCAACUGAGGGCCGAUCCGGUCAGACUAUCCUGGAAGAAGUAAAUUAACAUUUUGUCGUCGUGGAUAACCUCUGCCAUUUUGUUAUAGUAGGAGCGGAGAUGGGUCUUCGGGCAUUCCAUCCCAGUAUACUUAACAAACUCCGGCACUCUAAACUUCUUUGGAAUGACAAUAUUAGGUACUAAACAUACCUCAGCGGCCCUAAUUGGGUCAAACAAAUCAUUUCCUUCAAUUGCCCUUAGCCUCUCUUCUAGGGCAGUCCACUUAUCAUCUCCUUCAUGAUUAGAGAAUUUAAAGUCAUGUGGAUCUUCGUUUGUUAAAUCCAUUGUAAUAGGGAUUUGGAUGGGCCGAGCAGGACUCUGCUUAGUUGGUGUAUUUGCCCCUAUGUUUAUAGGUGCGACAGGAAUUUGAGCUGCUGCUGGUGCUUCAUUAGGUUGAGUAGAUGUUCCCUCUCCAUCUCUGGCUCUUAAUAAUUGCUCUAACAUACUUGUUAAGUGCGCCACAUCAUUCCGAACUCCUUCGAGUUCUCUUUGGUACUGAGAUUCUGGUUGUGACCUUCCUUCGUUUUCCAUUCUUGCUCUUUGUCGAGUGUUGUGGAUUCUAGGAGGGGGACCUAUGUUUCUUAAUCUGCAAAUGCAUGCAUAGAUGUAUGAGAAAAUGUAUUGUGAUGGAUGCAUGAUGAUGCAUUAUUGGGUAUGGAUGCAUCCUUUUUUGUGAACGAAUAACAACCAUCACAUUAUAAGCCUUCUCUUGUCACAUUGCUUUGAUAGGAGUUCUGCCUUUCGAGUCGUUUGCUUGAAUCAUGUUCACCAAGAGACAGAUUUUUGCAUAAGAAGAUGGGUCAACGCCCUUUUCAUUAAUGCUUGGAUAAAAAUACAUUUAGAAAUAAAAGAAAUACAACAUGCUAAUCCCUUUCCUCCCUAAACUCUUUGGCCAAAGGUAAGAAAGCAAAACCACGGUUCUCAAUCUUCCCUAGAAAGGCAUCGGUUUCAGCUAGGCUUCGGCGAUAGCGAAUGAUGUCUCCCCCCACAUUCCGCGAAUUGAUUCUGACCAUUCGAGCAUGUGCAGCAGCUUCGUCCAUUUGCUCAUCUGUUUUGGUCAUUUUUUCUAUGAGCAACAUGUUGGUUCUGUUUAAAGCAGUGUUGUUGGCGUCGAUUUGAUCUUUGUGCUUCUCCAUUGCUACUAGCUUUUCAUCUAAAUACUUCAACUUUUCUCGUUCUUUGUCAAGCUUUAUCCUCAUGACUUUUAUCUCAUUCUUCUUGACUGCUAACUCUGCUUUAACAUCCUCGAAUCCUCCCUUUUCGCUUUCCAACUCCAUAUAUUUCUUAUUCAAAUCCUCAUACUUCCUAAUCCUAUCCAUCAGCUCGAAUUGCACUUGUGCAAAUUUUUCUUGGUAAUAUUCUGCACUUUCUUGGCAAUCGCUAAAGUCCAUCUCCAUUGCUUGAAGUUCAGAGCAACUUUGCAUCCAAUCCAAACUCAUCCCUUUAAGCUCCUUCUCACUUCCUUCCUUAGCAAUCUUCUCCUCAACCAACUUUAACUCCAGCUUUGUUAUUUUCUCAUCUCUAGACUGUAUUUGCUCAUCUAGAAAUGUUCUCAUUUUAUCCUGUUCUAGCAUCAUUUCUUCCAACAUUGCUUUGUCUUUUCUGCUCUUGCUCAAUUCUAUUCGUAGUCUCUCCACUUGCCUUCUCAAGUCUUCUUCAUUACUAACUCUCUUUCUCUUGAUAGGCUCCUCUUCAGUUGGAGAAGAUUUGACUUCUACACAAGGCAUGGCUGAAGCAGCUGAAUCAUCUUCAAUGUUCACCCUUUUUCUCUUAAUAGGCUCCGCUACAUCUUGAGGAGAUUUAGCUUCUACGCGAGGGGUGGCUGAAGUGGCUGAGUCUCUCCAUUUUACAUAUCCUUCGCUCACACUUGGAUCUCUUAACCCUUCCAUCUCCACCAACACUAGAUGCUUCCAAUCUUGCUUGAUGAUCUCCAAAACCUCUUCUGCCAUGGGAUCUUUGAACAAACCAGAGAAUUGAGCAAUUCCCAUAGUCCUGGGAACGAACUGCAUGCCCCCAAGUUGUCUUACCACUAAGGCAGGAGCAUAACUCACAUAACCCGUGAUCCCCACCAAUGGUACCCAACGCCUUUGUCCACAACUCAUUAGGACCUUCACUGACGUUACCCAUGGGGCCCUCCACUUAAACUCGCUAUUAGGUAAACCUUCUAAUUUAUCAACCCAACCCUGGUUGUCUAGAUCUCCCCAUUCUUCUUCUUCUACUAACUUGAGGGGUUUUUGGGUGAACCACCAAAAAUUAUUGAAGACAGGUUUCUUUGUCUCGAUAUGGCUAACCAUCCAAAUAUACAACAGUUGCGUGCAGCAUCUCAUUGCUCCUUUUCCGGCCCUCCUACAAUGGUUAAGUGUCAAAAUUGUUUCGGCUAAAAUAGCAGCCACUGGAUUGAUUCGUGUAUUCUCAUAUUCCACGUAAGCAGCAGCGGCCUCCAAACUCACUAAACCAAUCUGACUUGGGAACAACACAAGGCCAAAUAUACCUAGGGCAAUCAAUCUCUCUUUUUCUACUCCUGACUUCUUUUCCAAUUCUAACAUCCUCCAUUUCAAACCGGUACCAUUCUUCUCUUGAAACUUUUCCAAGUUGGAGAUUCUGAGCAGCUUUGACAGUUCAGGGAUGAUCUUGUCGGAUCUUAAAGGAGAAUAAAUCCGAUACAGGUCGUUGGGAAACUCGGUCAACAAUCCAUAUUCAUCAACCGUGGGGCACAAGUCUGUUAUAACCCAUUUUUGGGUCCCCAUGAAAAAUAAAAUAAAUAGCCAAAAGAGUUUAGAAAAAAUAACAGAAGGCAGAAGCGCUCAGGAAACAGUCAGAAAAUUGGUCAAGAAAUUCAAAAAUACAAGGAUUAAAUUUUUGACAGUAUAUUCUUGAAGGAUGAAAGCCCUAUUGAGAAGGAAAAUUUGAAUUUUGAGGAGAAAAGCCCAAAUUUGGAUGUUUAUGGACUUAAUUGGAUUUUUAUUUGAAUUUAUAGAAGAUUUGAUUGCAAGAAAAAUUGAUUUUUAAGUCAAUUUGGGCUUUAAUUUGGAGAAAUUUAAGUUCUGGGGCCAAAAUAUAUUUUUUAGGAAUUUAUUGGGUCAAAUCAGGGGCUCAAUUGCAUAAAUAUUGAAGUUUAAGGGCCAAUUAGGGACUUAAUUGUGAAAAUCCGAAACCAGGGACCAAUUUGGAGAAGGCGCAAAGAUAGAGGGGGCUGUUUGGAUUUGUUUCAGGGGCUUAAUUGAAGAAAUUGGAAGUUUAUUGAUCAAUUAGGGGCUCAAUUGCAUAAAUCAGAGGCCAAGGACCAAAGUGAAAAAGGCGGCCAACAAGAGGGGCGGGGACCGAAUUUGGGGACUGAUUUGAAGUUUAGCCAUUUAAAUGAAACGGCGCGUUUUACCCAAAACGACGCCGUUUCAUUAAAAAAAAAAAAAAAAAAAAAAAAAACAGAACGGUGUCGUUUUGAACGACACUGUUCAUCUUCCUCCUUCCCCCCGUUUUAACAGAACAGAAAACGAAAAAAUUCGAAAAUCUUCCCGCGCCUCUCUCUCUCCUCGCCCCCACCACCUUUAGCAUUGGCCGACCAGCCGUUGCACCGCACUAACGAUGGUCCCCCACGGUUCUGCCCCUAUAAAUAGGGAAGAGACGGAAAGAAAAAAAAAAAAAACCGAAGGGAGGAGAGAGAGAGAGGAGGCCGAAGAGAGAGAGAGAACCGAACACCGAAGAGAGAAGGAGCCGCAGCGCCGCCCGGGAAGCCACGCCACCGCAGCACCGCCUCCUCCACGCCAGGUCACCUCUUCCCCCCCUCUCGUUAGUUUUUUAUUUUUUUCCCUGCAUGCAGAAUGAACAUUCUGCAUGCAGGGAGGAGGGGGGAAUUAAUUCCCCCCUGUUAUGUAGCUGGGCCAGGUGGAUCCUGGCCCAGCAUCAUUUUUUUGGGCCAGACUAAGUCUGGCCCGGCCUUGUAUCUGACGGGCCAGACCAGGUCUGGCCCAUACCAGCUCUCUGGGCCAAGUCCGGCCCAGAUAUUUGGGCCGGCCCAGCCCGAAUUAUUUUUUAUUUUAUAUAUAUAUAUUAUAUUAUAUGUGUGUAUAUAUGUAUAUAUAUAAAAUAUAAUAAUAAUAAAAAAAUAUUUUGAAAAAUCUUAAAAAAAUAUUGUUGAUUUUUCUGCAUAUUUUUGUCAAAAAUGUUUUAAUUUUGGUUUGUAUGUUUAUACUGUAAAGAUACAAAACCAGUGUUAUAAAUACCCGGUUUUCGUCAAAACAUCAAAGAUUUUCAGAAUAAAAAAUGUUUUUGCUUUCAAAAAAAAUUCUAAAAAGUCCCUAAAAAUGUUGUUGAUUUUUCUGCAUAUUUUUAUCAAAAUGGUUUAAUUUUGGUUUGUAUUUUUAUACCGUAAAGAUAUAAAACCAGUGUUAUAAAUACCCGGUUUUCGUCAAAAUAUCAAAGAUUUUCAGAAUAAAAAAUAUUUUUGCUUUCAAAAAAUUUCUAAAAAUUCCCUAAAAAUGUUAUUGAUUUUUCUGCAUAUUUUUAUCAAAAUGGAUUAAUAUUGGGUUGUAUUUUUAUACCGUAAGGAUACAAGCUCAGUAUUAAAAUACCCGAUUUUCGUCAAAGCAUAAAAAAAAUAAUAUUUUCCAAAAAUUGUUUUUGUUUUAAAAUACGGCCUAGUCUCUUCAAAUAUAUAUAUAUAAAUAUUAUAACAUCGUAUUUUCACACAACAAAGAAAAUUUUCAAAAACAAUAUAUGUAUUAACAUGCAUUUUGGCUUUAAUAACCAGUUUAUUCAAGCCAUGAGAACUAGGCCAAUAUUUCAAAAAUUCUAAAAAAUCUUUUUGUUUUAUUUUAGUAUUUGGGAUUACGAAUUUAUACGUAAAACGUAUUCCUAAGUAUUAUUAAUAAAAUUUUGGUAUGGACGUUAUAACGGUUAAGAUUUUUACCCGAUAAGAUAAAGAUCUCCUUACCGAGGAGGAUUUUUCUUAAACUAUAGACAGACCAACCACUAGGAAAACACAAUAACACUUUAGUUUUUUUUUUAUCAGACAUUAAAACAAUGCAGCUUACCUUAGGUAGGGCGUAUUUGGGGUGCUAAUACCUUCCCUUUACGCAACCAGUCUCCGUACCCGAUCUCUAAGACCAGUUAGGUUCCUAGUGACCAAAAUACUAGGUGGCGACUCCAAAGAACCAAAUAAAAAUAAAAUAAACAAAUUUUCGCCAGUCGAACCCGCAAUGGAUGCGUAUAUUUUUUUUGGGGGGGGGUGCGCUCGGUCAACAAUCCAUAUUCAUCAACCGUGGGGCACAAGUCUAUGCUUCCAAAGGAAAAACAUAUGUAGUCUGGAUCCCAAAAAUGAACUAAAGCUCGCACAGCUAGGCUUAAAACUUCUACCUUUGCAAUUUCCAUCAAACGUCCGUAUUUCCUAAAAAAUGCAUCUUUAUCCACAUUUUGAAAAUGAGUCGUUAACUUGUUCACCUCAUUCAAUACGCAAUUCAGGUUCUUGAUUGGUGACAUCUUCUUAGCAUCGCUUCUAAGGCAGUCUCCUUCAGUCAAUUGUGACAGUUCAGAAUUUUUUCCAUAUUCUAAGAUGGAAGAUUUAGUGAUGAUGGCCAUUUCGUUCACAAGUCCUGCAAUUCAAAAUGCAUUGGGGUUUAGACUUUGUUUGGAUGCAAAAGAUAUGUUGGAACAUACACCCUAAGGAUAGGUUCUAAUUUCUCUAUGUGAGACAUAGGGUAGGUUUACUAUUGGGUCUCUAAAAGAGGGUCUCUUGCUGUUCCAGUGAUCAGCCUUCGUAAAGGCGAUAUGGAGGUCUAGCAGAUAGUGGGAUGGUACGUGUACCAAUCACAAUCAGUCUAAACACUCAGCAAAGAGUUGGGGUUUACACAAACUUAAACCUUGACUCAAGUCAUAAGGCAAGCUGCUAGUCCCCCACUUAAACUUAAAGUUACAUGUGUGUGCACUCCAAAACAUAAUAACAAUAAUAAAGUGAUGCAUGACUAUGCCAUGUAUGAUAGAAUGUAAAGAUAUAUGCUAAAGCUUUUAAACAAAGCAUCAUAAAAAAAAAACAAAAACCAAUAACACAUAACAUAAACAAACAAACAAAUCAAGCUUAGUCCAAGGGUCCCCAGUGGAGUCGCCAUCCUGUCGCACCCCCAAAAAAAUAAAAAAAAAAGUUUGUUUUUGCGACAUUCGACUGGCGACUUUCGUUUUGUUCUGUUUUGCUGAUUUGGUUCUUUGGAGUCGCCACCUAGUAUUUUGGUCACUAGGAACCCUAACUGGUCUUUCAGAGAUUCUAAGGUAAGGGACUGGUUGCGUAAAGGGAAGGUAUUAGCACCCCUAGUACGCCCUACCUAAGGUAAGCUGCUUGGUGUUUGGUUUGCUCUAUAAUGCUAUGGUGUAGGUAUUUUUAGGCUCGUCAAUUGAUUUUGGAUAGAAAUCUAAGGAGAUUCCAUGUGCUUUGAAAGCUCAUUUUUCCCUUAGUAUUUCAAAAGUUUGACUCAUAAAUCGUGGGAAAAAAAAAAAUUAAAUUUUGAAAUGUCCUCGAUUAUAAUCAAGGCUUCUUUCAAGAAUGUGUGCGGAUUUAUUAUUCCCAUAAUAUUUUGGAUAUUCAUCCUUUUAAGGAUUUCUUUAUCCAAACAUUAGCGGUAAAUAAUAAAUAAAUUCCUUUUCCCAAAAUAAGAUUUUUAUAGUUUUUUGAAUAUUGGCCAAUACCCUUUGGAAUUUUACAAACACGUUGUAAAAUCCAGAAAUGCAAGAAAAUAAUUUGUGUUUAAGAAAUCUAUGCGAAAACACACUUUCGAAGCUUCCAAUAUAUUUGUUUUAUAAAAAAGAAUAUUCAAAACAUGUUAGAGUAUUGGCCGUAUGCAACACGCAAGAAAAAUAUUUUUUUUUUAAAACAAUAUUUUUUUUUGACGAAAUCGGUAUUUUUAAUACUGAAUUUGUAUCUCCACAAAUAAAAAUACAAACUAAUAUUAAGUCAUAAAAAAUGUACGAAAAAAUCACAAUAUUUUUAAGGAAUUUUAGAAAUUUUUGAAAGCAAAAAAAAAAUUAUCUUUGAAAAUUUCGGGUGCUACGACGAAAAUCAGAUAUUUUAAAUACUGAAUUUAUACCUCCACAGUAUAUAAAAAAAAAUACAAACCCCCUUAAAAAUAUAUAUAUAUGAAAGGAAAAUAACAACAUUUUUUUUUAGAUUUUUUACAAAUAUUUAUAUAUAUAUAACAUAUACACAUAUAUAUAUAAUAAUAAUAUAAUAUAAUUAUAUAUUAAUUAUUAAGGGGCUGGGCCGGCCCAACUGACUGGGCCGGGCUCAGCCCCACAGUGACUGGGCCGAUCGGCCCAGAAAGUGACUGGGCCGACCGGCCCAGAAAGGUACUGGGCCGAUCGGCCCAAAAAUCUGGGCCGACGGCCCAAAAAACUUGGUCUGGGCCGGACCCGGCCCAGACCGCCGGGUUGGGCCAGAAUCCUUCUGGGCCAGAACCGGUCUGGCCCAGAAGAAAAAACGGGGGGAAUUAAUUUCCCCCCCCCCUGCAGCACUGCAUGCAGGAGAGAAAAUAACAGAAGAAAGAAAAAAAAUGCAGGGGAGAGAGUACCUGGCGAGGCUGGAGACGGUGGUUGGCUGACGGGGCUACGGUGGCGCGGCUCGUGGAUGGCGGUUCGGGCGGCGUUGCUGCUGUUUCAGUGGCGAAAAAUUCUUCUUCCUCCCUUCUCCUUCGUUUUUUUUCGUUCUCAGUGGCUGUCCUAUUCUCGGUUUGGUUUUGGUUUUUGUUUCGGUUUCCUUCUUCUCGGUUUGUUUCUGUUCUUCUCUCUCUCUUCGGGUCGCUCUCUCUCUCUUUCUCUUCGGGUCUUCGGUUUUUUCUUCUUUUUUCUCUUCGGUUUUUCUUCUUUAUUUAUAGGGGCAGAACGAGUGGGGGACCAUGGUUAGUGCGCCUUCAAUCACGCAUGGCUGGUCGGUUCUUUCGGUGGUAGUGGUGGGGGCGAGGAGAGAGACGCGGGAGGUUUUUUUUUUCGUAUUCUGUUCUGCUAAAACGGGGGGAAGGAGGAAGAUGAACAGUGUCGUUCAAAACGACACCGUUUUGAUCUUCCUCCUUUUUUUUUUAUAUAUAUAUAUAUAUGAAACGGCGUUGUUUUGGGUAAAACGCGUCGUUUCAUUUAAAUGGCUAAACUUCAAAUCAGUCCUCCAAAUUCGGUCCCCGCCCCUCUUGUUGGCCGCCUUUUUCACUUUGGUCCUUGGUCUCUGAGUUAUGCAAUUGAGCCCCUAAUUGAUCAAUAAACUUCCAAUUUCUUCAAUUAAGCCCCUGAAACAAUUCCAAACAGCCCCCUCUAUCUUUGCGCCUUCUCCAAAUUGGUCCCUGGUUUCGGAUUUUCACAAUUAAGUCCCUAAUUGGCCCUUAAACUUCAAUAUUUAUGCAAUUGAGCCCCUGAUUUGACCCAAUAAAUUCCUAAAAAAUAUAUUUUGGCCCCAGAACUUAAAUUUCUCCAAAUUAAAUCCCAAAUUGACUUAAAAAUCAAUUUUUCUUGAAAUCAAAUCUUCUAUAAAUUCAAAUAAAAAUCCAAUUAAGUCCAUAAACAUCCAAAUUUGGGCUUUUCUCCUCAAAAUUCCAAUUUUCCUUCUCAAUAGGGCUUUCAUCCUUCAAGAAUAUACUGUCAAAAAUUCAAUCCUUGUAUUUUUAAAUUCCUUGACCAAUUUUCUGACUGUUUUCCGAGCGCUUCUGCCUCCUGUUAUUUUUCUAACCUCUUUUGGCUAUUUAUUUUAUUUUUCAUGGGGACCCAAAAAUGGGUUACAACACCAAGCAUGUUAUAUUUUCACAUGUCACGUUGAAGUUAUUGUAUGAAAGGUCCCUGCAAGUUAACAAUUCAUAAAAUCGAUUUGAAAUUGAUCUUUAUGAAUUGGCAAUUUAACAAUUCAUAAAUUACACUAAAUUGUCAUUAAUUAAUUAAAAUGAUUGGUCUUUUUGAUAAAAUUCUCUUAAUCUUUCUCAUCUCCCAGAGUUGACUAAAUAUAUUGAAAUUGCAAGUGCACUUUUUACAAAAGCAGUGUUUUUUUUAUGAGUCUUUCACCUCCUCUUACAUGCUUUUCCAAAACUCUUUUUCUCCAAAAUAUCUUUUUAUAAUAUGUCAUUUUAUUAAAAGAAAAAAUAAAACAACUAUUAUCAUGACUAGAUUCCAUAAAUUACUAAAUAAACAAAUAUUGAAUCUGAAGUAAAAACACAUCUUUUAAAAUUGAUGGUGAAGUCUUUGUUCGUGUUCAGCAUCAAUUUUUUGCCUCGUCAAGCAGAGAAAGAUUAAUAAAGCUAAAGCAUAUCAGUACGAAAACCGCAAGUUGAUCAUAGAUAUCUCUACAUUUCUUGGGUCCAAUAUGUGAACCUUGAGAAGUAAUAAAGACUUGACAUGGUUUUCUAUAAUAGGUUAAGCCUCUUAAUUAUUUUUAAUUUUUUCUAUGCUCAUCCAACGGCUCUGCUAAAUUGCUUGAUACAUCAUAAAAUAACUUGAUUUUGUAAUGUAUAUGAUUGAACCCAUGCAAUCUGAACAUUGAAAAGUAAAAAAGAAUCUUUAAAAUUUGGUCAAGUCUUUGUUCGUGUUCAGCAUAAUAUUGGACCCACGGAAUGUGAUCCUUGAGAAGUAAUAAAGGUCAAAAUAAAUAAAUAAAUAAAGACUUGACAUGGUUUGCUGUCUUUUCUAUGCCCCGCUAACGGCUCUGCUAAAUGAAUUGAUUUUUUGACGUUAUCAGAAAAAUAAUAAUCAACAUGAUCGAACCCAUGGAAUCUGAACAUUGAGAAGUAAGAAAUAAUGCAUCUUUAAUAUUUAUGGUCAAGUCUUUGUUCAUGUAAUUCAGCAUCUUUUGUUUUCCAUAUUAUGUGGAUCAAAAUUGCAUUGUCAAGCAGAGAACAAAUAAUAAAGCUAAAGCACCACCACAAGUUGAUAGAUUACUUUUUUUUAUAGGUACUCUACCAAGGUAUUGUUUAAACUAUAUUUUAUUUCAAAAUAAAUAAAGUAUAUAGCCUUCUGCGCUUGUAAUUGCUAAACCAUUUUGUAUUCAGAAUAUAUUAUUUAGGCUAUUCUCCCAUGAAAAGUCUUGGCUGUGAUAUUUGUCGAUACACGACGGGCGACGGCUCCAUAUCAUUUUUAUUUAUUUAACAAAAAAGAUUUUUUAUUUUUAUUGGGGAAAUGAAAAUUAUAUUGGAGUCGUUAUCUAGUAAUUUGAGGGAACUAGAAAUCCCAAAUUAAACACUGGUUUCAGAGAUUCAGGUACUGGGUUAGUUAUGAUUAAGGGAAGGUAGACACCACCCUUAAAACAUCCUUUCAAAAGAAAGGUUACCCUUACUUGUGUGUUUUUUAUUUGAUUUAAAUGCUAUUAUAUUUCGAGUUUAUUUGCAAUUUCGUUUUUUUUAAAAUAGUUAACGUCGGUCCCUAAAAAUAGGAGACGCGUUAAAAAUGACAUCAGUCCCUAAAAAUAGCAGACUCGUCUAAAAUAUUGACGUUUAACCCUAAAAAGGAGAAGUACGUCUGAGUUACCAAAAAAAACUAUGGACAUAAUCCAUAUUGGUAUUUAAACUUUUAACAUCGGUCCUUUUCUGAAAAAGAGACGUGUCGACGAACAGUAUUUGUUUAUAAAAUUAUUUUUAUAUCGUUGAGAAAUGGGUAUCCCAUAUUUGAGAUUUGGGCUUUGGGCCCACGAACGAUAACAUGAUAGGAUGAGUGUUGGACCCGCGUUGUUAUUCCUUUCUUUUUUAUUUUAUUUUUUGUUUGUUUUACAACAUACAAGAAAAUUUAUAUACAAAAUAAAAAAAUGUUAGAAAUCUAUAAAAAAAAAAAAAACAAAUUACCUAAGUGACACAGUAUAGGUAAAAGACUGAAAUACCCUCGGAUCUAUCAGAAAUUUACGAAAAUGCCACUAUGCGGCGCGUGUGGCUCACGCGCGGCUACUGUUGGUGCGGCGAGAUUUUCAGGCGCGAUUUCUGGCCCACCGAUGGUUAGUUCUGGUAGAUCUGAGGUCGAGGAUUCUGUUGUUGGUGGUCUCGACGUCCGUUGAUGGCUUACGAAUGAGAAUCGACGACUUGAAGGUUCGGUGGCCGACGAAGAUCGCGGCCUUUUUCCGGCCAGAUGAGGCGGCGGAAACAAUGAAAACCGCCGGGGUUUUUCUUCACAACAGGGUAGCUACCUUUCUGUGGUGGUUCGGAGGCUUGAGAUGGCCGGAAAGUGGAGAUCGGAUGAGAGAGGGAGUCGCCGGCGAGAGGAGAGAGAGGCUCUGAGAGUUGCUAUGGUGUGAACGCGUAUACGGUGUACCGGUGCCUCUGAACACUGUGCACCGUUCUAUCUCGGAUGAAACGAUCGGAUGGCUGUGAUUGGCUAGAUCUGCGGUUGAUCUGACGGUCUGGAUGAACUUAGCUUUGAUCUGGUGUGUUGCGGUGCACCGAAAGAUCGGUACACCUGAGACGUGGCGUAACCGGUUCAAAUCUUGAAUUGUUUCAAAGGCCGAGAUGUGUCGGGAUAUAUUUGGUAUUUUUCAAAUUGUUUUUUUUAAAAGACAAUAUCCUACUCUCCGGAAGAAAAACUACAAAAAAUGUUAAUGGUAUCAAUCGAUUUUUUUUUUCUUCCUCCCCUCACUCCUUCCGUGCUCACGUGGCUAUUUAUAGGUAAUUUUUUUUGUAUUAUUGUUUUUUUUGUUUUAAUAUAUAUAAUAAUAAAUAUUUAUAUAGGUAAAAUUAAAAAUUUCAACCGCUAACACUAAAAACAUUUGAUAGGUAUCAACCCGAUAAACCGGGUUUUAACCGAAAAAUGAUGGUUUUGACCCAAAAAUAGCCCGACACUCAUUUUUCAUCCCGGUCGACAUGGUUUGACCCGUAUUGACCUGGUGAACUCGGUUUGGGUCGAAAAUGACGUUUUUGACCCGAAACAGCCCGAAACUCAUUUUUAAACCUGGUCGACAUGGUUCGACCCGUAUUGACCCGGUGAACUCGGUUGUGGUUGAAAAUGACGUUUUUUACCCGAAACAGCCCGGAACUCAUUUUUAAACCUGGUCGACAUGGUUCGACCCGUAUUGACCCGGUGAACUCGGUUGUGGUUGAAAAUGACGUUUUUUACCCGAAACAGCUCGGAACUCAUUUUUGAACCUGGUCGACAUGGUUUAACCCGUAUUGACCCGGUGAACUCGGUUGUGGUCGAAAAUGAUGUUUUUGACCCGAAACGGCCCGGAACUCAUUUUUAAAACUGGUCAACAUGGUUUGAAUGAAAAGAUGCGGUUGACUCGAGAAAAAAAAUAUUUUUGAAUUUUCAAAUUUUUGUUAAUUUUUUUGGAUUUUUAUAAAUAAUAAUAAAAAUAAAAUAAUAUUCAAAAAAAUUGUGUGUCGAAAAUUGGGUUACAACAAUAUUCAUACACCAAUUGCUGGCUCUAUUUCAUACACCAUGGAAGACUUGGUUGAUAUGGUCGAUGAAGUGGACACCUAUGGUGAUGGGGAAGAAGACGUUGCGGAUGGAGACAAUUAUCAUGUAUUGAUAUUCAAAUACUCGAAAAACAAUUUAGGUGGUGUGCUGCCUCAAUCAGAAGAUUUGAAUAACUUUCAUAAUAAUUUUUUCAUAUCAUGAAUUAAUUAUUUGAAUUUGAUUAGUUACUAAGUGGUGCAUAAAUAAUGUUUUUAAAAUGCUAAAAUCAUAUUUAGAUUAGUCCAACGAUUUAGAAAGGUUUAUUCACCUUAAUUUACAUUAAAUUUAUCUUCAUUUUUAUUAUUAUUUUAAAGUAUUAUAAGUUCUAUCAAUUUUAAUUCACAUCGAGAAAAUAUAAUUUUUAAUUAAAACAAGAUUCUAAUAAUAUUUUAUUAAUUAAACAUGAUUUGUUUUUAUAUAUUAAUUUUCGAUACUUAACCUUUAGGCUAUGCAUGUUUGUAUAACAUCAUAAUUUAAAUAAUCUUUAAAAAUUAAAUAAGUGAAUAAGCUUUCAUGCAUGCGCGCGCGCGCAUAUGCUUCCUCACCACCACUAUUUACAAACAAGGAAUUAUCUGCAAGAAAACUUAUUCUCAGUGCAAACAUGAUUAUUUACCAUAAGAAACUCAGCCAGUAUAAUUAAUUAGAAGAGAGAAAUUCCCCAUCUAAUAAAAACAUUUUUAUUAACUGAAAAUUCGAAUUAUUUGAUAAUUUAAACCAUUUUUCGAGUUAGUUUCCGAUUUCGAAUCGAUAACUACAAUCAUUCUACACCUAUACACUCUCGGAAAAAGAUCAUGAUAUUCAUUUUUCUCAAAGGGUGUUGGUCCACCCAUGUUCACCCUAUGAACAGUCUCCCCACUGCAUUAAAAGUUUCAGCAUCAUCUGUAAUGAGCUCAUCGGGAACUGAAACGACUUCCAAAGGCAUUUAAGAGGCAAAUGAAUUGCCUUCACACUGAAAUUGCUGAGGAAACACCAAAACUCGCUUUGCUCAUGUUGUGACAACCACUAACAAAUGGAUAGAAAUAUAGACGAAUCCAAUGCCUCCAUGUUGGUUAAUGAAAAAGGUGUACUUUGAGGUUCCAUCAAAGAUUCUUGCUGUUUGAUAGAGCGGUGAAUCAUCCCCAGAAGUGACAGAUAUUGAAGCAUUUGCAAAAGUGUUUUUCGGGGUUGAAAGAAAGUUGGAGGCAGAGUUAUCAGCAACAAAAACACGGUUACCUACUGUAGUAUUGCUGAGUGAUCCGCAGUCUAUAAGAUAAUUGUCUAUAUUGUAACUUAUUUUUGGAUCCCACACAAAAAAAAUAUAUAUAAUAAAAAGAUAAAAUAAUAAUAAAUAAAUAUAUAGCCGGAAGAAAUUAGAAAAACUAACAGGUGGCGGGAGCGCUCAGAAAAUUAUCAGAAAAAUAGAUUAAGGAGGAUAAAAAUACAAAGAUUAAAAUUUUGACAGUAUAUCUUUGAAUGAUGAGAGCCAUGUUGGAAAAUAAAAUUCAAUUUGAAAAGAAAAGUCCAAAAUUGGAUGUUUAUGGACUCAAUUGGAUUUUAUUGAAGGUUUAAUUGAAUUUAUAAAGGGUUUAAUUGCAAGAUAAAUUUAUUUUUAAGUCAAUUUGGGCUUUAAUUGGUCGAAGAAAUUAAAGUUCUGGGGUCAAAUUAUAAUUUUUGAGAGUUGAUUUGGUCAAAUCAGGGGCUUAAUUGCAUAAAUAUUAAAGUUUAAUGGCCACUUAGGGAUUUAAUUGAGAAAAUCCAAAACCAAGGACCAAAUUGGAAAAGGCGCGUAAAUAUAGGGGCUGUAAUCAACGAAAUCAGGGGUCAAAUUGAAGAAAUUGGAAGGUUAUUAAUCAAUUGAGGGUCCAAAUGCACAAAUUCAAAACCAAAGACUAAAGUGAAAAAGACGGACAACUAUAGGGGCGGCGAUUGAAAUUGGCAGGGAUGCAAUUGAAUUAAUUCUUAAAAAUCAAGAUUACAUUGUGAGGACUUAAAAGAACAAAAGAUAAAUUAAGGAUUGAUUUGGAAACGAAUAUGCUAGCACCACCUUUAAAUGAAAUGACACGUUUUGUAUAAAGCGACGUCGUUUCAUGUUAAGAAAAAAAAAACAAAGAGCAAAACGGUGUCGUUUUGAGUGACACCGUUCCUCUUUCUCUUUCCCCUGGACGUGCAGCAAGGGAAGGCAUACGAUUUUCUUCUUCUUUCUUCAUUGAUUCCUGCGAGCCGCGUGCCCUACGAAAGACCCGAAGCCCCACGCACAUUGAUGAUUAGAAAUCAAAGGCGCCACGCCUUGCCAGCCGUGCCCACCAACCAACCCAGCGCUGCCCUGCUCCCCAUGCACAGCAAUAAAGAGGCCCCGCUCCCUUGCCCCUACAAAUGGAGACAGAACGCCAGCACGCGAGGGGGACAAAAAAAAGAGAAGGAGGACGAACCGAAAAAGAAAGAAAACGAACCAAAGCAGGAGAAACAAAACGGAGAGAACGAAUAGGAGAGAGAGAGAGAGAGAGAACGAACCAACGAAAGGGAAAAACAAAUCGAAAGUUUUUAAAAAUUCUAAAAAAUAUUUUUGUCUUCUUUUAGUAUAUGGGAUUAUGAAUUUAUACGUAAAACAUAUUCCUGAUAUUAAAAAUAUAGUUUUCAAAUAGACGUUAGAACAAUUAGGUUUUUACCCAAUACGAUAAGGACCUCCUUACUAAGGAGAAUUUUUCUUGAACCAUAGACAGACCAACAAUUAAAAAUAUAAUAACACCUUAGCUUUUUAUCAGACAAUUAAACAAUACAGCUUACCUUAGGUAAGACGUAUUUGGGGUACUAAUACCUUCCCUUUAUGCAAUCAGUCCCCGUAUCUGAUCUCUGAGACCAGUUAGGGUUACUAGUAACCAAAAUAUUAGGUGGUGACUCACAUUUCAUUUUCCACCGAUAAACGACAAGAGUUUCUUAUCUUCCUAUAUUUGCCAUAUAGAUAGAUAUUAUAUUUAGAUUUGAAGUGGAAUAAUUUUUACCGCGACGCCGCACACGUGCGACAGUCUACAUGAGUGAAUCCACUAGAUAAACAUACCAAACUUAAUCAUGAAAAAAAUAUAUUUUAAUCAUCUAAUCAAAUAUAUUUUUUUAUAGUUUAUUUUAUUCUAUUUUUUUUAUGUUUCUUGUUAUAUGAUUAUAUAAAUCUUGCUUGAGUUGAGUAUAACAUAUAUUUCAAAUUAUUAAAUAAUAAUAUCCUUUUCUAUUAUAAAUUUCGUUAAUUAGCAUUUAAUGUUCGCAGAACAUAUUUGGUUUGAUAAUAACAAAAAAAAGAAAGAUUUAUUCAUCCACUUACUUUAUUCAAAAGAAACUUAGCUUCUUGGUUUUGAUCCGUAUUUAACAGUUUUUUAAUUUUAUUAAAAUUGUUUUUUCUAAUAUAUAAAUAGCAUAUAAUAGUUGUGAUACUUUUUAUUGGAAAAAUAUUGAGUAAUAAAAAUUAGAAUUAAAAUUAAUUGAAACUUUUUGUGCAAAAUACUGUAUUUCAGUGUGUUGUCUUUCUUGUUUCUUGUUUCCGCCUGCAUCAUGAACCUUUCAAAUAAUUCAUAAAUUCAAUCAAGAAUUCCCUGUCUGCAUUUUGCUGCAGUCAGCUGUGGUCACUUUUUGCCAAUUCUGGCUGCAGAGAACUUUGCAGCUACGACGAAAGAUGCAAAAUUCUUUUUGGAAUUCAGUUCUGUUUAGAGAAGAAUCAAGCUAAUAGGUUCAGGUACACUGGGAGAGACAGAAAGCAGCAGCUAUGGUUCAACAAGGCAUGAUCCUUGCUCAAUGAGAAGUGUAGAAAAACUGGUAUAUAAACCACACAAUCUGUGUAACAUGGUGGUCUGCAUGAUCAACAAUGGUAGUUGUCUUCUCAAUUAGAGUAUACAUAUAAGUAGGCAUUGUUUAAAAACCACAACAAAUUGGAAGACUCAUUAUUGAUGCUGCCACUCUCUCAGUUAAAGAUGUUUCUUUAAGCCUUAACGACGAUAUCGACUGAGCUCAUCUGAUUGCUAUAAGAACAAAGGAUAUUGAAUUGUCUCAUUCUGAUUGCUGCAAAACCUCAACAAAUGCUUCCUUCAAAAGCGGGUUUGAAGCUGCGACUCUUUGAGUAGUGAUGUCAAAAUCUUUACCAGAUCUGUAGCCGAAAGAGCAACCAUCAAAAUAUCAGAACACGCAUUAUAUUCUGGACAAAAUGUGAGCAUAUGCUUAUGUUCUUAAUAUCUUUGACCUAUUGCUUGCCCGGAUGACAGAGUUGAGGAUGUCACAAGACGACGAUUAAAUCAUGUUGACAUUCGAUAAACACUGUUCUUUCAUGUCCAUGCAUGGGACUAUCCUCUCUAUAUCCCACACUACCCCCACCUAAGUUGUGGAAGGGAUGAAAUAUAAAUAGCAUCACUUACGGGUCAUAAACGAUUCCUCCAGCUUCUUUGACAAUCACAGCACCACCUGCCACAUCCCUGAGUUCAAGAGUAGAUUAUAUCAAUCAUGCGUCCAGAUGAACUUUUCUUGCGUCAAUCACAAAUACGUACCACGGGCCUCCAUAUCCGGUUUCAUAAAACAAAUCAAUCCUUCCACAUGCAACUCCGCAAAGAUUCAAUGCACAGGAGCCAGUCAUCCUAAGGGAUCUCACCUGAUAACAAGAUAAUCAGAUAUGAAUUUUAAGAAAACCAACACAUUUUACCAAAGCACAUAGCUUCCACAGCAUGUUCUGGUCUCACCUUGAAAAGUAAGCUGUUAAUUCUGUUCGUUGUGGCAUCCACAGUAGACUUGUCACGUUUUGUUCCAGCCUGCUCUUAGAAGAAUUUAGUUUGGUCAGUUCCUAACAUGAUUCCUUAUGAAACAUAAAGGAGUGGACUUGAAGUAGAAAGGAGUUUUAACCAGAUUCCACACAGAGCAUAACAGGGGUGAACUUAAAGCACUCCUUUUGCAGGGUAUUUGCAAGUGCAACAUGGUAAAAACUAAAUACAUUCACAACGCAUAGAUCUGCAUUUCAAAUACAGGGAGUUGGAUUUCUAGAGUCUACGAACAAUAUUUUAAUAUAAACGAGAAGGGUUAGCAUGCCAGAAAAAUCAAUCCAGGGUUAAAACAAGCUACCCUUACUCAGCACUUAACAUUUCUGACACUAUCUGGAGUUAAGACUGAAAUUGAUUGUGCCCAAGGCAAUUUUAACACCCUUCAAACCGAUCCAAUAAGAAACCAAUUGGAGAUGUACAGUUAGAAGGAUAGAAUUGUACCAAAAAAAUAUGAGACAGUAGGGCACCAAUUCAUCUCAGGUUUCAAAACUGAUUCCCGGUUAUAUUUCAGUUUAAGCUAUCUAAACUGAAAAGCAUCUCAGUUUGCAAGUUUGGGCAGACAAAAAUGAUGCUGAAAAGCAUACCUCUGUUGCAAGAAGAGAUUUCACAAGCUCACUUUGAGAUGAUACUGCAAUCGAAACACAAGUACAUAGCUGCUUAAGUUUCAUGGAAAGAUUAGCAUGCAAAAGUAUCAAAAUAUGGAAACUGACAAUAGUCAACUCAGAGACACCUUUUAUGGGUUUUCCAUUCAGAAAUGCACCUUUUCCAUGGACGCCUGUAAAAAGCUGCAUUUAUAAAUCCAAAAUCUUUUAGCAAAUUACUGGAUCACAUUUCAAAUUCUAUAAAAUUUUGACAGAACAUUAACUUCGAUGUUAAAUGGGACACUAUACGACCACAUAUCUGAAGUGAAAGCAAGAAGUGUUCAAGAAGGCAGACAAAAGUUUGAUGGACUAACUGUUUAGAUAUAGCUAGAUACUCGUUUUCCCGAUAUUUAAAUACUGGCAGACUCAACAUCAUAAAGCAGACAUUUAUCUGAGUAGAGGACCAUGAAGCUGAAAACUAGUGGUCACUGGUCAGUGUUCAUUUUGUGAGGAAAGAUGCACUAACAUCCAGCAUACAUGUAGAAGAUCACCAGGCUAUAUGAAAGGAGGUAAACUGUGCAUGUUCUACAUAAAAUUUUAAUCAUUUAAAGUUCAAAGUAAUAUCUGGCCACCUAAAACUAACAUGCAAUAUAUAAAAUCUCACCUCUUCCAUUAUUGGGUUGUAAACAACACCUACUGUAGGAACUUUUCCAAUUGUAAGACCGAUAGAAAUGCACACAAAGGGGAACCUACAUCCAAACAUGUUGCGACAAAUUAAAGUGAUGUUACAUGUAUAAAAACAAGAGGAAAUUGCCUUCACUAAACAAUGUUAAAAAAAAAAAAUAUUGCAUUUACCCAUGGACAAAGUUGGUUGUUCCAUCAAGAGGAUCAACUAUCCAUGUCGGUUCAUCAGUCAGUUCCGUAAUACCACAGGCAGCAGUAGUUUCUUCCCCAAUGAACUAAGAAAACCAGCAAAAGAGAACUUUCAAGAGAAAAACAGAGGCACUUUUUAGGAGACAAUAUUCCCCGUACAGAUCAAUAAUGCUCAAAUUCAUCACCUACAAAGUAGAAAAUACUAAAGUAAGUUGUUAACCUUAUGUGAGGGGUGCUGCAGUUUGAGAUAAUUAAAAAUAAGAUCCUCACAAGCCUUGUCAGUCUCAGUAACUAAAUCCACUUGCAAUUGAGAAAUAAAAUAAACAAUUGUCAGUAAUUACACGCAUAUAGUGAAGUAUGUUUAGCCACAGCACUUUUAUCCGGGCUAAAUUAACACAAAUGGGUUGGCAACUUCUAAUUUUUUAAUUUUCUUCUCUGCUCCACAGUUAUGAUGAUACAGUCCAAUUAACAAAGGAAAUAUGCUAGCAUUACAAAAUAGCAAAAGCACUUUCAAUUUUUUUACAAACUCGAUGACCUCAGCCUCAGCGUGAAGAUAAAAACUUUGUUUCCCAGCAGCUUUACAAACAAGGAUUUUAGCACCUCAUGCACGAUGAAUUCAAUUACCGUUAGCUUUACAGACGUUGAUGCUAAAUUCAAUUCCCAGUUUUGUUACAAAACAAGAUCACCUCAAUGCCAAGAUUAAAACUUUAUUUCCAUUAGCUUUACAAACUGGGAUCUUAAAGUUCCCCCUUGCAUUAUAAAUUCAAUUUGCAAUCAGAUAUAAUCAAUCACUGAUCUGAAUUCAAGAUUAUUUAGCAGCAUUUGAUCAACAAUUCUCCUUUCUUUAGGGGAAAAAAAUUGCUAAGCACUACACAGACUCUACAUUCAAGAUCACAUGAAGCAACAAGAAUGUCCAAGAUAAGACUACCCUGAUUAACGACCAACAAGAAAAAGAGAUACAAAAAGAACCCAAGAAAAGCAAAGAUGUGGGUACCAGUCCUUUAUGCUCCACAUGCUUGGUCUGGUAGAAUCCUUCACGGAUUAUCUACAAAGCACACAAGAAAUGGAAAAUGAGACUAAAUUUGAGACCCCUAAAAAAGGAAAAACAAAAUCUAAAAUUUAUAUCUCACCUCUCCAGCUCUCUUUGCUGCCUCAACAGCAGUCUGCAAGAACUCUGAAAGAGAAUCUAAAACAUCCCAAAUAAAAAACAAAAUGCAAAAAUCAUCAAGAUCCCAUACUGAAAAUGAACCAAGAAAUCAAAAACAAAACAAGAAAGAAUGCAAUAAAAAAACUUGACGGGGUCCUACCAUUCUGUGCCAUGUUUUAAAAUUUGUAUGUAGAAAGAAGAGAGUGACAGAGUGAAGUAGAUUGUGGUGGAGGUGAUGGUGAUGAAAGGCUCUGUGUCUCUGAGUUUUUUUACGUCUAAAAGGAAGUAGCAGGCAAACCACAAAAUGGACCGUUUGAUUUCUGUUUUUCUCUCUCUUUAUACAUAUAUAUGCUAAAGAAUCUGCCUUUUCACCCAGUCUGUGUACGUUUUGCAUCAAAUUCCUGGUGAAAAAGGAAGUCCUUUAAUGGUGCCUUUUGAGUCCUUUUAACCCUUUUUUAUGGCUACUCUUCCCCUACGUCAUAUUGUUACUCUUGAGUUUUCCUAAGAAAUUAAGAAAAUAUUAACAUGAGAAAAUAUUAACAUCCAAAUGAUGGGGAAAGAGAUUUGUUCAAUUUUGAAUGAUGGAGGGCAUCAUUGGUGAGCCUAGGAAGAUAGGGACCAAAUUGAAACCUCCCUAAUAACUGGGGGUAUAGUUGUAGUACAUAUGGAGAGGGAGACCUAAAUGGCUUCAAGUAGGUUACCAUGGGGAAUGAACAUACGGUGUGUUGUAACCCAAUUUUGGAUUCAUCAAGUUUUUCUUAAAUAUUAUUUUAUUUCUAUUAUUAUUUAUAAAAAUCCAAAAAAAUAAAAAAGGUUUAAAAUUCAAAAAAAUAUUUUUUUCUCGAGUCAACCGUAUCUUUCCAUCAAAACCGAGUUCACCGGGUCGAUACGGGUCAAACCAUGUCGACCAGGGUAAAAAAUGAGUUUUCGGGCUGUUUCGGGUCAAAACCAUCAUUUUCGGCCAAGACCGAGUUCACUGGGUCGAUACGGGUCUAACCAUGUCGACCGGGAUAAAAAAUGAGUUUCAGGUCAUUUUGGGUCAAAACUGUUAUUUUGUGGUCAAAACCCGGUUCACGGGUUGAUACCCAUUGAAAGUUUUUUUUUUAAUGUUUCGACAUAAUUUUCGGUAAUUAAAAUUGAUUUUUAGCGGUUGAGUCGGGCUUUUUCUAAUACUGAUUUGAGUUUUUAAUUUUAUCUAUAAAUAUUUAUUAUUAUAUAUAAUAAAACAAAAAACUUUUUUGUCAUAUUAGGUAAUGUUAGGUAGAGUACUUUUUCUUUUUUUCUUACAAUUAGGCAAAUUUAGGCAGAAAUCAAUUAUUAUAUUACUGUUCACUGCCUAUAAAUAGGCAGUGAGCAUCGCCAGAAAAAAAAAAAAAAAAAAAAAGAAAAAAAGGAGGGAACGGGAAAACAAAGCCAGAGAAGAAGAGAAAGAAUGGUUACUGUGCAUAUUUUUUGAGUUUUUCUUCGCAGGAGUAGGAUAUUGUUUUCUUAAAAAAACAAUUUAAAAAAUACCAAAUAUAUCCCAACUCAUCUCAGCCAUUGAAAUAAUCCAAGACUUAAUCCCGUUAAGCCACGUCAUCCGGUGUACCGAGAUUUCGGUACACCGCGUCACACCGGAUCUAAACCCAGACUCAUCCAGACCGUGCGAUCGACCUCAGAUCUAGCCAAUCACAGCCAUCCGAUCAUUCCAUCAGAGAUCCAACGGCGCACAGUGUUCGGUGGUACCGGUAUACCAUGCACGCGUUCACACCGUAGCCUAAUCUCGGACUCUCUCUCUCCUCUCGCCGGCGACGUCCUCUCUCUCAUCCGAUCUCCACUUUCCGGCCGCCUCCAGCCUCCGAACCACCGCAGAAAGGUUGAUCCACUGGUGUAAAGCAAAACCCCGGCGUUUGUAACCGUUUUCACCGCCUCAUCUGGCCGGAAAAAGGCCGCGAUCCUCGCCGGCCACCGAAGCUUCAAGUCGCUGAUUCUCCCUCGUCAGCCAUCAACGGACGUCGAGACCACCACCAUCAGAAUCCUCUCCCUCAGAUCUACCAGGAUCGACGGUUCGUUUCCCAGAAAUCUCGCCGGAAAACUUCGCCAGUGCCAACAGUAGCCGCGCGUGAGCCACACGCGCCGCCAGUGGCAUUUUCGUAAAUUCCUGAAAAAUCCGAGGGUAUUUCAGUCUUUUACAUAUACAGGGGUACUCAGGUAGUUUUUGUUGAAUUCCUAACAUUUUAUUUUAUGUAAAUAUUUGUAAAUUUUUAUUGCAUGUUGUAAAAUAAAAUAAAAAAAACAAAAAAACAAGUAUAAAAAGAAUAACGACGUGGGUCCAACGCCCAUCCCAUCAUGUUAUUGUUUGUGGGUCCAAAGCCCAAUUUUCAAAUAUAGUUAUACCCAUAUCUCAAUAAUAUCAAAAUAUUUGUUUUUAUAAACAAAUAUUGUUUGUGGACACGUCUCUUUUUAUAGAAAAGGACCGAUGUCAAAUAAAAACUUUAAAAACCAAACAAAUAUGGAUUAUGUCCAUAAUUUUGUUUUUUUGGUAACUCGGACGUAAAUCUCCUUUUUAGGGUUAAACGUCGAUAUCUUAGACGAGUCUCCUAUUUUUAGGGACUGAUGUCAUUUUUAACGUGUCUCCUAAUUUAGGGACCGACGUUAACUAUUUUAUAAACAAAACAAAAAUUACAAAUAAGCUCAAAAUAUAAUAGCAUUUGAAUCAAAUAUAAAAACACACAAGUAAGGGUAACCUUUCUUUUGAAAGGAUGUUUUAAGGGUGGUGUCUACCUUCCCUUAAUCAUAACUAACCCAGUACCUGAAUCUCUGGGACCAGUGUCUAAUUUGGGAUUUCUAGUUCCCUCAAAUUACUAGAUGGCGACUCCAAUAAAAUCUAUUUCCCCCAAUAAUAAAACAAUCUUUUUUUGUUAAAUAAACAAAAAGAGCGGAGCCGUCGCCCGACGUCGUGUAUCGACACGGUGAAGCUGAAUAAUGACGGCUUCCAAUAGAGGACAUGGUUCACAAAAACAUGGACAUGCUCUCUAACAGGGUUCCUAAAAGCCGAGUAUUGGAUUGAACUCGAUUCUUGUCUCUUUAUUUCUCUCUUCCUUUCAAUACAUGUAAUUUUACCACAGAUCGAUGGAUACUGAUAUUGUCAUCAGGUUUGGGCUAUGAGAGCUACAAUUUAUGUAAAAUGAUUACAAUAAACAACCAAGCUCUUUCAUGACUACUCUCUAGGCUCACAUAUCGUGUCAUCCCAACUGCAUUAGAACGAUCCAAUAAUAUAUCUCCCAACAGCUGUCACAAUUAAAGAAGCCUUUUUAAUAAAUAGUACAAUUAUCAAUGACAAUAACAAAGCACAUUUUAAUGAAAGCAUUUUCCUAGGUUCAGAUGCCUAGAGAAUUGCUUCAUUGAAUGUUCUAAUGAUAUAUGAGCGGGAUAUAAUUAAGUUUCCCUACCUUGACAGCUUGUCGUCUUGUAAUGUAAUUGGUGGAUUCUAGCAGCUUCGAAUUAAAUUCAGCAAAAAACUGAAGUCCAUACAAAGUUAGACAAUGUCAAGCUCUGACCAACAUUUAGCAAGCAUGGCCACAACAGGAAAUAAAGACACAUUUAGAAUGUUGCAAUUCAUGUUUUUGUCAUAGAUAUGUAGCUACCAACAUGCAGUUUAAAAAAGCAAAGAAGAAUGCUAUAAAAAUGAGGAGAUAAAGCUGCUCAAUUCAUCAGAGUCGAGUAAUAGAUUCUACUUUAUAUGCCCCAUCAUUGCAGAGCAACAAUAUUUUGAGAUUAAUGCAUUACCAGAAAAAUAAAUUUGCAAACCGUCUUUCUCUAAUCUCACCAAAGGUUUUCCGGCUAAGACUUUUGUUGGCCUUCAAAUUCUUUGAAAAAACUAUAGAGGAUCAGGCAUGCCCCAUUAUACAGUGUCAGUGCGUGCAUAACUGAGGCAAUAUCUGUAUCUAUAGGUAUAUAGGAUUUGAAUUUGGGUGUUCAAAAAAAACCAUUAGAGCUUAAAACCUUUACAUUGCUUUUAUAGGAUUUUGGUUUAGAUUCUGCUUUAUGUCUCCAUCAUUGCACAGUCACGAUAUCGUGUUAUUAAUGCAUCACCAGAUAAUUAAAUCUGCACAUCAUCUUUCUCUAGUCUCAGCCACAAGUUUUCUCACCAAAAUAUUCGUCUGCCUACAAAUUCUUUAGAAAGAGGAUUGGGCAUGCCUAUCAACCACCUUGUGUGUGUGGGAUGACCUAAGGCAUGCAUAGCAGAAACAAGUAUAAACCUGUACAAGUAUGCAUCUAAACAUAAGUGACAGCAGAACUCACCCAAUCAUAGUUCUUAGAAAGAAAUUCAGCUACUGUAGAUUUAUGUCUUGUCAAUAGUUCCUGCAACAAAACAAUAUAAAAGUCUCAGAUUCACACUUCAACUAAUAGCAAAUACAAGGCCGAAACAUAAAAACUUCAUAAACAUGCAAUAAAGACAUAAACAGCAUAUUAUAGCAUACUCUAAUCCAAACCUCAAUCAGACAUCAAGAAUCACCCUAAAAAACGCAUUGUUUUCAUAAAGAUUGAACCUUUCUCAUCCAAAGCAAAAAAAGAAAAGCAACCCAGACCCCAAACAAUCUCAAAUCAAUCAAAAUCCACCUAAUUAAAAGAAAACAACAGAAAAAGAACACAAGCACACAUAAAAUAUAUAGAAAUGAUAAGAAAGAGACUGCCAACCUUCUCUUCUCGUUUUGAAUCUGAUAAAGAAGCUGAACUCUGAUCAGCAUAGAUUAAAAGAUCGCGAGUCUGUCUAACUAUAUCGACAGGAGUCGUCGGCUUUGACUUGAAAAGUCCCUUCAUCCUCUUCGAAUCACCCACUAACUGCCCCGAUUUCGAACUCAAGAGCACUGGAUGUCCCGAUUUCGAAUUACUCAACAGCCCAGAAUGUCCCUUUGUCGCUACUGCCGCUGCCAGCGCCGGUGAUUGUGGCGGUGGCAAUACUCUCCUCACCACUACCUCCUCCCGGGCUGCUGCUGCUGCGGCAGCUGGUUUUGAAACGCAGACUCCUAUCUUUCCUCCCUUUAUAAACCCCACAAAAACACAAGAAAGCGAUUUUGCCUUCUCAGCUGGUUUUGACACGCAGACUCCUAUCUUUCCUCCCUUUAUAAACCCCACAAAAACACAAGAAAGCGAUUUUGCCUUCUAUUUACGAAAAGGGUUCGCGGUUUACUUGAUUUCAGCCACCAAUUUUGCUUUUGGAUUAUUGGGUUUUUAUGGGAUCUUGGUGAAAAUGUGUGCUUGAUUCGACGGUUAUGGUUUUUUGGGCUUUGCAUAAACAGAUUGCCAGUCGUUACCGUGUCACUAACCGCUAAAUACUUACAGUACAGUGCUAUUUUUUCUUACGUAUUCAUUUUCUCUAUUAUUAUUAUUACUAUAAAAAAAAAAUUACAAAAGAGGGGAAUUCACUAUGACCGUCUCACAAAAGCACUGUUUAUUAUAGUUUUAAAAAUAAUAUUUUAAUAAAAAAUCCAAAAAAAUAAAAUUCAUCAACGGUGUGAUAGUUAGUUAAACAGGUCAGCUAAAAUUUUCAAGAUCAGCUGAUUUUUUUUUUCCAACUCGAAUGGCUCUAGUCAUGGAUUAGAUUAACUGGGUCUAAGUUGAUUUAUCUGGUAGUCUAGGUUUUAAAACAAUAUUGUUCAUAGUUCUAGAUCAUGAAUUUAAUAAAUUAAUUUAAUUAUAUAUAUUAUUAUUUUAAUUAAAAAAAUAAAUUGUCAUUUUAAAAAAGAUUUUCAAAGUCAGUUUUUAUCUGGCAUUUAGGUUAAUAUUUGACCUGUCAAAUUCACUAUAUUAUAUUAAAUUAACUCUAACAUGGUUUUGAUUUUAAAUUUGAAUUAAAUAAAAAGAAUUCAAAACUAAAUCAUUUCUCCAAAUUUAAUAAUAUUAUCAGAAUAUUACUCGUUGCCUAAACAUUUUUUUAUACAUUAAUUUUUUUUUUGUUCGGCUAGUAGCAUAACGUAAUUAACCAGUAAUCGAUCUAAUCCAUUUUUAAAAAAUUUUAAUAUUAACAGCUAUAUGUGCAGGGAAUAUCAUGGGGUAAGUUCAGAUUGUAAUAAAAAGUACUUGUUCCAUUCAAACUUCUUAGGUUUGGAAAGAAUCAUUGGGAAAUUUAUUUGUAAUUAGUCUUAUUCAUAAAAGUAUCCUAAGACAAUAUCAUUUAGCUUCGACAUUGAUGCAAUAUUUAUACCAAAAAAGUCUCUUUAGAAAUUUAAUGUUUAUGUAUUGUAAAUUUAUUUGUAUUUAUUUUUGCUAUAUAAAAAAGUAAAGUAUACCAUAUCUAUCUAUGUAUCUAAGUUUUUCAUAAAUAGACAGUACAAUACUACUGCUCAUCACUUAGAUAGAUACUAGUUAAACUUGGAUUGAUUAUGGGUUGAUCUGAAGUAUAAUUAAUUUAGAAUCUGGAACAGUUCAAGUUAAAUAAAUAAAUAAAAAAUUUAGUUGAUCUCAUAAAAAAAUUCAAUUUGAAUGGUUUCAACACCCAUCCCUCAAUUUUUUUAAAUUUGUUUUUAAAAAAAUAUUGUUUUUAUCAUAUUUAGAAAAAAAACAUUUGACAAUUGACUUAUGAUCUUUUUUACUCAUAAUCUAUAUCUUAUUCUAGUCCACUCUAUAUCAAGUUUUACAAUUAUAUUAGAUUUAUUAAUUUUUUUAAAUUUUAUAAUGGAAUUAUUUUGGAUCCAUAUCCAAUAUAAAAAUACGAUCUAAUAUUUAAUAUUAAAAUUGUAGUUGCAUAAAUCUAAUGAGUUUGUAAAGUAGAUAAUAUCAUAAAAUUAUCCUUUAUAUAGGCUAUAUAUAAAGGAUGACAAAUGAUAAUAUUAUUCAAUUCAUGAAAUUACCGCCUGCCAUAACAUCACAAAUAAACCACAACAGACAAAGCAAACACACAUAUUUUCUCAUGGAGUCUCUCACGCACACAUCAAUGUUCUCUUGUCACCACCACAUAAAUAGACCCAACAACACUUAUGUUAUAGAAUAUUAAUUAAUAAAAUAAAAAAGAAGAGGCAGGAGGUUUUCAUCACCAAACUUAACAUUACCUAUUGGCUAAGAAAUUGGCUCUAUUUCCAACACCCUGGAACAUGCACCGUACAGUCCUCCAAUAUUUGUUGAUGGAGUAUCAUCGCUUUCGGAAAUCUCAUCGAUUCUUUUCUCACCUUCAAGUACACUGACGAUUUCGGAUAUUUUAGGCCUUAGAGUGGGAGACAGUUUAACACACUUCAUUGCUAACAGCAAAACAGUCAGAGCCUGCUUCCUAUCGUAACUGGAUGCCAAUCUCUUGUCCACCAAGUCAAGGAUUCUUCCCUUAUCGUACAAAACACCAGCCUGCAAUUACAAAGCAAGAUUGGCUUAGCUCCGAGUAUUAAGAAAAUAAUCAAGUAAAUAUUCCUGAUUAUUUUCUAUUCAAUAAAAAACAAAUCAAGGAAUUAAAUCAUUCUAGGUAAUCAAGAAAUUAUUUCAAUCACCCAAUUAAAGGAUACAAUCAACUCUAUUUUCUAUAAUUUAUUUUAUUUUUAUUUACUUAUGUGUCUUGUUAUAUAAUUAUAUAAACAACAUAUGAGUUGAAUAUAAUACAUAUAUCAAAUUAUUGAAUAAUAAUAUCUUUUUUUAUUUUAAAUUUCUUCUUAGUAUUAGAGCGAUCUCUAAAUAUUAGCUUUUGUUUUUUCAUAAGUUGAAUGUAACACAUAUAUUAAGUUAUUUGAUGUUGACAGAACAUGUUUGGUUUGAUAAUAACUAUGAAAAAAAAGAAAAACAAAGGAUUUAUCCUAUAAGACCCACUUACUUUAUCCAGAAGAAACUCAGCUUCUUGGUUUGGUGUGUAGUCUGCACUAACUUUUCCGCUAACUAUUUCGAGUAGGACAAUUCCGAAACUGUAAACAUCAGCUUUAACAGUUAUUGCUUUUCCCAUUGAAUACUCAGGUGCCAUGUAAACUCUGCAAUAAGAGAUUAUUUAUUGGUUAGCUCUGAAUUAAAAGAAUGAAAGUAGUUGUCAAUCAAUGAUCAUAAUACUUACCGCGACCCUUUUGCUUUGAUGGCCAUAAAUGGAUCUUCCUCAUCACAAAGCGUUGCCAAUCCAAAGUCAGACAACUUGGCCGUAAGAGAGUUAUCAAGCAAAAUAUUACUAGGCUUUAUGUUUCCAUGAACAAUCUUGAACCUUUUCUCUUCAUGUAAAUACUUCAAACCUCUCGCUAUUCCCAGACAGAUACCAAAUCUAGCUUUCCAAUCAAGUUUUGUCGUGGAAUUUGGUUCUACAAAUCAAGGUUAUUGAUAUUAAGUUAUUGAUAUUUGCAAGUACACUAUCCUUGUACUAACAGAAGAUUCAAAUAUACAAUUAGAAGCUCUCACAAACAUUAAGUAGCGGAAUUCUAUUACUACUGUACGUGUUUUAGUUCUCAACAAUUGUAUGAAUUUCACAAGGCAAUGCAUUAGGUGAAAAUUAAGAUAAAACUUGAGAACCGAAAGAGAUGGCAGUAUUACCAAACAACGCAUGGUGAAGGGAGCCUUUAUGCAUAUAGUCAUAUACUAGCAGAUGCAGGUCUUUAAUAGAAUAGCCAUCCAACAACUGAACAAGAUUCUCAUGAUGCAAAGAUUUCAUGUUGAAGAUUUCCCUUUGUAAUUCAUCUUUUCCUUGUUGCUUUGAUUGAGGAGAAAUCUUCUUCACUGCUAAUUUUAUCUCGUUCGGCAAUUCAGCCUGUAUACACGUGAAAUCAAUUUACCAGAACUCUGAAAGAAAAAAGUGCAUGUUGAGGAACAAAUGUUUCAGAAAAGAAAAUCUGACCUUGUAUACUAUUCCAAAGCGUCCCCUUCCAAUCUCCAUUUUGGGGCUAAAUUUUCGAGUAGCAUCGAUUAUUUGUUUGAGGGUGAAAUAUAUUCCAUCUCUUUUUACCUCAAUAGUUAUUUCUAUUUGAAGAAAACAUCAAAGUAAGAAUUCUUAAGGUAGUGUAUGGUGCAUAAUGAUUUUAAAUUAGCAUGGAGAGGUACCAUCCAACUCGCUUUUCCACAGCCAUUUUAGCAUGAAGGCCAUUUUCCACAUGAAAGCCAGCAGAAGUAGAGAAGCAAAUACUGAACCUGCAGUAAUCCCUGCAAUUUGUGAAGGAGAUAGUUUCUUGCCGCCAACUUUGAAGUCUGAAUACAAAUAGUGGAAGACAACAAGAAAAAAUUAUUUAUCCAGAUAAAGUGUAAUAGAAAUCUUUGCUCAACAAAAUUAAGAGAAUGCAAUUCUUUACUUGCAGUUACGGAAAUGCCUGCCACAAGGGGUCCAUUUAGAGACAGUGCAGCAGGUGGAUAGGAAAAACCUGGCACCCUGAAAGAUCCUUUUCCAGCCCAGAAAAAAUGGAUAGUCAAACGAUGAUCAUCUCCUAUAUAUGCCGUAAAAUUUUGAGUCUUAUUUGUGACACUGGCGUUUUCUUUAAUGUUGAAGUCUUUUAGUUCUCUCUUCCCCUAUAUCAAAAAUGGAUGUGAUGUUGAACGAUGGAAAUUUUUGAAAUAUAGUUGCAGAAAAAUGGAUGUGAUGUUACCUGUAUAUAUACAUCAAAAACACGUUUCCCUAAAUUCGAGUAAUCUUUAUCAUUUUGGUAAACAGUUUCAGCGAAGUAAAGCUUCACGGUGUAAUUUCCUUUAAAUAAACAGAAGCCGUAAUAUGUCAGAGAAAGAGGGCAGAGGCGAGUUGAGUUGUACAACUGUGUCGCAGCAGAAUCACAAAUUACUCCACAAUCCACGUUUUUUAUGUAAUCACGGUUUGAAUCAUAAGUCUCCGAUCCGAAGUCUCCAGAACAAGAAUAAGCCCAAUUUUUACUUGGAGCUGAAUAAUAAUUUGAUGUUGAAGCGUCUGCUUCAAACACUUUCCCAUCAACAACUGUCUCUCCUCCUCCACAAUUUAUAUAUAAGGAAUCGUCUGCAAAAUAUGAUAAUCAGUACAGAAAAUCUGUCCUGCGCAAAAUUAAUUAGAGCUUCUCAAUAGAGCUUACACUUUUGUUUUCGCCGACAUUUAUCUGUCAAAUUACGUAUAGAAAUCCUAGAAAUAGCAAACAAAAUUUGUAAGAAAUAGCUCAGGAUUAUUUGUUCUAAAUUAAUUGCACCAUAUGGAGGAUAUUACCAUACCUGUUUGGUUCACUGCUUGAGUAGGAACACCAUAUAUAUGCAAGCAGUUGGUGCACAUGAUACAAAAUGAUCAGAAGUUGGAAUUUCAUAGACAACAAUAUUCUUGCAAGUGAAAAAAAAGGAGGAAGAAAAUGAAGUUGCCGUUAUUACAUGUUCAGCUUUCCUUCUCCUUUCUUCGGAUCAUCACGUGGAAUUUCAAAAUUAUUAUAUGACAAGUCCCUGCAACAUUAUUGUUUACAUAUCAAGAUUUUAUUGAGGCAAUCUACAAAAGGGAAAACAAACCAUCUGAGCAAAGAGCACAAAGCCAUAACAUACGCCUCGUGCUCAAUGGUAUGAGGAAGCCAGGCAGGUACUGUGCCAUCAAGCAUAUUUCUUGUGAGAAACCUAAACAAAACAAAUCAAUAUGAAAACCAUCACAUGUUUUUUAAUAGAGUGUCAAAACGAACUUAUUAUAAGAUGGAUUGAUCGAGUUCAAGAAAUCUCUUUUGCAUACAUCUUAGUUAAAUUAAGGUUUUUCACGGAAUCUGGUAUUCCACCCGUUAAGCUGUUAAAGCUCAAGUCUCUGCAGGGUCAAAAAAAUGAAAGCAAUCGUUAUCCUACAUAUUUGAUGAUCAUUUGACAUCUUAUUGAUAAUUGAUUCUGUAAAAACAUAAUCAAAAUCAUCAACAUUUCUAUGCAUGGCCUAAUGGCCCUAAACAAUGAGUAUUUAUAGAGCUGAUGAAACAAAAUAGCCCUGACAGAACUACAAAUCUUUUACAAAAGAGGAAAUGAAACUUACAGGUAUGUUAACAAUGACCAAUUACCAAUGUACGAGGGGAUUUCACCACUUAUUGAGCAAUUCCUUAUCACCCUACACAAACCAUUGAAGAAGUUGGUGUUUGGAUUUAUCCAAUGCAUCCAUAUCUUUAAGAGUCACAUACAUAAAUAUUGAGAAUAUCAUAGCAGACAAAAAAAUAAAAAUAUAAAACACAACAUUGUGACUUCAUGAUUCUGUUAUGCCUACAUCCAGGAUAAAUUUACUAUAGUCGUAAUUAAUAUAUAUUUUUUUAAAUUCUCAAACCUGAAUCCCAGAUACAACUAGUCUUCACAGCAUGUAAUAGCUCAUAAAAAAAACUCAAGAUCAUAUAAAGAAAAAUAGGCCUAAAAAAAUAUUUAUGUAAAAGAUCGGUCAUAAUCCAAAUUCUAUAACAAUAACGCUCCUAGACAAAUAUAAUUCUAAGUGUAAAUGGUUUUUAUUAUUCAAUUUGAAUUCAUGCCAUAUCUCAAAACAUUUUGGCUUUGCCAAUUUGAAAUUAGAACAAAGGUAAUGCAUUUGAGUAUGCAAAUUGCGCAAAUACAUUGCACAUUAAAGAAAAGAAAAUUUCAAGUUAGUUAUUAUGUGAUUUUCGAGUGUGAGCUUUAAAGAAAAGCAAAGGAAGGAAAAACUCACAGGUAUUUUAUUUUCGUCAUAUUUGCAUUUUUUGGGAAAGGAAAACCGGAGCUAUUUACAUCACUAACCACCCUGGAAGAAAAACCAUCCAGAAUAAAAACAUGCAUUUAUUUCAACCCGGUUAAAUUAAAUUAUAGAGCACUUACAAGUAUCGAAGAUUUGACAUGUUAAAAAGAAGACCAAGAGGAAGCUCUCCUUCAAAAUCAUUUCCGGAGAGGGACCUGUGUUUAGUACACAAAAACACAAAUUAUUGAAUGAUAUUCAUCGAUCAUCGACAGUUUCUCAAUCAAAUGGUGGGCAUUCAGCAUUGAGAAAUCAGCUCAAUCAAGUAAUAGUGGUUACAUUCAAAUGUUUAUAAUUACAGAAAGUACAAGUAAUUUCUUACAGCCUCUUGAGUUCAGUCCAAUUCGCAAUGAACCUUGGUACUUGACCGGUCAAACGGUUCCCAGCUACGCUACUGCAGCAUGAAAUAAUUAAUUAAGGGACCACUACACUAAACAGAUUGUUGGUUGAAAUAACAUGAUGAGUUGCACUUACAACUGCGUCAAUCCCACAAAGUUGGCGUAAUUUCCCGGCAGUUCUCCACUCAAAUUGUUGGAGCUCAACCCUCUACAACAACAAAUCAAAAGGAUUGUAAUCCACCCUUUUUCUAUUUUAUUUCUCCUCUUACUAUCUUCCGUGGUUUUACAAGGUGGUAUGAUAUUAUUAUUCCCAAUCUUCCAAGUUUUUGAAACUUACAAAUAAUUAAGAGAUUCCAAUCUUCCAAGUUCUGGUGGAAGCUGACCAAUGAGUUCAUUGAAGCCCAAGUCCCUAAUUAAAUAAGAGGAGAAUGAAAGAGUGAGUGAGUGAGUUUCUAUCCAUCUGUAGGAGAUUAGAGAGGUUGCCCAAUUCUUUAGGGAUAAGAGCACAAAACUUGCAUAAGCAAUGGAAAAAGAAUUUAAUUAACAUUAUAUGAUACUGAAAAGACUGUGAUUACAUGAUACUUACAGAAUAUUAAGGAACGACAAAUUCCCUAAAAAUCGAGGUAUGGAGCCAAUGAGGAAGUUACCGGAGAGAUCGCUAUGCAUAUGUAUUACCAUAUUAGUUCAUUAUUGUUAAAAAAUAAAAAUUCACGUUCUAAAAUAAGAAUCAAUAAUUUAAAUUUUAAAAAGACACACUAAGAACUGAAAUUAGUUAUUAAAUAUGAUCCAAAAGCUAGCUCUUUGCUUAUAACCCUGCAGACAACCCAACAAGUAUCAACACAGUUAAGCAAUUAGUGAAACAAGGUUUUUAUCCUAAUUAAAUAAAAAAAGAGAACCAAACAGAACUCAGAAGUCAACUUUUGUGACCAUUAACAUCUUGCCAUGAACAUUUAUAAGUAUCAAGACCCCAAACAGCUUGCCUUUUUUUUCAUUUCUAACAAAGCUGAUUUUACUUGAAAAUGUUUCACCAAAAAUACUAUUAAAAAAUCGUAAUUAUUACACUACAAGUUUAAUCUAUCAAUUGUAUAUUCAGUAACUUCUUCUUAUAAUGAAGCAAAUUUGAGUUCUUAACUCAAAUUUUCACCAUUAUAAGAUAAUUAUAUAGUCCUAAAAUAACUUCUCCGAAUGAAAAUGAAAUUUUAACUAUUGGGUUUUUGGAUCUUAUCGAUGGAAUCUAAGUAUUUAAUGGAAUAUAAUUUAAAAGAAGUGAUUUUAGGGGGGAAAAUGUUAUAUAUAUAUAUAUAUAUUCUGACAACGCAUGCUGAGACUAUAUUUUCACAGAAAAUAUUAAUUGUAUGCUUUUUUUCUUACCAUUAUAUACUAUUUUUUAAAAGAACAGCAAUGGUAUAAAAUCAACCCCAAAUAUCCAAGAUGUUCUCCUAUAAUUCAUAUAAAAAUGGAUGUUCUUCGAUGCCCAAGUCGAACUUUUUGGUUAGUGCCAAUUUUUUAUAAAGAAAUUCUUGAUUAUGGAUAGUUUGCUUUUAACUAUAUUAGAAAUAAUAGAUUUAGUCUUAAUUAAAGCACGAAAUCUAAAUAGAAAAAAACAUAAUAAUCUAUAAAAAUUGGACAUGGGAUGUUUUUGAAAAAAAGUUAAUAUUAAUAAAAUACAUAUAAACACCCACAAGAAUAAGAGCACAAAACUUGUAUCAGCAAUGAAAAAAAUUUAAUUCACAUUAUAUAAUACUGAAAAGACUGUGAUUGGAUGAUACUUACAGAUAUUCGAGGGACGACAAACUCUCCAAAAAUGAAGGAAUGGAGCCAUUGAGGAAGUUAUUGGAGAGAUCGCUAUGCAUAUGUAUUACCAUAUAAGUUUAUUAUUACUCAAAAGAUAAUAUAUAUAUGUAUAUAUAUAUUGAGACUAUAUUUUCAUAGAAGUUAGUAAUCGUAUGCUUUUUUUUCUUACCAUUAUAUAUUAUUUUUUAAAAGAACAGCAAUGGUAUAAAAUCAACCCCAAAUAUCCAAGAUGUUCUCCUACAAUUCAUAUAAAAAUGGAUGUUCUUCGAUGCCCAAGUCGAACUUUUUGGUUAGUGCCAAUUUGUUUUAAAAGAAAUUCUUGAUUAUGGAUAGUUUGCUUUUAACUAUAUUAGAAAUAAUACAUUUAGUCUUAAUUAAAGCAUGACAUCUAAAUAGAAAAAACAUAAUAAUCUAUAAAAAUUGGACAUGGGAUUUUUCUGAAAAAAAGCCAAAAUUAAUAAAAUACCUAUAAACACCCACAAGAAUAAGAGUACAAAACUUGUAUCAGUAAUAAAAAAAAUAAAUUUAAUUCACAUUAUAUGAUACUGAAGAGAUUGUGAUUGGAUGAUACUUACAUGUAUCCAAGAGACGACAAACUUCCCAAAGAUAGAGGUAUGGAGCCACUGAGAAAGUUAUCGGAAAGAUCGCUAUGCAUAUGUAUUACCAUAUAAGUUAUUUAUUACUUGAAAGAUAAAAAUUCAUAUCCUAAAAUAAGAACCAUUAAUUUAAAUUUUAAGAAGACACACUAAGAACUGAAAUUAGUUAUUAUAUAUAAUAAAAAAAGCUAAGCAGUUCUUUGCUCAUAACAAUGUAGUCACCCAAACAAGCCUCAACAUGGUUAAGCAAUUAAAAAAUAAAACUCGGAAGGGGGGAAACAUCCACAAUAAAUUAAUGGAAAAAGAAAAAAAGAUUACAAACAUGAAAUGUUGAAAAUCAAUACAAUUUCUUUACUAGCUCCCUUGUUUUUAGAAGGCACUUAUUUUAUUUUUAUUUUUUACUAUUUCAAACCGACAUCUAAAUUAUACUUGUGAUAUAUCUUUCCUCUUUAAUGAAACAGUUGAAAAAACUUACACUCCUAUUUAAUUUAACAUAUCUACAUUUAUUAAUAUUAAAUAUUAAAUAUUAAAAGACUAUAAAAUUAUUUGAGAUAAUUAUAUUCGUAAAAUUAGCAUUGAUUUUCCUAUAUUCGUGAAUACUUGUCAAUUUACAAAAUAUAAAUUUUAUUUUUUUAAAAAAAUCAACCAUCAUUAAUUUAUAUGUGUGUACUAUAUAUAUGUUACCCAAUAGUAGAUAAUAAAGUAUAAUACAUAGUCUGUUUUAGAAAUUGAUAACUUAUCCAUUUAGUCACUUUAGCACUGGAAAAUAAUAGUAAGAACGUAUUUAACGAACAUUGGCAACAAAAUAAACUGCAGUAGUAGUAUAUGACCAUGGUACUGGAUCACUUACAGAGUGGCGAGUGAAUGCAAGUUCCCCAUGGUGACAGGGAUGCUACCAUAAAGUUGAUUGUUGGACAAAUCACUGUUUUGGUAACAUGAUUGUUAUCAAUUAAUUAGUUGAGCUCAGCAUAAUAUUCGUAAAAUUAACAUUGAUUUUCACUAAAUACUUGUCAAUUUACAAAAUAUAAAUUUUAUUUAAAAAAUAAAUAAAAAUUCAACCAUCAUUAAUUUAUAUGUGUGUAAUAUAUAUAUAUAUAUAUAUAUAUAUAUAUAUGGUUACCCAAGAGUAGAUAAAGUAUAAUACAUAGUCUGUUUUAGAAAUUGAUAACUUAUUCAUUUAAGCCCUAUUUGUUUGCUGGAAAGUAGUUUCUUUUUGAAAAGUGAAUUUCAGGGAAAGUGAAUUCCGAGAAAGUAUUUUUCGAUGUUUGGUAGUGUAAUGAAAAAUAAGUUGGAAAACUCUUUCCAGUGUUUGGUUAUGUCAUGAAAAAUGAGCUGGAAAAUAAGUUAUUAAUAUUUUAUUUUUCUCAAGUUUAUUAAAAUAAUGAGGAACAAAUCUUACAAAUUAAAAAGUUGAAUGAGAAUGAAAUUGAAAAAAAAAUAUAAUUUCAUAAAUUACCUCAAAUAAAAUAAAUAAUAAUCAAAAUAAUAGAGAUCAAAUCUAAAUUUUUUAAAAAAAAAAAAGAUGAAGAAAUUAAAAUAAUAAUAAUCAACAUUUCAUAAAUUAUUUCAAAUAAAACAAUUAACAAUCAAAAGAAUGAGGACCAAAUUUGAUAGAUAAAAAAUUUCAAUAAAAAAAUGAUAAGAAAAAAUCAAAUAGCAAUUAUAAAAAUAAGGACCAAAGAUAAUAUAAAAAUAAAAUUUUAAGAGAUGAAAUUAAAAAAUAAAUAUUUAAAAUAAAAUAUAUAUAGCAAUCAAAAGUUUGAGGAUCAAAUUUGAUAUAAUCAGCAAAUAAUUACAUUUCUAAAUUUUUCACAACUUCCGGAAAGUGUUUUCCCCCCAAAUUUUUCAGGAAAACACUUUCCUGAAAACCAAGCUAAAUUUUUCUUUUACUAAAAAGUAUUUUCCGUUAACCAACUUUUCUAAUGACAAACAAACACUUUCCUGAAAACCAGGUUAAAUUGUUUUUGACCGGAAAGUAUUUUCUGUUAACUAACUUUUCUAAUAACAAAUAAAUAUAAAAAAAUUUAAAAAAUAAUUUGCUGAAAACUACUUUACAGAAAGAAACAUGGCCUUAGUCACUUUGUCACUGAAAAAUAAUAGUAAGAACGUAUUUAACAAACAUUGGCAACAAAAUAAACUGCAGUAGUAGUAUAUGACCAUGGUACUGGAUCACUUACAGAUAGGUGAGUGAAGGCAAGCUCCCCAUGAUGACGUCAGGGAUGCUACCAUCAAGUUCAUUGCUGGACAAAUCACUGUUUUGGUAACAGUAUUGUUAUCAAUUAGUUGAGCUCAGCAUAAUAUUCGUAAAAUUAACAUUGAUUUUUAUAUAUUCAUGAAUACUUGUCAAUUCACAGAAUAUAAAUUAUCUAGUCCUAAACACUUUAUUCUCCGAAUGAAAAUGAGAUCUUAACUAUUAUUUGAUGGAAUACAAUUUAAAAGAAGUGAUUUUAGAGAAAAAAAAUGUUAGAUAUAGUUUCAUAGAACUCUUAAAAACAGAAGUUACUAAUUGUAUGCUUUUUUAUUCUUACCAUUAUAUAUUAUUUUUUAAAAGAACAGCAAUGGUAUAAAAUCAACCCCAAAUAUCCAAGAUGUUCUCCUAUAAUUCAUAUAAAAAUGGAUGUUCUUCGAUACCCAAGUCGAACUUUUUGGUUUGUGCCAAUUUUAAUUAUAAAUGUAAAUAUUUUAAAACAUUAAUAUUAUUUUUUUAAUUAUAAUUAUUAUUUAUUAAUAUUUAUUCAUCAUUUGAGUUUUCUAUGUAUAGUUUGAAUGUGUGUGAAUGAUUGUUUACUUGUUUUAAGAUACAUUUUCUUCAUAUGAUAAAUAAAUUUGGGAUAGAUCUUGAACGUGCUUUUCAAUCAAUAUUAUCAUGAACGUGGGGAUUAGGCCAUUUUCAAGCCCAGGUUUAGAAUCACUCUCUUAGUUUAUAUUAUAAAUUCUCUAACCGUUAAAUUAUGCAGCCGAACUUUUAUCUACGAAAUAAAAUCUUUUUUAAAACUCAAGUAGCUAUGCACAACAAAAUUUCGAGUAUGCAGCUGGGACUCAAUAAUUGCAUCCCCAAAGGCUAUAUAUAUCUAGUCCAAGCUAAAUAACCACAGCCCAAAGACCGAAUAUCCGAUGCAGAAGCUAAAAAUAUCAAUUCUAGGGAUUCCGAAUCGAAUUACAUAGCAAAACUUAAUUUUGUUUUAAAUAUUGUAGUAUAUUUAAAAUAACGAAUAUUUUUGGACAAAUCAGUGCAACAAAAUAAACUGCAGUAGUAGUAUAUGACCUUGGUACUGGAUCACUUACAGAGAGGUGAGUGAAGGCAGGUUCCCCAUGGUGACAGGGAUGCUACCAUCAAGUUCAUUGUUGGACAAAUCACUGUUUUUAAUGUAAUAGGAUUGUUAUCAAUUAGUUGAGCUCAGCAUACUGAUUCGAAUGCAUGAUUAUCAUCACAUUGCAUAUGAUACUCACAUUUCUUCUAGGUGAACGAGACUAGCCAAGGCUUCAGCGUCGAUUCGUCCGUCUAAUUCUUGGUUUGAGAGAUCUCUACCUCCCAAAAAUGGCGUCAACAUAGAAACCAGUGAGUUUUAAAGAGGAUGCAUUGCCUUACAAAGAUAAAAAAAUAAAUUGGAUGAAGUUGAUGAGGAACUUACAGGCCGGUGACGUGACAAACUGAGUUGUUGUGAUAACUGCAAUUGCAAUUGAUGCCUUGAUAAUUAUUGUCACAAGGCGAGCUUAGUAGCAAAUCCCCCCCUAACGUGGUCAUCAAGUCAUCCAAAGCCGUUGCUGCCAAACGUUUUAAACAAAGAAACACAUAUUUUGUUUAGCAAGAUUCAAACAGGCCUAGCUACUUCUAGCUAGCUUCAAAUCCGAACUAAAAGAAGAAAAAAACUAGUGCUAAUUUUAUGGAUGUGUGAAUUGACUCCAUAUAAUUCCAUGUUGAAAAUCUAUCUAGAUUUCCUUACCACCUCCCUUGUUUAUAAAAUCCUCGUAAAAAUCACUUCAUCCUUAACCAAUCACUUCGCUUGAUAGUUAUAGGAAAAGAUGGAGAAGCAGAAAAUAUCUAAGAACUAAAGCACUACGGAACUCUCUGCCAGGCUGUGGAAGCACUAGAGAGUGCAAAUGGAAGAGAGAAAUAGCAGUAAGGUUGGUUAUUUUUUUAUCUGCCACAGCUUCCCAAGUUGAGCAGAGCCUCACACCCAACAUUCCAUCCUUCCUUCCAGAUCAAGUACUGUUCUCUCUUCUUUCUCUCGUUAGCUUGGAUCAGUUUCUUGCAAACAUGAGUGAGUUUAUAUUCUUAAGAAUUUCACAUCGAUCUAUGGUUAGGAUUUACAUUCAUCCAAAGAUGGUUGUUAUUCAAAAUAUGAAAGAGAAGAGGAUCUGCUUGGAUAGGGAUCAGAAGAUAUUGAAGGAAAAGCUCAAAGUUAACAGAUAAACAAAUUUUCUUCCUUCUUUUGUAUAUAGGAGGAAAAGGAUAUAUAUGUAGAUGGAAAAGUAUAUCGUGCGUGUGUACCUUCAUCUUCAGGCAACGUGGCGUUUCUGUCAGAGGGAUUUGUUGAUUGGCAGGCUACAUAGCCAAAUUGACAAAGAAGAAGAACGGCAAGAAAGGAAACAAGCUUAGGAAAGAGCUUAGCCAUUACUCUAGCAUGCAAUGCGCUUCCCACAAGACAUACAUAUUCUUUAUAUAGAUAUUGUUUUACCGUUCAAACAGUUAUUAACUCUGAAUCAAUUACCUCACAUUACCAAAUUGUCCCUGUCCAAACAUCAAAAUACCCGAGAAAAGUAACUUGCAAUAUUAUGCAUGGAGGCUUAACAAUUUUGGUUCAAGUAAAUUGCAAAAUGAUUCCAAAGCAGCAUCUUUUUAAAUUGAUUAUCUCGUAGUUUUUAAAACGGUGUAAAAUUUGCAUAUUUGAAUUCAAUUCAAUGUCUGAGAUUUGUUUUCAUUCAUGCAUAAUUAAUGGGUGGUAAUUAUUCAAAUAUAUAAUAUAUAAUAUAUAAUUAUGAGUUAUUAUGCAUUAUUAAUCCAACACUAUUUUUGUAUCUAGUAUUCUCUCCCGAGUAAUGUGAGCUUGUGUUUUAUGUCUUUUAUCUCGCAAUUCAUAGAAAAAUAUCCAUCACACUUGAUAUAUAUAUAUAUAUAUAUAUAUAUAUAUAUAUAUAAUGGAGAUAAUUAUAUAUAAAGCAGCCCAUCAAUUUAGUGGAGCUGAAAGAUAAGACAGAAUACAAAGAAUCUGAAAAGAAGAAAAACAAACUAUUCAUGUGCCUCACAACUAACCACCAGUCUUCAAUCAUGAUACCAAAGUUGUCAAUUUCAUUUCGGUAAAUAUUUUGUUUUUUCAAUUGAAAUUGAAUGUUUUAGUUUCGGAGUGCCGUUUCAAGGUUGUACUAUUCAUAUAUAUAUAUAUAUAUAUAUAUAUAUAUAUAUAUAUAUAUUCAACCAACAUAAUUAAAAUUCAAGAUAAAUUAAUUAUAGGUUAUGCAAUACAAACACAAUACCAAACAAAUAUAAUUUCAAAAUUUAAAAUAUUUCUAAAUAGUCAAGAUUAAAUAGAUCUUUAACUUAAAGUAAUUCAACUUAAACAAAAUAUCAAAAUAUUAUGAAAGUAAAAUGUUUUAACAAAAAAUAUUUUAAAUAAAAAGUUAGGUCAAUGUUAUCAAGUGGCUAAUGGAAUCUAAAGCAUCCCUUGUUUUGCUCAAAUUCCUACAAAGUAUAAACAUGAAAAAAAACAACAUGAAUAUAAACCAUAUAUAUUAGUGAUAAAUUUAAUUUUAAAAAAUUAAUAUCAUUGUUAAUGAAAAUAAUAAUAAUAAUUUUUAAUAUUAUUAUUAAUAUCAUUGCUAUUGAAAAUAGUAAUGAAAAAUAACUUUUUAUAAUCGGGUGGUUUAAUUAAUGAAAUUGAGUAAGGUUCAAUUUGAUUCAAUGGCUUUUCAAGAGCGGCACAGAUCAUGUGGAAUGAAACUAGAACGUUUCGGGCGAAAUUUAGCCAAAAAAUCCAGAACAAAUAGAAAUUUAAAAUGAGAUAAAAUUUAUUUUAUUUUUUAAAUUAAUAUAGAAUAUUUUGACCAUUCCAUACACAACGAAAUAAAAUUGACAACCUUGCAUGAUACAAUAAGCACGCACUUCUUCUACUUUGGACCACAAGUUGUCACUGAGGCUGUACAGAAGCCCACAAAAUUGUGGUAAAAAAAAAGGCGAUUCUUCGAAGUGGAAGAAGUCCUAAAUACAAGAGAGCCAUGGAUUUAUUUCUGAAAAUUCAGCAGAUUCCAGCAGCUUUCUGAAAAUACAGCAGAUUCCAGAGGUGUAAAGAUCACAACCAUGCAACGAAAUCACCACUCCCAGCUAUACUUGGUUUGCUUCGCACAAAAUAUGAGAGAAAAUCACAGGACACAGCUUGCUUUUCUGAGAUUUACUUUAAUUAUAGCAAUUAAAAGUACCGCAGAUAUAGUGGUGUAGCCAUAAUAUUUUAAAUGAGGGAUAAAUUACUUAUAAAUAUUCAAUAUUAUAUAUUAUAUAGAUAUGUGUUAUAUAAAGAAAUGCAACUUGUAGGCUACAUAGCCUUCAUCUGCAUGCAACUUUGCUUUACAGGCUACAUAGCCAAAUUGACGAAGAAGAAAAAGAACGGCAAGAGAGGAAAGAGCUUAGCCAUUACUACUUUAGCUUGCAAUGCGCUUCCCUUGAGAUGACAUACAUUCUUUAUAUAGAUAUUGUUUUACCGUUCAAACAGUUAUUAACUCUGAAUCAAUUACCUCACAUUACCAAAUUGUCCCUAUCCAAAUAUCAAAAUACCCGAGAAAAGUAACUUGCAAUAUUAUGCAUGGAGGCCUAACAAUUUUGGUUCAAGUAAAUUGCAAAAUGAUUCCAAAGCAGCAUCUUUUUAAAUUGAUUAUCUCGUAGUUUUUAAAACGGUGUAAAAUUUGCAUAUUUGAAUUCAAUUCAAUGUCUGAGAUUUGAAUUCAUUCAUGCAUAAUUAAUGGGUAGUAAUUAUUCAAAUAUAUAAUAUAUAUAAUUAUGAGUUAUUAUGCAUCAUUAAUCCAACACUAUUUUUGUAUCUAUUAUCCUCUCCCGAGUAAUGUGAGCUUGUGUUUUAUGUCUUUUAUCUCGCAAUUCAUAGAAAAAUAUCCAUCACACUUUUUUUUUAAUAUAUAUAUAUAUAAUGGAGAGAAUUAUAUAUAAAGCAGCCCAUCAAUUAAGUGGAGCUGAAAGAUAAGACAGAAUACAAAGAAUCUGAAAAGAAGAAAAACAAACUAUUUAUGUGCCUCACAACUAACCCCCAGUCUUCACUCAUCAUACAAUAAGCACACUUUGGACCACAAGUUGUCACUGAGGCUGUACAGAAGCCCUCAAAAUUGUUUGACUUUGUAUGGAUCAUGGAUCAGUGGUCAACGACGGAACGAAGAAGUCAAGAAGGUUCCUCGAAGCUAUUCUUCUCCCUCCCGCCAGGGCCUAUCCUAGUAGGGCCCCCUUUCGUGGAAUAGCAGCUACCACUACCAAUCAACCAGAAGAAAAUUCAGCAGAUUCCAGCAGCUUUCUGAAAAUACAGAGUUCCUGCCCAUGAGUUGCAACGAAAUCACCACUCCCAGCUAUACUUGGUUUGCUUCACUCAAAAUAUGAGAGAAAAUCACAGGACACAGCUUGCUUUUCUGAGAUUUACUUUAAAUAUAGCAAUUAAAAGUACCGUAGAUAUUUGUUUAAGGAAUAUUGUGCUCCAAUCUUAGUUUAUGAAAGCUACAAACAAUAAUGAAUGGGUAUCAGCAUACAAAACCUUUUAUCUUAUUUAAUUUAUCCCUGUAUAUAUAUACCCGAUUUGUACAAACUCAAGCAUAUAAACCAUAAAAUAAAAUAAAAACAUAUCCAAAAUAAGUUCACAUCUUAAAUAGGUUUAAUUUAGAAGGACUAAAUUAAGUAAAUUAUGGUUCAUAAAUCCUAUUUUGACGCAAACCAAUCUUAAUUCCAAUAAAGCCCAUUUAAAUGGUAGAGUUUUCACAUAAUUUUACUAAGAUCUCUACUAUUAAUCCCUACCAUUUCUAAAUCAAAGAUGGAAUACAAAGAGUCAUAUGCUGCGAAAAGAAAAGAAAAAAAAAAUCAAGAAAAGAGAGCUUGUCUUGAUAAUUAUUGUCGCACCCCAAAACAAUCCUCGCGCGGCAUCGACUGGCGAUUUUUCAUUCUGUUUAACUGAUUUGGUUCUUUGGAGUCGCCACCUAGUAAUUCAUUGGGGGCUACUAGGAAACCUAAUGUACUGGUCUUGUCAGAGAUCGCGGGUAAGGGACUGGUUGUGGUUAGGAAAGGUAUUAGCAUCCCUAACGCACCCUACCUGAGGUAAGCUGCUUUGUGGACUUGAUGUGCUAAAGAAGUUUUAAAAAAUUUUGUUCUCUCAUCGAAUUUUAGAAAAUACAACUUACAUGUAAGUUCUUGAUUCUUUAUCCGUGAUUAAAUCGAAAUAUUAAAUUCUUCUUUAUUCUGGCAAUUUUAUCAUAAAAAAAAAACAUACACACUACAUUCACUUUCAAGCUUCGUGGACUUGAUGUGAUAUUAAAAAUAAAAUUUUAGCCCAAUUCUAAGGCUUUGAUAAAUCAGUUAUUACUUUUCCAGAAUAUAUGUAGAUACAUGUUCUACAUUUCCAUGGAAAAUUCAACAUGAUUUUUAUCUGUCCUUUAGAUAUUUGUGCUAUAAAUUAAAUUCCUUUUUUUUUUUUAUUCAAUAACAUAAAAAAAAAUACAAACACAACACAUUUUUUUUUUUAUUCAUCACUUUUUCUUUUCUUUUCUUUUUCUUUUACAUCACAUUUACAUAAUGCAAAUAAAAAAUCCAAACCAAAUAAAAAAAAUACAUCAAAUAAAUUUUAAAUUACAAAAAAAAAGCCCCUAAACAAUCUAGAAAUAACAGGGAUAGCCUUCAGCAGCCGGAACAGUGUUCAACAAAUUUUCUGGGUGCAGGAACAGUGAUGGCGCGUGGAUCCCACGCACCACCGCCACUGGCGGCGCGUGGGACCACGCGCCACCGUGAAAAACAACCCGAAACAGGGGGGGUCUGCAACGACCUCCUCCCCCUUUCUUUCCUCGCCGGCGCCGACCUGCAAUUACAACAAAAAACCCAACAAAGCAGUCGAUUUUAAAUUUUUCUUAGUUUUUUUCAGAUCUGUUUUUUCUUCUUCUUCUCCAUAUCUGCUUCGGAUUUUUGCUUCUUCUUGUCCGAUCUGGCUUCUCCUUCUCUGUUUCAGGCGACGGACGGCGCUGCUGGAGGCCGAUCUGGUUUGUGGCGGCGUUGAUGAUCACGAGUCUGCGGGGAGAAGCAACUGCUGGGAUGGGUCGGCCAGGAGGGGGUCGGUUCGGUUUCUGUGGACGGUCUGGCCCCUCGUCUGGUCCCUGUCCGGCGUGAGGCUGAGCUCGGGCUGUUGAAGCUACGGUGGAGCUGGCCUGGCCGCUGGUCUGCGGGGAGAAGAUCAGGAAGAAGACAGCGGGGAUGGAGAGGGACGGCGCCGCUGGGUUCUUCGGGUGGCUGAGGAUGAAAGGAAAAAAAAAAAGGGUUCUCUGGGGGGAGGGACUGUCGGCAGGUUGAGGGAAAAAAAAAUCAAAAGGGGAAGGGCUGCUGUUUGGUUUCAAUUGGGAGGCAGAUGGGAGAAGAGAAAAAAUGUUAUCGAGUGUGUGGGUUUGUGGAGACCGAAAAUCAACACCCCGGGGGGGGGGAAGAAUAAAUCAAAGAUGGGGGACCGUGAGGGUGAGAAGGGAGUCUCUGUGUUUUGUUUUCAAGCGGUUGUGAGGAGAAGAUCAAAAUCCCCGGGGGGUGGCCGGCGGCUAAAAAAAAAAAUCAAAACCCAGCAGGGGCUGGCGGCUGGUCCUUCAUGAGGAAAGGAAGAUGGUUCGUUUUUUUUUUUUUUUUUUUUAGGGUUUUCCCCCUUGUGUUGCCUCCCAAAAUUACCAAAUGAACCCCCCUUUUGAGUUUUGAACCAGUAUUUAUAGAAAUUUUGUAGGUUUUUCAAACUUGGUCCCUCAACUUCUUUUUUUUGUAAAUUUUGAUUUUUUUUUUUUUUUGUAUUUUUUAAAAACGAGCAAAUCAACGUCGAUUCUAUGAGAAAAAUUGAUUUUAAAAUGACGCGUGAAAAGUCGAACGCGUUCGAAAACUUGAAAAUUAAAAUUCUUUUAAAAAUUAAUUUUUAAGACGCUGAAAAUGCUAAAAUGACAAGAAUAUAUUAAAAAAAUAUAUUUUUUGGAUUUUGAUUGUUUUUCUCUAUUUUUGGAUUUUUUCGAAAAUAUAUCAAAACAUGGGUCAAAAAUUGGGUAGCAACAAUUAUAAUACAUAGUUAGGUUUAAAGUUGAUGAGAUAUCUAUUGUUAACUAAUAUUUUUUGAGUUUUAAAAUAAUUAGGUUUUAAUUUGAUAAGAUAUCUAUUGUUAACUAAUUUCUUCUUUAUACAUUGUUAUUAUCAAAGAAUCAUUAUAAACUUAAAAGCUUAAAGUUUUAAUUAUAAUUUUAUAUUAUUACUAGAACAUCUUUUCAAGUGAAAAAGACUUGACAUGGUUUUCUAUAAUAGGUUAAGCCUUCUAAUUAUUUUUAAUCUUUUUAUGCCCAUCCAACGGCUCUGCUGAAUUGCUUGAUACAUCAUAAAAUGACUUGAUUUUGUAAUGUAUAUGAUUGAACCCAUGCAAUCUGAACAUUGAAAAGUAAAAAAGAAUCUUUAAAAUUUGGUCCAGAAAAUGACUUGAUUUUUCAUGCCCAUCCAACGGCUCUGCUAAAUUGCUUGAUACAUCAUAAAAUGACUUGAUUUUGUAAUGUAUAUGAUUGAACCCAUGCAAUCUGAAGAUUGAAAAGUAAAAAAGAAUCUUUAAAAUUUGGUCCAGAAAAUGACUUGAUUUUUUAUGCCCAUCCAACAGCUCUGCUAAAUUGCUUGAUAUAUCAUAAAAUGACUUGAUUUUGUAAUGUAUAUGAUUGAACCCAUGCAAUCUGAACAUUGAAAAGUAAAAAAGAAUCUUUUAAAACUGAACAUUGAAACCUUCAAUUAAACUUCUUGUAAGAGCAUGUGAUAGCUAGAGUUUUAUUUACUUAACUGGAUUCACAAAAUACACUUUUCAAAAAAUAAGAUUUUCUCAUAUCCAAAAAUAAAAAAAAGUGUUCAGCAUCAAUGGUUGGACCCACGGAAUGUGAGGCUUGAGAAGUAAUAAAGACUUGGCAUGGUUUUCUGUCUUUUCUAUGCCCCGCUAACGGCUCCGCUAGAUGAAUUGAUUUUUUGACGUUAUUAGAAAAUUAAUAAUCAACAUGAUCGAACCCAUGGAAUCUGAACAUUGAGAAGUAAUAAAUAAUGCAUCUUUAAGAUUUAUGGUCAAGUCUUUGUUCAUGUAAUUCAGCAUCUUUUGUUUUCCAUAUCAUGUCGAUCAAAAUUGCAUUGUCAAGCAGAGAACAAAAUAAUAAAGCUAAAGCACCACCACAAGUUGAUAUAUUACUUUAUAUAUAUAUAUAUAGGUACUCUACCGAGGUAUUGUUUAAACUAUAUUUUAUUUCAACAAAAAAAUAACAUAGCCUUCUACGCUUGUAAUUGCUAAACCAUUUUGUAUUCAGAAUAUAUUAUUUAUACUAUUCUCCCAUGAAAAUUCUUGGCUGUGAUAUUCAUACACCAAUUGCUGGCUCUAUUUCAUACACCAUGGAAGACUUGGUUGAUUUGGUCGAUGACGUGGACACCUAUGGUGAUGGGGAAGAAGACGUUGCGGAUGAUGAGGACUUUUGGGGACAGCAGCAACGGGUUGGAAAAAUCAGAUCUGGCGAAGGAUGGAGACAAUUAUCAUGUAUUGAUAUUCAAAUACUCGAAAAACAAAUUAGGUGGUGUGCUGCCUCAAUCAGAAGAUUUGAAUAACUUUCAUAAUAAUUUUUUAAUAUCAUGAAUUAAUUAUUUGAAUUUGAUUAGUUACUAAGUGGUGCAUAAAUAAUGUUUUUAAAAUGCUAAAAUCAUAUUUAGAUUAGUCCAACGAUUUAGAAAGGUUUAUUCACCUUAAUUUACAUUAAAUUAAUCUUCAUUUUUAUUAUUAUUUUAAAGUUUUAUAAGUUUUAUCAAUUUUAAUUCACAUCGAGAAAAUAUAAUUUUUAAUUAAAAAAAGAUUCUAAUAAUAUUUUAUUAAUUAAACAUGAUUUGUUUUUAUAUAUUAAUUUUCGAUAUUAACCUUUAGGCUAUGCGUGUUUGUAUAACAUCAUAAUUUAAAUAAUCUUUAAAAAUUAAAUAAGUGAAUAAGCUUUCAUGCAUGCGCGCGCGCAGAUGCUUCCUCACCAUCACUAUUUAUAAACAAGGAAUUAUCUGCAAGAAAACUUAUUCUCAGUGCAAACAUGAUUAUUUACCAUGAGAAACUCAGCCAGUAUAAUUAAUUAGAAGAGAUAAAUUCUCCAUCUAAUAAAAAGAAUGAACCUUGCAGAAAUUUGUUAGACAUGCUUCAAGAAUAUCUCUCUUAUUGCAGAAAAUUAUGGUGCCACAUACCUAGUCGGGUGUCUGAAAAGCACCAAGAUCAUGAAAUUAAACCAAGAAAAUAUAUAAAUAUCAAUGAGAAAUAUUCAGGAGUGAUUUAUGAAAGUCAAUAAAUUUGACAAAAAGAAAGCAAAAUGGAUAGGAGUUUGGUCCGUCCCUUGCAUGUUUAGAUACUGCAUUACCAAGAAUGUUAUAUUUUCACAUGUCACGUUGAAGUUAUUGUAUGAAAGAUCCCUGCAAGUUAACAAUUCAUAAAAUCGAUUUGAAAUUGAUCUUUAUGAAUUGGCAAGUUAACAAUUCAUAUAUUACACUAAAUUGGCAUAAAUUAAUUAAAUUGAUUGGUCUUUUUAAUAAAAUUCUCUUAAUCUUUCUCAUCUCUCAGAGUUCACUAAAUAUACUGAAAUUGCAAGUGCACUUUUUACAAAAGCAGUGUUUUUUUUUAAUGAGUCUUUCACCUUCUCUUACAUGCUUUUCCAAAAUAUAUUUUUAUAACAUGUCAUUUUAUUAAUAAAUAAAUAAAACUAUUAUCAUGACUAGAUUCCAUAAAUUGCUAAAUAAAUAAAGAUUGAAUCUUAUAAUAUAGUUAUUAAAUAUAAAUUGAUAAAUUGAUCUAGAAAAACUUAUAAUCUAAAACCUUACCCGAGCUGAAAUUCAUGUUAAACUAAAAAGAAAUAUUGAUUAGGUGAAGUCCAAUUGAUUCACCUCUAUUUUUAAUAAUUAUAUUAACUUAAUUAAACUAAAUCUAGUUAAUUUAAAGAAUUUUCUUUAAUAAAAUAAAACAAUAUUGUUUUACUUAAAAAUAACUUAAAUUAACUGGGAUAUCUCUCAAAUUAAUUUGAUAAUUUAAACCAUUUUUCGAGUUAGUUUCCGAUUGCGAAUCGAUAACUACAAUCAUUCUACACCUAUAUACACUCUCGGAAAAAGAUAAUGAUAUUCAUUUUUCUCAAAGGAAACUGUUGGUCCACCCAUGUUCACCCUAUGAACAGUCUCCCCACUGGAUUAAAAGUUUCAGCAUCAUCUGUAAUGAGCUCAUCGGGAACUGAAACGACUUCCAAAGGCAUUUAAGAGGCAAAUGAAUUGCCUGAAGAGUGAUGGUGAUAACAGGUCUUGAGUUACAUAACUGAAAAUUCUUUAACAACAGAAGCCUUCAACUGAAAUUGCUGAGGAAACACCAAAACUCGCAUUGCUCAUGUUGUAAGUACCACUAACAAAUGGAUAGAAAUAUAACGAAUCCAUUGCCUCCCGGUUGGUUAAUCAAAAGUGUACUUGAGGUUCCAUCAAAGAUUCUUGCUGUUGAUAGAGUGGUGAAUCAUCCCCAGAAGUGACAGAUAUUGAAGCAUUUGCAAAAGUGUUUUUCGGGGUUGAAAGAAAGUUGGGAGGCAGAGCUAUCAGCAACAAAAACACGGUUACCCACUGUAGUAUUGGUGAGUGAUCCGCAGUCUAUAAGAUAAUUGUCUAUGUUGUAACCUAUUUUUGGAUUCUCAUAGAAAAUAAUAAUAAUAAUAAUAAUAAAUAAAUAAAUAAAUAGCUAGAAGAAAUUAAAAAAAAUAACAAGUGGCGGGAGCAAUCAGAAAAUUAUCAGAAAAAUGAAUUAAGGAGGAUAAAAAUACAAAGAUUAAAAUUUUGACAGUAUAUCCUUAAAUGAUGAGAGCCAUGUUAGAAAAGAAAAUUCAAUUUGAAGAGAAAAGUCCAAAAUUGGAUGUUUAUAGAAUCAAUUGGAUUUUAUUGAAGGUUUAAUUGAAUUUAUAAAGGGUUUGAUUGCAAAACAAAUUUAUUUUUAAGUCAUUUUGGGCUUUAAUUGGAAGAAAUUAAAGUUCUUAGGUCAAAUUAUAAUUUUUUAGAGUUGAUUUGGUCAAAUCAGGGGCUUAAUUGCAUAAAUAUUGAAGUUUAAUGACCAAUUAGGGAUUUAAUUGAGAAAAUCUGAAACCAAGGACCAAAUUGGAAAAGGCGCGUAAAUAGAGGGGCUGUAAUCAACCAAAUCAGGGGUCAAAUUAAAGAAAUUGGAAGGUUAUUAAUCAAUUGAGGGUCCAAAUGCACAAAUUCAAAACCAAGGACUAAAGUGAAAAAAGGCGGACAAUUAUAGGGGCGGCGAUUGAAAUUGGCAGGGAUGCAAUUGAAUUAAUUCUUAAAAUCAAGAUUACAUUGUGAGGACUUAAAAGAACAAAAGAUAAAUUAAGGAUUGAUUUGGAAAUGAAUAUGCUAGCGCCACCUUUAAAUGAAAUGACACGUUUUGUAUAAAGCGACGUCGUUUCAUGUUUAAAAAAAAAAAAACAAAGAGCAAAACGAUGUCGUUUUGAGCGACAUCGUUCCUCUUUCUCCUUCCCCUGGACGUGCAGCAAGGGAAGGCAUACGGUUUUCUUCUUCUUUCUUCAUUGAUUCCUGCGAGCCGCGUGCCCUACGAAAGACCCGAAGCCCCACGCACCUUGAUGAUGAGAAAUCGGGGGCGCCAUGCCUUGCUAGCCGUGCCCACCAACCAACCCAGCGCUGCCCUGCUCCCCAUGCACAUCAAUAAAGAGGCCUCGCUCCCUUGCCCCUACAAAUGGAGACUGAACGCCAGCACGCGAGGGGGACAAAAAAGAGAGAAGGAGGACGAACUGAAAAAGAAAGAAAACGAACCAAAACGGAGAGAACGAACAGGAGAGAGAGAGAAAGAGAGAGAGAACAAACCGGAGGGAGAGAGAACGAACCAACGAAAGGGAAAAACAAAUCGAAAGAGUAGGAAAGGAAACGGAGGAGAAGGGAAGAGCAAUAACCCCUCUCUCCACCGCUUGAAGCAGUAACACCACUUCUUAGAGCCGCCAUCCAUGAGCCGCGACACUGCCACCGGCCUCCACCGCAGCACCGCCAGCAAAGCAGUCAGAACAGUAAGGCAUCGCCUCCACCGCACCAGGUAAACCCCCCCCACCUUCAUUUGUUUUGUUGGCUACAUUUCCUCCUGCAUGUAGAACAAAUAUCGUUCUGCAUGCAAGAGAAGAGGAGGGGGAAAAUAAUUCCCCCCAUCCGUGGGUUUUUUGUUGCUGGCCCAACACUGAUGGGUUCUCCUUUUUCUAGGCCAAACGGGUUUUUGUGGGCCAGGUUGAUUCUGGCCCAGCCUUCAUGUCUGGGCCAGGUCUGGCCUAGACCCAAAGAGGCAGAGUGAACUAGUAGACCGAGAUCGGCCCAACCCUUUUGGGGUUGAGUUCGGCCCAGUUAGUUGGGCUGGCCCAACCCAACCCACCUAAUAUUAUAUAUUAUAUAUUAUAAUGUUUUUAUAUUAUUUAUAAAUAUAGAUAUAAAAAAAAUCUGAAAAAUCUUUAAAAAAAUUGUUGAUUUUCCUGCGUAUUUUUAUCAAAAUUGCUUAAUAUUGGUUUGUAUUUUUAUACUGUAAAGAUACAAAUCUAGUAUUAAAAUACCCGGUUUUUGUCAAGACAUAAAAAAAAUGUUUUGUUUUCAAAAUUCUGAAAAAUUCUUAAAAAAAAUUAUAGAUUUUCAUGCAUAUUUUUAUUGCUUAAUAUUGAUUUGUAUUUUUAUACCGUAAAGAUACUAAUCCAAUAUUAAAAUUUCCGGUUUUCGUCAAGACAUAUAUAUAUAUAUAUAUAUAUAUAGGUUUUGUUUUCAUGCAUACGGUCUAGUUUCUCCAAAAAAAUAUCAUAUUUUUAUACAAUAAAGAAAAUUUCAAAAAAUAUACGUAUUAGCAUGCACUUUGGCUUUAACAACAAGUUUGUUAGAGCCAUGAAAACAAGGCCAAUAUUUCAAAAAUUCUAAAAAAUCUUUUUGUCUUCUUUUAGUAUCUGGGAUUAUGAAUUUAUACGUAAAACAUAUUCCUGAUAUUAAAAAUAUAGUUUUCAAAUAGACGUUAGAACAAUUAGGUUUUUACCCGAUACAAUAAGGACCUCCUUACUAAGGAGAAUUUUUCUUGAACCAUAGACAGACCAACAAUUAGAAAUAUAAUAACACCUUAGCUUUUUAUCAGACAAUUAAACAAUACAGCUUAACUUAGGUAAGACGUAUUUGGGAUACUAAUACCUUUCCUUUACGCAAUCAGUCCCCGUAUCUGAUCUCUGAGACCAGUUAAGGUUACUAGUGACCAAAAUAUUAGGUGGUGACUCACAUUCCAUUUUCCACCGAUAAACGACAAGAGUUUUUUAUCUUCCUAUAUUUGCCAUAUAGAUAGAUAUUAUAUUUAGAUUUGAAGUGGAACAAUUUUUACCGCGACGCCGCACACGUGCGACAGUCUACAUGAGUGAAUCCACUAGAUAAACAUACCAAACUUAAGAUUGACAAAAGUACACAAAUGAAACGUCUAGAUCCUACACUGCCCAUCAUUUCGAAAUCUGGAACUUUACUGGGGAAAUAUGGAAAUCUAUUGAGCUUUAAGAUAUAUAGAAACUAAGGACUCUUAUCAAGGCAGAGCACUAGGGUGCCCCUAGUAAUCAAUAGCAGAACAAUAGAAACCAAAAUCCAUGAAGAGGGAUGAAUAAGGAAGUGAAAUCAAAAUCCAAGAUUGCAUAAUAUAGCAAGAGCAAGCAAAGAAGUUGGCGCUUUUCAGUUACAGAUACGGAAGAAAUCUAAAUCCUAAAUAGCAAUGUAUAGAAUUGAACAAGAAAGACAAAUCUAAAGUAGCCAAAAGCAAUACAAGGAAAGGAGCUUGUAGUUGUUGUUACUCACAAAUAAAUGAAGAAAAGAUGGCACACCUUGAACAAAAUUUGAGGUCAAAAGGGGGGGACCAGAUGGGAAAUACUUGUGAGGAGGACAAGGUAAAUAUGGUAUAUUUUGAAAUGCUAAAAGGGCUUUCAGUUCAAAUAAAAAGAAGUCAAAAUACAAGCUGGUGCGAACUAGAACUUUACUGGGGAAAUAUUGAAAUAUAUUUUAAUCAUGAAAAAAAUAUAUUUUAAUCAUCUAAUUAAAUAUUUUUUUUAUAGUUUAUUUUAUUCUAUUUUUUUUAUGUUUCUUGUUAUAUGAUUAUAUAAAUCUUGCUUGAGUUGAGUAUAACAUAUAUUUCAAAUUAUUAAAUAAUAAUAUCCUUUUCUAUUAUAAAUUUCGUUAAUUAGCAUUUAAUGUUCGCAGAACAUGUUUGGUUUGAUAAUAACAUAAAAAAAAAAAAAAUUAUUCAUUUACUUACUUUAUUCAAAAGAAACUUAACUUCUUGGUUUUGAUGCGUAUUUAAUAGUUUUUUAAUUUUAUUAAAAUUGUUUUUUCUAAUAUAUAAAUAGCAUAUAAUAGUUGUGAUACUUUUUAUUGGAAAAAUAUUGAGUAAUAAAAAUUAGAAUUAAAAUUAAUUGAAACUUUUUCUGCAAAAUACUGUAUUUCUGUGUGUUGUCUUUCUUGUUUCUUGUUUCCGCCUGCAUCAUGAACCUUUAAAAUAAUUCAUAAAUUCAAUCAAGAAUUCCCUGUCUGCAUUUUGCUGCAGUCAGCUGUGGUCACUUUUUUGCCAAUUCUGGCUGCAGAGAACUUUGCAGCUACGACGAAAGAUGCAAAAUUCUUUUUGGAAUUCAGUUCUGUUUAGAGAAGAAUCAAGCUAAUAGGUUCAGGUACCACUGGGAGAGACAGAAAGAAGCAGCUAUGGUUCAACAAGGCAUGAUCCUUGCUCAAUGAGAAGUGUAGAAAAACUGGUAUAUAAACCACACAAUCUGUGUAACAUGGUGGUCUGCAUGAUCAACAAUGGUAGUUGUCUUCUCAAUUAGAGUAUACAUAUAAGUAGGCAUUGUUUAAAAACCACAACAAAUUGGAAGACUCAUUAUUGAUGCUGCCACUCUCUCAGUUAAAGAUGUUUCUUUAAGCCUUAACGACGAUAUCGACUGAGCUCAUCUGAUUGCUAUAAGAACAAAGGAUAUUGAAUUGUCUCAUUCUGAUUGCUGCAAAACCUCAACAAAUGCUUCCUUCAAAAGCGGGUUUGAAGCUGCGACUCUUUGAGUAGUGAUGUCAAAAUCUUUACCAGAUCUGUAGCCGAAAGAGCAACCAUCAAAAUAUCAGAACACGCAUUAUAUUCUGGACAAAAUGUGAGCAUAUGCUUAUGUUCUUAAUAUCUUUGACCUAUUGCUUGCCCGGAUGACAGAGUUGAGGAUGUCACAAGACGACGAUUAAAUCAUGUUGACAUUCGAUAAACACUGUUCUUUCAUGUCCAUGCAUGGGACUAUCCUCUCUAUAUCCCACACUACCCCCACCUAAGUUGUGGAAGGGAUGAAAUAUAAAUAGCAUCACUUACGGGUCAUAAACGAUUCCUCCAGCUUCUUUGACAAUCACAGCACCACCUGCCACAUCCCUGAGUUCAAGAGUAGAUUAUAUCAAUCAUGCGUCCAGAUGAACUUUUCUUGCGUCAAUCACAAAUACGUACCACGGGCCUCCAUAUCCGGUUUCAUAAAACAAAUCAAUCCUUCCACAUGCAACUCCGCAAAGAUUCAAUGCACAGGAGCCAGUCAUCCUAAGGGAUCUCACCUGAUAACAAGAUAAUCAGAUAUGAAUUUUAAGAAAACCAACACAUUUUACCAAAGCACAUAGCUUCCACAGCAUGUUCUGGUCUCACCUUGAAAAGUAAGGUGUUAAUUCUGUUCGUUGUGGCAUCCACAGUAGACUUGUCACGUUUUGUUCCAGCCUGCUCUUAGAAGAAUUUAGUUUGGUCAGUUCCUAACAUGAUUCCUUAUGAAACAUAAAGGAGUGGACUUGAAGUAGAAAGGAGUUUUAACCAGAUUCCACACAGAGCAUAACAGGGGUGAACUUAAAGCACUCCUUUUGCAGGGUAUUUGCAAGUGCAACAUGGUAAAAACUAAAUACAUUCACAACGCAUAGAUCUGCAUUUCAAAUACAGGGAGUUGGAUUUCUAGAGUCUACGAACAAUAUUUUAAUAUAAACGAGAAGGGUUAGCAUGCCAGAAAAAUCAAUCCAGGGUUAAAACAAGCUACCCUUACUCAGCACUUAACAUUUCUGACACUAUCUGGAGUUAAGACUGAAAUUGAUUGUGCCCAAGGCAAUUUUAACACCCUUCAAACCGAUCCAAUAAGAAACCAAUUGGAGAUGUACAGUUAGAAGGAUAGAAUUGUACCAAAAAAAUAUGAGACAGUAGGGCACCAAUUCAUCUCAGGUUUCAAAACUGAUUCCCGGUUAUAUUUCAGUUUAAGCUAUCUAAACUGAAAAGCAUCUCAGUUUGCAAGUUUGGGCAGACAAAAAUGAUGCUGAAAAGCAUACCUCUGUUGCAAGAAGAGAUUUCACAAGCUCACUUUGAGAUGAUACUGCAAUCGAAACACAAGUACAUAGCUGCUUAAGUUUCAUGGAAAGAUUAGCAUGCAAAAGUAUCAAAAUAUGGAAACUGACAAUAGUCAACUCAGAGACACCUUUUAUGGGUUUUCCAUUCAGAAAUGCACCUUUUCCAUGGACGCCUGUAAAAAGCUGCAUUUAUAAAUCCAAAAUCUUUUAGCAAAUUACUGGAUCACAUUUCAAAUUCUAUAAAAUUUUGACAGAACAUUAACUUCGAUGUUAAAUGGGACAAUAUACGACCACAUAUCUGAAGUGAAAGCAAGAAGUGUUCAAGAAGGCAGACAAAAGUUUGAUGGACUAACUGCUUAGAUAUAGCUAGAUACUCGUUUUCCCGAUAUUUAAAUACUGGCAGACUCAACAUCAUAAAGCAGACAUUUAUCUGAGUAGAGGACCAUGCAGCUGAAAACUAGUGGUCACUGGUCAGUGUUCAUUUUGUGAGGAAAGAUGCACUAACAUCCAGCAUACAUGUAGAAGAUCACCAGGCUAUAUGAAAGGAGGUAAACUCUGCAUGUUCUACAUAAAAUUUUAAUCAUUUAAAGUUCAAAGUAAUAUCUGGCCACCUAAAACUAACAUGCAAUAUAUAAAAUCUCACCUCUUCCAUUAUUGGGUUGUAAACAACACCUACUGUAGGAACUUUUCCAAUUGUAAGACCAAUAGAAAUGCACACAAAGGGGAACCUACAUCCAAACAUGUUGCGACAAAUUAAAGUGAUGUUACAUGUAUAAAAACAAGAGGAAAUUGCCUUCACUAAACAAUGUUAAAAAAAAAAAUUGCAUUUACCCAUGGACAAAGUUGGUUGUUCCAUCAAGAGGAUCAACUAUCCAUGUCGGUUCAUCAGUCAGUUCCGUAAUACCACAGGCAGCAGUAGUUUCUUCCCCAAUGAACUAAGAAAACCAGCAAAAGAGAACUUUCAAGAGAAAAACAGAGGCACUUUUUAGGAGACAAUAUUCCCCGUACAGAUCAAUAAUGCUCAAAUUCAUCACCUACAAAGUAGAAAAUACUAAAGUAAGUUGUUAACCUUAUGUGAGGGGUGCUGCUGUUUGAGAUAAUUAAAAAUAAGAUCCUCACAAGCCUUGUCAGUCUCAGUAACUAAAUCCACCUGCAAUUGAGAAAUAAAAUAAACAAUUGUCAGUAAUUACACGCAUAUAGUGAAGUAUGUUUAGCCACAGCACUUUUAUCCGGGCUAAAUUAACACAAAUGGGUUGGCAACUUCUAAUUUUUUAAUUUCCUCCUCUGCUCCACAGUUAUGAUGAUACAGUCCAAUUAACAAAGGAAAUAUGCUAGCAUUACAAAAUAGCAAAAGCACUUUCAAUUUUUUUACAAACUCGAUGACCUCAGCGUGAAGAUCAAAACUUUGUUUCCCAGCAGCUUUACAAACAAGGAUUUUAGCACCUCAUGCACGAUGAAUUCAAUUACCGUUAGCUUUACAGACGUUGAUGCUAAAUUCAAUUGCCAUUUUAAAGCUCCCCCGGCAUGUUAAAUUCAAUUCCCAGUUUUGUUACAAAACAAGAUCACCUCAAUGCCAAGAUUAAAACUUUAUUUCCAUUAGCUUUACAAACUGGGAUCUUAAAGUCCCCCCUUGCAUUCUAAAUUCAAUUUGCAAGCAGAUAUAAUCAAUCACUGAUCUGAAUUCAAGAUUAUUUAGCAGCAUUUGAUCAACAAUUCUCCUUUCUUUAGGGGAAAAAAAUUGCUAAGCACUACACAGACUCUACAUUCAAGAUCACAUGAUGCAACAAGAAUGUCCAAGAUAAGACUACCUUGAUUAACGACCAACAAGAAAAAGAGAUACAAAAGAACCCAAGAAAAGCAAAGAUGGGUACCAGGCCUUUAUGCUCCACAUGCUUGGUCUGGUAGAAUCCUUCACGGAUUAUCUACAAGGCACACAAGAAAUGGAAAAUGAGACUAAAUUUGAGACCCCUAAAAAAGGAAAAACAAAAUCUAAAAUUUAUAUCUCACCUCUCCAGCUCUCUUUGCUGCCUCAACAGCAGUCUGCAAGAACUCUGAAAGAGAAUCUAAAACAUCCCAAAUAAAAAACAAAAUGCAAAAAUCAUCAAGAUCCCAUACUGAAAAUGAACCAAGAAAUCAAAAACAAAACGAGAAAGAAUGCAAUAAAAAAAACUUGAUGGGGUCCUACCAUUCUGUGCCAUGUUUUAAAAUUUGUAUGUAGAAAGAAGAGAGUGACAGAGGGAAGUAGAUUGUGGUGGAGGUGAUGGUGAUGAAAGGCUCUGUGUCUUGAGUUUUUUUACGUCUAAAAGGAAGCAGCAGGCAAACCACAAAAUGGACCGUUUGAUUUCUGUUUUUUUCUCUCUUUAUACAUAUAUAUGCUGAAGAAUCUGCCUUUUCACCCAGUCUGUGUACUUUUUGCAUCAAAUUCCUGGUGAAAAAGGAAGUCCUUUAAUGGUGCCUUUUGAGUCCUUUUAACCCUUUUUUAUGGCUAUUCUUCCCCUACGUCAUAUUGUUACUCUUGAGUUUUCCUAUGAAAUUAAGAAAAUAUUAACAUCCAAAUGAUGGGGAAAGAGAUUUGCUCAAUUUUGAAUGAUGGAGGGCAUCAUUGGUGAGCCUAGGAAGAUAGGGACCAAAUUGAAACCUCCCUAAUAACUUGGGGUAUAUUUGUAGUUUUCCUAGAACAAAAAAUACCUAAAAUCUUACAUUUUUUUUUAAAAAAUAAAUAAAUAAAACCCAGCAUCAAACUCAGUGAUUGCUGAUGAAAGCAUUAAAAUCAGAUACCGUGAGAAUACGAAAUGAAUAUGGUGGAAAGUCAAUUCGGAUGAUAAAGGCAUCUCUUUUUUAUGGCAAUAAAAACAUAGUUACAGUAACCAAUCGAGGAUCAACUUACUUAAAGGUUAAUGUUAUGGAGUAAUCUAUAUUAAUAAAUAAAGUUUGAAAUAACAUUAUUUUUUUAUCAAAAAAAAAAAAAGGGUUGUUCCAUUCCACCUAUUUAACUCGGAUGACGAGGUUAGCCUAUGUACUGAACCGGGUCUUAGAAGUAGGAUAAAAAGUGAAAGCAGCAGAGAACAUUCUGGUUUUGGAAUUGAAGUAGAUGCUUGGAAUAUGCUGGAGAUGUUCACUCGUGAGUCGUGACUCACACAUGGAAGCCUCAUCUUUAAUAAUAAAGAAAAUGACUCCUUUCCUAGCAAGAAGAAAAGAAUUUUGGUGUGAAUUCUCUACCCUGUGGCCCACCAAACGAAGCUUCCUAUCAUAUCAUCCUCAGUAGGUUCUGCUGAGGAAUGUCCUUUGAUACUCUGUAUACGGUCAAAUGGCGUCACGGAGGACCCCUAAUGGCGGUGGGAAUCUAGUAACAUGCGACUGCUGCCUACUCUCCUCACUUGAGACUUGGUUCAGACUCCUACCAUCGACAAGAGUUAUAGCUACUUUACGUCCGCACUCCCUCGAACAAGGAAUCGUAACUUGUACACAAGUCUGUGUACAUAUGGAGAGGGAGACCUAUAUGGCUUCAAGUAGGUUACCAUGGGGAAUGAACAUACGGUGAAGCUGAAUAAUGACGGCUUCCAAUAGAGGACAUGGUUCACAAAAACAUGAACAUGCUCUCUAACAGGGUUCCUAAAAGCCGAGUAUUGGAUUGAACUCGAUUCAUGUCUCUUUAUUUCUCUCUUCCUUUCAAUACAUGUAAUUUUACCACAGAUCGCUAUGAGAGCUACAAUUUAUGUAAAAUAAUUACAAUAAACAACCAAGCUCUUUCGUGACUACUCUCUAGGCUCACAUAUCGUGUCAUCACAACUGCAUUAGAACGAUCCAAUAAUAUAUCUCCCAACAGCUGUCACAAUUAAAGAAGCCUUUUUAAUAAAUAGUACAAUUAUCAAUGACAAUAACAAAGCACAUUUUAAUGAAAGCAUUUUCCUAGGUUCAGAUGCCUAGAGAAUUGCUUCAUUGAAUGUUCUAAUGAUAUAUGAGCGGGAUAUAAUUAAGUUUCCCUACCUUGACAGCUUGUCGUCUUGUAAUGUAAUUGGUGGAUUCUAGCAGCUUCGAAUUAAAUUCAGCAAAAAACUGAAGUCCAUACAAAGUUAGACAAUGUCAAGCUCUGACCAACAUUUAGCAAGCAUGGCCGCAACAGGAAAUAAAGACACAUUUAGAAUGUUGCAAUUCAUGUUUUUGUCAUAGAUAUGUAGCUACCAACAUGCAGUUUAAAAAAGCAAAGAAGAAUGCUAUAAAAUUGAGGAGAUAAAGCUGCUCAAUUCAUCAGAGAGUCAAGUAAUAGCUUCUACUUUAUAUGCCCCAUCAUUGCAGAGCCACAAUAUCUUGAUAUUAAUGCAUUACCAGAAAAAUAAAUUUGCAAACCGUCUUUCUCUAAUCUCACCAAAGGUUUUCCGGCUAACACUUUUGUUGGCCUUCAAAUUCUUUGAAAAAUCUAUAGAGGAUCAGGUAUGCCCCAUUAUACAGUGUCAGUGCGUGCAUAACUGAGGCAAUAUAUGCGCACAUAUGUAUCUACAGGAAUAUAGGAUUUGAAUUUAGGUGUUAAAAAAAAACCUUUAGAGCUUAAAACCUUUACAUUGCUUUUAUAGGAUUUUGGUUUAGAUUCUGCUUUAUGUCUCCAUCAUUGCACAGUCACGAUAUCGUGUUAUUAAUGCAUCACCAGAUAAUUAAAUCUGCACAUCAUCUUUCUCCAAUCUCAGCCACAAGUUUUCUCACCAAAAUACUCGUCUGCCUACAAAUUCUUUAGAAAACAAGAGGAUUGGGCAUGCCUAUCAACCACCUUGUGUGUGUGGGAUGACCUAAGGCAUACAUAGCAGAAACAAGUAUAAACCUGUACAAGUAUGCAUCUAAACAUAAGUGACAGCAGAACUCACCCAAUCAUAGUUCUUAGAAAGAAAUUCAGCUACUGUAGAUUUAUGGCUUGUCAAUAGUUCCUGCAACAAAACAAUAUAAAAGUCUCAGAUUCACACUUCAACUAAUAGCAAAUACAAGGCCGAAACAUAAAAACUUCAUAAACAUGCAAUAAAGACAAAUAAUACAAUUGUCAAAUUCGAAUUCCACAAAUAAAAUGCUUGACAGAAGCUUCAAAACCCUAAUGCAUGUUCAUCGCAAUCUUACAUCUACACUCACCAAAAUUCAACAACACUAAUCUAAUUCUUUUAUUGUGAACAAACUAGUUGAAACAAAUCAAUGACACAUAUAGCGCCACAGAUCACACCAAAUUCACAAACCUACAAUCAAAGUUUCCACUUUUAAUCACUCCCUUGACUACUAAAGCUACUAAAAAGCUAAAACCUUUACACCCAACCAACUGCCAGUAAUAUCAGAUUCCUCUCACAGCACACCCAACCACAUUCAAGUUAAACUUGGCCAGCAAACUAACCUCUUUGCAAUCACAUUAGCACUCAGCAAAUUAACUAUUUCUUCCUAUCUAUGUAAAUAUCACAGCAUAUUAUAGCAUACUCUAAUCCAAACCUCAAUCAGACAUCAAGAAUCACCCUAAAAAACGCAAUUUUUUCAUAAAGAUUGAACCUUUCUCAUCCAAAGCAAAAAAAGAAAAGCAACCCAGACCCCAAACAAUCUCAAAUCAAUCAAAAUCCACCUAAUUAAAAGAAAAUAACAGAAAAAGAACACAUAAAAUAUAUAGAAAUGAUAAGAAAGAGACUGCCAACCUUCUCUUCUCGUUUUGAAUCUGAUAAAGAAGCUGAACUCUGAUCGGCAUAGAUUAAAAGAUCGCGAGUCUGUCUAACUAUAUCGACAGGAGUCCUCCGCACUGGAUGUCCCGAUUUCGAAUUACUCAACAGCCCAUAAUAUCCCUUUGUCGCUACUGCCGCUGCCGCUGCCGGCGCCGGUGAUUGUGGCGGUGGCGAUACUCUCCUCACCACUACCUCCUCCCGGGCUGCUGCUGCUGCGGCAGCUGGUUUUGACACGCAGAUUCCUAUCUUUCCUCCCUUUAUAAACCCCACAAAAACACAAGAAAGCGAUUUUGCCUUCUAUCUACGAAAAGGGUUCACGGUUUACUUGAUUUCAGCCACCAAUUUUGCUUUUGGAUUAUUGGGUUUUUAUGGGAUCUUGGUCAAAAUGUGUGCUUGAUUCGACGGUUAUGGUUUUUUGGGCUCUGCAUAAACAGAUUGCCAGUCGUUACCGUGUCACUAACCGCUAAAUACUUACAGUACAGUGCUAUUUUUUCUUACGUCUUCAUUUUCUCUAUUAUUAUUAUUAUUAUAAAAAAAAUUACAAAUUCACUAUGACCGUCUCACAAAAGCACUGUUUAUUAUAGUUUUAAAAAUAAUAUUUUAAUAAAAAAUCCAAAAAAUUAAAAUUCAUCAACGGUGUGAUAGUUAGUUAAACAGGUCAGCUGAUUUUUUUUUUCCAACUCGAAUGGCUCCAUUCAUAGAUUAGAUUAACUGGGUCUAAGCUGAUUUAUCGGGUAGUCUAGGUUGUAAAACAAUUUUGAUCAUAGUUCUAGAUCAUGAAUUUAAUAAAUUAAUUUAAUUAUAUAUAUUAUUAUUUCAAUUUUAAAAAAAAAUUGUCAUUUUAAAAAAGAUUUUCAAAGUCAGUUUUUAUCUGGCAUUUAGGUUAAUAUUUGACCUGUCAAAUUCAUUAUAUUAUAUUAAAUUAACUCUAACAUGAUUUUGAUUUUAAAUUUGAAUUAAAUAAAAAGAAUUCAAAACUAAAUUAUUUCUCUAAAUUUAAUAAUAUUAUCAGAAUAUUACUCGUUGCCUAAUUUUUAUACAUUUUGUUUUUGUUCGGCUAGUAGCAUAACGUAAUUAUCCAGUAAUCGAUCUAAUCCAUUUUAAAAAUUUUUAAUAUUAACAGCUAUAUGUGCAGGGAAUAUCAAGGGGUAAGUUCAGAUUGUAAUAAAAGGGACUUAUUCCAUUCAAACUUCUUAGGUUUGGAAACAAUCAUUGGCAAAUUUAUUUUUAAUUAGUCUUAUUCAUAAAAGUAUCCUAAGACAAUCAUUUAGCUUCGACAUUGAUGCAAUAUUUAUAUCAAAAAAGUCUCUUUAGAUGUUUAAUUUUUAUGUAUCGUAAUUUUAUUUGUAUUUAUUUUAGUUAUACAAAAAAAUAAAGUAUACCUUUUAGAUCUACCUAUGUAUCUAACUGGUCCAAGUUUAAGAGUUUUUCAUAAAUAGACAGUACAAUGCUACUACUUGGAUUACCCUAUAGGUUAAUCUGAAAUCUAAUUAAUUCAGAAUUUGGAGCGGUUUAAAUUAAAUAAAUAAAUAAUUCAGUUGAUUUGAUAAAAAAAAAAUUUUAAGUUAACUUAUUGAUCGGUCAACACCCGGCCCUCAAUUUUUUAAAAAAAAAUUAUAAAAGAAAAAUAUUAUUUUUAUCAUAUUAAAAAAAAAGAUUUGAGAAUUGAUUCAGGAUGAUCUUUUUAACUCAUAACCUCCUGUAUCUUAUCCCGGUCAACUCUAUAUCAAGUUUUACAAUUAUGUUAGAUUUAUUGAUCCUAACAGAAUUAUUUUAGAUCAAUAUCCAAAAUAAAAUUAUGAUACUAUAUUUAAUAUUAAAAUUGUAGUUGCGUAAAUUUAAUGAGUUUGUAAAGUAGAUAAUACCAUAAAAUUAUCCUUUAUAUAGGCUAUAUAUAAAAGAUACCAAAUAAUAAUAUUAUUCAAUUCACGAAAUUACCAGCAGCCAUAACAACACAAAUAAAUCAUAGCAAACAAAGCAAACACACAUAUUUUUUCAUGGAGUCUCUCACGCACACAUCACUGUUCUCUUGUCACCACCACAUAAUUAGACCAAAGUAAUUACAAAAUAAAGAAGAGAAGGCAAAAGGUUUCAUCAUCAAACUUAACAUUACCAAUUAUCUAAGAAAAUAGAUCCAUUUCCAACUGCCUGGAAAUCGUUCUGUACAGUCCUCCAAUAUUUACUGAUCGAGUAGCAUUGCCUUCAGAAAUCUGUUGAGGGCUUUUCUCACUUUCAAGUACACUGACGACUUCGGACAUUUUAGGCCUGAGAGUAGGAGAUGGAUUAACGCACUUCAUUGCCACGUGCAAAACAAUGAGAGCCUGCCUUUUGUCGUAAUUGGAUUCUAAUUUCUGGUCCACCAAUUCAAUGAUUUUUCCCUUAUCGUUCAAAACAGCAGCCUGCAAUUGAAAAGCAAGAUUAGCUUAGCUCCCAGUAUUAAUGAAAUAAUCAAGUAAUUAUUACUUAUUAUUUUCUAAUCAAUUAAAAAAAUCAAGGAAUUAAAUAACUCUAAGCAAUCAAGAAAUUAUUUCUAUCAUCCAGUUAAAGGAGAUGAUCAAGCAUAUUUUUUAUAAUUUAUUUUAUUCUAUUUACUUAUAGGUAUUGUUAUAUGACUAUAUAAACUCCAUAUGAGUUGAAUGUAACAUAUAUAUUAAAUUAUCGAAUAAUAAUAUAUAUCCUCUCAUAUUCUAUUUUUUUUUUUGGUAUCACAGCAGGUUGAUUAUAUACUACUCUAAAUAUUAGCUUUUGUUUUUUUGAUGGACAAUUUUAUGCCAUCAAUCCAAUAAUUUUAAAACACUUUGUUUUCAAACUCUUCAUUAUCUAUCAAAUAUUUAAUUUACUAUUCCUUUUCAAUGAUAAAUCAACUCAUAUAAGGAAAAAUUAUCACAAGUCAUCUAAUGUUGGCAGAACAUGUUUGGUUUGAAAAAAAAAAAAAACUAAGAGGGUUUAUCCUGUCAAAUACACUUACUUUAUCCAGAAGAAACUUAGCUUCUUGAUUGGGUGUAUAUUCUGCACUAACUGUCCCGCUAACUAUUUCGAGUAGGACAACUCCGAAACUGUAAACAUCAGCUUUAACAGUAUCUAUUGCUUUUCCCAUUGAAUACUCAGGUGCCAUGUAAACUCUGCAAUAGAAGAUUAAUUAUUGGUUAAUUAGCUCUUAAUUAAAAGAAUGAAAGUAGUUGUCGAUCAAUGAUCAUAAUACUUACCGCGACUCUUUUGCUUCGAUGGUCAUAAAUGGAUCUUCCUCACCACAAAGCGUUGCCAAUCCAAAGGCAGACAACUUGGCCGUAAGAGAGUUAUCAAGCAUAAUAUUACUAGGCUCCAUGUUUCCAUGAACAAUCUCUUUCUCUUCAUGUAAAUACUUCAAACCUCUUGCUAUUCCCAGACAGAUACCAAAUCUAGCUUUCCAAUCAAGUUUUGUCGUGGAAUUUGGUUCUACAAAUCAAGGUUAUUGAUAUUAAGUUAUUGAUAUUUGCAAGUACACAAUCCUUGUACUAACAGAAGAUUUAAAUAUACAAUUAGAAGCUCUCACAAACAUUAAGUGACGGAAUUCUAUUUACUCCUAUGUUAUAGUUCUCAACAAUUAUAUGAAUUUCGCAAGGCAAUGCAUUAGGUGAAAAUUAAGAUAAAACUUGAGAAUCGAAAGAGCAGGAUGAAAAUUGGUUGAUGGCAGUAUUACCGAACAACGCACGUUGAAGGGAGCCUUUCUCCAUAAUAUAUUUGAAUAGCCACCCCAUAAUUGAACAAGAUUCUCAUGUUUCAAAGAUUUCAGUUUGGGGAUUAUUUCCCCUUGUAAUUCAUCUUUUCCUUGUUGCUUUGAAUUACGAGGAGAAAUCUUCAUCACUGCUAAUUUUCUCUUGUUCGGCAAUUCAGCCUGCAUACACGUGAAAUCAAUUUACCAGAACUCUGAAAGAAAAAAGUGCAUGUUGAGGAACAAAUGUUUCAAAAAAGAAAAUCUGACCUCGUAUACUAUUCCAAAGCGUCCCCCGCCAAUCUUCAUUUUGGGGCUAAAUUUUCGAGUAGCAUCGAUUAUUUCUUUGGGGGUGAAACGUUCUCCAUCUCCUUUAUCUCUUUUAUCUCCUUUAUCUCUUUUAUCUCCUUGAUCUCCUUGAUCUCUUUUAUCUCCUUGAUCUCUUUGAUCUCUUUUAUCUCCUUGAUCUCGUUGAUCUCUUUUAUCUCCUUCAUCUCCUUCAUCUCCUUCAUCUCCUUGAUCUGCUUGAUCUGCUUCAUCUGCUUGAUCUGCUUGAUCUGCUUCAUCUGCUAGUUCGAACGGUAUAGUUUUAUCUAUUUGAAGAAAACAUCAAAGUAAGAAUUCUUAAGGUUGUAUGGUGCAUAAUGAUUUUAGAUUAGCAUAGAGAGGUACCAUUCAAAUCGCUUUGCUGCAGCCAGCCCAUUUUCCACAUGUAAGCCGACAGAAGUAGAGAAGCAAAUACUGAACCUGCAAUAAUCCCUGCAAUUUGUGAAGGAGAUAGUUUCUUGCCGCCAACUUUGAAGUCUGUACACAAAUAGUGGAAGACAGAAAGAAUAAAUUAUUUAUCCAGAUAAAGUGUACCAGAAAUCUUCGCGCAACAAAAUUAAGAGAAUGCAACUCUUUACUUGCAGUUACGGAAAUGCCUGACACAAGGGGUCCAUUUAGAGACAGUGCAGCAGGUGAAUUGAAAAAUCUUGGCUCCAGGAAAGUUCCUUUGCCAGCCCGGAAAAAAUGGAUAGUCAAUAGAUGAUCAUCUCCUACAUAUGCUGAGAAAUCUUUGCUCCAUGUCUUAUUGGUGCCGCUGGCCAUUUCUUUUAUGUUGAAGUCUUUUAGUGUUCUGUUCCCCUAUAUCAAACAGUGGAGGUUUAACGAUGGAAAUUUUUUAAAGAAGCUGCAGAAAAAUAUAGCGGUUACCUGUAUAUAUACAUCAAAAACACGUUUCCCUAAAUUCGAAUAAUCUUCAUCACUUUGGUAAACAGUUUCAGCGAAGUAAAGUUUCACAGUGUAAUUUCCUUUAAAUAAACAGAAGCCGUAAUAUGUCAGAGAAAGAGGGCAGAGGCGAGUUGAGCUGUAUAACGGUGUCGCAGCAGAAUCACAAACUCCACAAUCCACGUUUUUUAUGUAAUCACUGGAAUCGUAAGUUUUCGAUCCGAAGUCUCCAGAACAAGAAUAAGCCCAAUUUUUUCUUGGAGCUGAAUAAUAAUUUGAUGUUGCACUAUCUGCUUCAAACUCUUUCCUAUCAAAAACUGUGCCUUCUCCUCCACAAUUUAUAUAUAAGGAAUCGUCUGCAAAAAAUGAUAAUCAGUACAGAAAAUCUGUCCUGCGCUAAAUUAAGAGCUUCUCAAUAGAACUUACACUUUGGUUUUCCCCGACAUUUAUCUGUCAAAUCACGUAUAGAAUUCCUAGAAAUAGCAAACAACAUUUGUAAGAAAUAGCUCAGGAUUAUUUGCUCUAAAUUAAUUGCACCAUAUGGAGGAUAUUACCAUACCUGUUUGGUUCACUGCUUGAGUAGGAACAAAAUGCAAGCAGUUGGUGCACAUGAUACAAAAUGAUCAGAAGUUGGAAUUUCAUAGACAACAAUAUUCUUGCAAGUGAAAAAAAAGGAGGAAGAAAAUGAAGUAGCCGUUAUUACAUGUUUAGCUUUCCUUCUCCUUUCUUCGGACCAUCACGUGGAAUUUCAAAAUUAUUAUAUGACAAGUCCCUGCAACAUUAUUGUUUACAUAUCAAGAUUUUAUUGAGGAAACCUACAAAAGGGAAAACAACCCAUCUGAGCAAAGAGCACAAAGCCAUAACAUACGCCUUGUCUUCAAUGUUAUCAGUAACCCAGGAAGGUACGGUGCCAUUAAGCAUAUUUCCUGUGAGAAACCUAAACAAAACAAACCAGUAUGAAAACCAUCCCAUGUACUUUUUAACAGAGUGGCAGAACGAUCUUAUUAUAAGACAUCGAGUUCAAGGAAUCUCUUUUUCAUACAUCUUACUUAAAUUCAGCUUUUCCAUGGAAUCUGGUAUUCCACCCGUUAAGUUGUUAAAGCUCAAGUCUCUGCAGGAUCAAUAAAAUGAAAGCAAACGUUAUCCUACAUAUUUGAUAUAUAGUUGUGCUAUGGUCAAUUAUUGCAUAGUUGAUUCUGUAAACACAUAGUCAAAAUCAUCAACACUUCCUAUGCAUGGCCUAAAGGCCUAAUCAAAAUCAAAAUAGAGCGGAUGAAACAAAGUAGCCAUGAGAGAACUACAAAUCUUUUACAAAAGAGGAAAUGAAACUUACAGGUAUUUUAACCUUGACCAAUCACCAAUGUACGGGGGGAUUUCACCACUUAUUGAGCAAUUCCUUAUCACCCUACACAAACCAUUGAAGAAGUUGGUGUUUGGAUUUAUCCAAUGCAUCCAUAUCAUUAAGAGUCACGUACAUAAAUAUUGACAAAACAAUAUAAAACACAACAUUGUGACAUCCAGGAUAAAUUUACCAUAGUCGUUAAUUAAUAUAUAUAUUUUAAAUUCUCAAACCUGAAUCCCAGAUACAACUAGUCUUCACAGCAUGUAAUAGCUCAUACAAAAAACUCAAGAUAAUAUAAAGAAAAAUAGGCCUAAAAAAAAUAUAAUCCAAAUUCUACAACAAUAACGCUCCCAGACAAAUAUAAUUCCAAGUGUGCAUGGUUUUUAUUAUUCAAUGUGAAAUUAAUCUUUAUACCAUAUCCACAAUUCUACAACGACUAUAGUAAAUUCCAGAAAAACUCACAGGUAUCUUAUUCCCGUCAUAUUUGCAUAUUUUGGGAAAGGGAAACCGGCCGAGCUUCUUACAUCACUAACAAACCUGGAAGAAAAACCAGCCAGAAUAAAACAUGCAUUUAUUUCAACCAUCCAGGUUAAAAUUAUAGAACACUUACAAGUAUUGGAGAUUUGGCAUGUUAAAAAGAAGUUCAAGAGGCAGCUGUCCUUCAAAAUCAUUCCCGGAGAGGGACCUGAAAUCAGUACACACAAAGACAAAUUAUUGAAUGAUAUUCAUCGACAGUUUCUCUGCUCAAAUGGUUGGAGGUAGACAUUCAGCAUUGAGAAAUCAGCUCAAUCAACUAAUAUUGUAUGAUUACAGAAAGUACAAGUAAUUUCUUACAGGUAAGAGAGUCCAUUCCAAUUCGCAAUGAAGUUUGGAACUUGACCGGUCAAACGGUUCCCAGCUACGCUACUGCAGCCAUAGUUAGUUACUUUUCCUUGGAACAAUAAUUAAACAGAUUGUUGGUUGAAAGAACAUGAUUAGUUGCACUUACAACCACCGCAAUUGAUCCCAAGUACUAAAGUUGGCGUAAUUUCCCGGCAGUUCUCCACUCAAAUUGUUGGAGCCCACAUCUCUACAACAACAAAUCAAAAGGAUUGUAAUCCACCUUUUUUCUGUUUUAUUUCUCCUCUUUCUAUCUUCCGUGGUUUUACAAGGUGGUAUGAUAUUAUUAUUCUUCUUCUUGAAACUUACAAAUGAUUUAGAUAUUUCAAUUCUCCAAGUUGUGGUGGAAGCUGACCAGUGAGUUCAUUGAAGCCCAAGUCCCUAAUUAAAUAAGAGAUAUGAACCAAACCAAACUAAAUAAGUAAAAGGAAAUUCAAGGAGAAUGAAAGAGCGAGCGAGCGAGUUUCUAUACAUAUAUCGGAGACUAGAGAGGUUGCCCAAUUCUUCAGGGAUUUGAUCUGAUAACUUAUUACUUGACAAACUCCUGAAAACACCCACAAGAAUAAGAGCACAAAACUUGCAUCAGCAAUGGAAAAAAAAUUUAAUUAACAUUAUAUGAUACUGAAGAAAUUGUGAUUGGAUGACACGUACAUAUGUUUAAGUUUCGUCAAAUUCCCCAUAGAUAAAGGUAUGGAGCCACUGAGGAAGUUUCUCGAGAGACGGCUAUGCAAAUAAGUUCAUUAUUACUCAAAUAAGAACCAAUAAUAUAAAUUUUAUGAAGACAAACUAAGAACUGAAAUUAGUUAUUAUAAAUUAUCCUAAAGCUAAGCAGCUCUUUGCUCAUAACCAUGCAUAUAUCCAAACAAGCAUUAACACAAUUAAGCAAUUAGCCAAACAAGGCUACUAUCCUAAUUACAUAAGAGAAGAGAACCAAACAGAACUAAGAAGUUAAUUUUUGUGACCAUUAACCAUAGUUAUAAAACCUGACCCGGGGGUUGACCCAGCCAAAAAGUCGAGUCUCGGGUUACACGGGUUGACCCGGGUCAACCCGAAAAAACAAUAUUUAAAAUUUUCAUAUUUCAUUUGAAAUUUUUUAAAAACAAUCAAUUUGAAUAUAAGUUAUACAUGUUAUAAAUAAUAAAAUUUAAAAUAUUAUUUCAAAAUAUUUUUUAUCCUACAUUGAAAAAACAUGACUUAAUUUUUUCUUAUAAACAUAUAGUAUAUUUACUAAAAGACUUCAAAUCCGACAUUAAAAUAAUAAAGUAUUUUUUUAGUAUUUAUAUACUAAAAUUUGAAAAUGGUUAAUAACCAACUAAAAAAAUAAAAUAAAAAAAGAGGAGUCUCUAACUAGGAGAAAAAACACAUUUGAAAAAAAAAAAAAAAAAGGAUCUCAACUGGGUUUUGUCGAGUUUUUGCUCAUUCCGGUCUUUUAUCUUACCCGGACCGGUUUAACAACCGAGUCAAUCAGGUCCCGGAUCGACUAGCAAGUCUAGUCCGGUUUUAAUAACUAUACCAUUAACACCUUGCCAUGAACAUUUAUAAGUAUCAAGACCCCAUACGGCUUGCCCUUAUUUUAAUUUCUAACAAAGCUAAUUUUACUGAAAAUGUUUCCCCAAAAAUUCUAUUAAAAAAUCUUUACAUUUACAAGUACAAGUAUAAUCUAUCAAUUGUCUAUUCAGUAACUUCUUCUUUAAUUUAAUGAAGCAAAUUUGAGUUCUUAACUCAAAUUUUCACCAUUAUAAUAUAAUUAUGUAGUCCUAAACACUAUAUUCUCCGAAUAAAAAUGAGAUCUUAACUAUUAUUUAAUGGAAUAUAAUUUAAAAGAAGUGAUUUUAGAAAACAAAAAUUAAUGUUAGAUUUGUAUAUAUAUACUCUGAAAAUGCAUGCUGAGACUAUAAUUUCAUAGAAUAACAGAAGUUACAAAUUGUAUGCUCUUUUCUUACCAUUAUAUAUUAUUUUUUAAGAGAACAGCAAUGGUAUAAAAUCAAACCCAAAUAUCCAAGAUGUUCUCCUAUAAUUCAUAUAAAAAUGGAUGUUCUUCGAUACCCAAGUCAAACGUUUUGGUUAGUGCCAUUUUUUUAAAAAAAAAAAAAAAUUAUGAUGGAUAGUUUGCUUUUAACUAUAUUAGAAAUAAUAAUUUAGUUUUGAAGCAUGAAAUCUAAAUCCUUAAUUAGGAAAAAAGUGAGGAUCUUUAAAAAUUGGACAUGGAAUGUUUCUGGAAAAAAAAUCAAUAUUAAUAAAAUACAUAUAAACACAUACAAGAAUAAGAGCACAAAACUUGCAUCAACAAUGAAAAAGGAAUUUAUUUGACACUGAAGAUGAUACUUACAUUAACUAUAUGAUACUGAAGAGAGUGAUUGCAUGAUACUUACAGAUAUUGGAGGGACGACGUCAAAUUCCCCAAGGAUGGAGGUAUGGAGCCACUGAGGAAGUUUGUGGAGAGAUCGCUAUGCAUAUGUGUUACCAUAUAAGUUUAUUAUUACUCAAAUAAGAACCAAUAAUUUAACUUUUAUGAACACGCACUAAGAACUGAAAUUAGUUAUUGUAUAUGAUCCAAAAGCUAAGCUGCUCUUUUGCACAUAAUUAUGCAGACAGCCAUUAAGAAAUUUUUGGAGAGAUCGCUAUGCAUAUGGGAAGUGGGAAGACAUUCACCGUACAUUAAUGGAAAUAUAACGAAAGAUUACAAACAUCGAAUCAAUGCAAAUUUCUUUGCUAGUAUUUUUGGGAGGGCACUUAUUUUCUAUUAUUUUUUUUACCUUUUCAAACACCCAUCUAAAUUAUACUUGUAAUAUAUUUUUCCUCUUUAAUGAAACAAUAUAAAAAAAAUUAUACUCGUAUUUAAUUUAACAUAUCUACAUAUAUUACUAUUAAAUAUUAAAAGAUUAUAAAAUUAUUUGGGAUAAUUAUAUAUAUAUAUAUGCCUUUUGAAUUAACUAUUGAAAUUAAUUAUUUUAAAUAAAGACUUUAAUUUAAUAAUUAAUGAUCAACAUCUGUUGUAUUCUAUCCGACCUUGGAUUGCAUCUGAUGCAGCCAUUGAUAGGUUGUGAUGGAUCAUAAUUUCGAGAUUGCCUUUACGGGCUUGAUCCGAACAAUGCUUUGAUUUCUUUGCUGGUAUUUUUGGGAGUAUGGUUGGAAUUCAUCUACACGCUGACCAGUUUAAUUGUUUAUUUAUAUGUAAAUUGACCCAGGAUAAAAAAGAUUCAUUAUCGGGUCUUCUCCUUUGAAUGUUGCCUCUGGAAUAACAAAAUUAGUUAACACACGACUAUGUCUUUUGUGAUGUGCAAUUUUUAUGUUCGUCGUUUGUUAUGUUAUGUAUAAAUUGUUUUUUGUUUUUCAAAAAUCAAUUCAGGAUAAAAAGAUUUUUUGUUGGGUCUUAUUCUUUUGUCUAUCACGUAAUAAAAUCAAUUAAUAAAAGACUUAAUUUGUCAUGUUUCUACAGUUUAAUUUUGAUGGCAUCAUUUCUCCAAGAACAGGAUUUAUUUUUAAUCAUGUCUUGAAGUUUUUUGUCGUUUAUACAAAAUCAACCCAAUUAAUAAAAGACUUUAAUUGUGUGGUUUUCCUGGGAUGUUGCAUUAACAAUAGGCGAGUAUUGAUUAAUGCACAAUGCCUAUUUAAUUUCUAUAAACAAAAUGUUAUAAUUUGGAUUCUAUGUGUCCUUGACAAUACCCUUCCAAUAUACUAUUCCGAUUAUUUAGUCAAACAGUUGUCUAGUCAAACAUAAUCUAAGCAUAGGAGUUGAUCGCCCAUAGUGACAAUAUUAUUUUUAAUUGUAAAUAUAAAUAUUUUAAGACAUUAAUAUUAUUUUUUAAUUAUAAAUAUUAAUUUAUCAUUUGAAUUUUCUCGUCUAGUUUGAAUGUGUGUUAAUAAUUAUUUAUUGUUUUAUUAUAUAUUUUUUGGAUCCAAUAAAUAAAUUUGGGCCGUAUCCAUGCAAUCCCACACAGGUCUGUUAAAAAUAAAUAGUGUUUUUCGUAACUAUUUCAAUAAAUGUUAUCUUUUAAUUAUAAAAGUAAAUAUUUUAUGAUAUUAAUAUUAUUUUUUAAUUAUAAAUAUUAAUUUAUCAUUUUUAAUUAUAAACAUUCAUCAAAGUGGAGAUUAGGUCAUAUUAAUACUCCUUUCAUUAUAGAAUUCUCUAACCAUUAAAUUAUCUACCCGAACUUUUAUAUCGAUUCUUUUAUUCACGAAAUAACACCUUUUUUAAAACAUCUCGCCAGGGCCUAGACUUCUAGCUAGACAAUAGCUUCCUCAUAUGUCAGACUUCUAGCUAGACAAUAGCUUCCUCAUAUGUCAUGUACUUCUAAACUUAAAUAUGUCUUCCUGCAAUAAAACUAGUUUAAGAGACACUUAACACUAUUAAGCAUAUAUUUAGGCUCUAAUUAUAAUUUAAAGUCUAAGAGUUAAAUUUCAAUAUUUAAAAAGUUAAUUUGAUCAAAUUAGGAGGUUAAGUGAAAAAAUAAGGGUUAAAUUGAAGUUUUUCAAAUUCUAAAUUAAAAAUUCUAAUUUGUAGGGUUUAGCUUAAAUGAUAUGUGGUUCAACUACUAUGCAUCCUUUUCUUUAAUAAUUUUUGUUGAUCUAAUAAAUACUUUUAAAUAAAUGAAUAUAGUGGCAGAAACUAUAUUCUUCUAUAGGCACUUUUGUUGUCCAAACUGCUGUAGUGGCAGUAUAUGAUCAUGGUACUGGAUCACUUACAGACGGUUGAGUGAACUCAAGUUCCCCAAGAUGGGAGGGAUGCUACCAUGAAGUUGAUUCUUGGACAAAUCACUGUUAUGGUAAUAGGAUAAUUAUCAAUGAAUUGAAGUCAGCAUAACUACUUCGAAUUAUUAUCAUCAUAUGUCAUAUGAUACUCACAUUGCAUUUAGGUGAACGAGACGAGCCAAGGCUUCAGCAUUUAUUUCUCCAGUUAAGUCCUGGUCUGGGAGCGUUCUACCACCCAAAAAUGGCGUCAACAUAGAAACCAGUGAGUUUUAAAGAGGAUGUAUUGCCUUACAAAAAUGAAAGAAAAUUGGAUGAAGUUGAUGAGGAACUUACAGGCCGGUGACGUGACAAACUGUGCUGUUCUCGUCAGUGCAAUCGCAUUUGAUGUAUUCAAAAUUAGAGGAACAAGCCGAGCGUGAGAUAUUUGGAUGAAAACCCCACUCUAACUUUAUCAGCAAGUCUUCCAAAGCCUUUUCUGCCAAACGUUUUCAACAAUGAAACAUCAUUUUUUUUAGCAAAAUUCAAACAGGUAGUAUGCAUUAAUUAGGUUGUUAUUAAAAAUCUCAUUAAUGAUGUAAAUUGAACUAAUGCAAAUUGAACUGUCAACAACAAGCAUGAAAUCGUGUGUACCUUCAUCUUCAGGCAAUUAAGGCAUGUCAUAUAAAUUUGUUGCUUUACAGACUACAUAGCCAAAUUGACAAAGAAGAAGAACGGCAAGAGAGGAAACAAGCUUAGGAAAGAGCUUAAGAUAAAGCUUAGCCAUUACUAUAGUUUGCAAUGCGACAUGCAUGGAAUCUACACAAAAAAAGCCCUCUUUGUUCAUAACUUAUUAUUAAUUGGGUCAUCUGAAAGAGAAGAUAUUGAAGGAAAAGCUCAUAUUUAACAGAUAAACAAAUUUUCUUCCUUCUUUUGUAUAUAGGAGGAAAAAGGAUAUAUAUGUAGAUGGAAAAGUAUAUCGUGCGUGUGUACCUUCAUCUGCAGGCAACGUGGCGUUUCUGUCAGAGGAAUUUGUUGAUUGACAGGCUACAUAGCCAAAUUGACAAAGAAGAAGAACGGCAAGAAAGCAAACAAGCUUAGGAAAGAGCUUAGCCAUUACUACUUUAGCUUGCAAUGCGCUUCCCUUGAGACGACAUACAUUCUUUAUAAAGAUAUUGUUUUACCGUUCAAACAGUUAUUAACUCUGAAUCAAUUACCUCACAUUACCAAAUUGUCCCUGUCCAAAUAUCAAAAUACCCGAGAAAAGUAACUUGCAAUACAUUCUUUUUACAUUGAUUUUUGGAACCAAGAUUGAUACAUAAUUAAUUCUAGUGGUUGCCGGAAAUAAUUUUGGUUGUUUUGUCUUAAUUAUGUGCUAUAAAAGAAUGAAAAAAACCUGAUAUUUUUUGCUUAAAAAAUCAGAUGUUUUUUAAUUAAAAUAAACAAUUUAUAAAGUGAAAGGUAAUUAUUCAGAUUGUUUAUUCAUAAACUGGAUAAAUAAAGUGGAUUGAUGAAAAAAUAUUUUGUUUAUCAAAAUAAAAACAAUGUUAUUUUAACUAAAAUAACUUGAAUUAACUGAGUUAUCUCAGAAAUUAAUUUCUUAAUUUAAAGUAUUUUUCGAGUUAGUUUUUUUUAUUUUGAAUCAAUAACAACAAUCAUUCUACACCUACACACUCGGAAAAAAUAAAUUUUUAACUGAUGACUCAACUUUUAAGUAGUAAAAUAAAAGAAUUAUCACUUAAAUUUGAAUGAGAAUUUUAUAUAAAAAAACUCUUCUAUGCCCAGCUAAAGGCUCUGCUGAAUGAUUGAACCCGUGGAAUCUAAACAUUGAGAAGUAAUAAUGCAUCUUUAAAAUUUAUGGUCAAGUCUUUGUUUAUGUUCAGCAUCUUUCGUCAAUCUUUUCCAUUUAAAAAAUCCAAAAGCUGAUAGCUUACCCUUCAUUUCUUGGGUCCAAUCGGAAAGUGAACAUUGACAAGUAAUAAUGCAUCUUUAAGAUUUAUGGUCAAGUCUUUGUUUAUGUUAAGCAUCUUUUGUUACCAUUGUCAAGUAAUAAUAAUAACCACCGUCAGUCCAGGUAAAGAGCAUUCUGUAAUGCUGCUUUGAAAACCAAAAAUUGAAUGUUAUUUUCAAGAUAUAAAUUUCAUUGGAUCUACUUUCGUAUAAAAAACAAACAAACAAGGACUUUAUUUCAUGUGGAUAUAAAUUUCAGCUCAAAUAUUAUAGCUCAACCAUUUUGUAUUCAGAAUAUAUUAUUUAUGCUAUUCUCACAUGAAAAGUCUUGGCUGUAAAAUUCUUGAAAGGAGAACAAUACACAGUUAUCUUCUAAGAAAUACUUUUUAUCAAAGUAGAAAACGUGCAAUAAACACGUUUUAUUUUCAACAAUAUAAAAGUGAUCUCAAAUUACAUUACGUAGGUCACACAAGAUAAAUCGGAAUUUCUUUGUAAGUUCCUGCUGCCCCUACUGCCCCAAAGUCCUCACCGGAUUCACUGAAACCAUCACGUGAUGGCCUGCCCACGUCAAAAAGAUUAUAAUUAUUGAUAUAUAUUCAGGUUUGUUAUCCUGAAAAAAUCAAGAAAAUUAGGAGACAAAGAUUCCUUAAUUUUUAUCAGGGCAUAGGGUAUAGAUGAAAUGGAAGUCAUCACCUAAUAUUUUAAUCACUAGAAACUCUAACUAGUCUCGGAAAUUAAGUACGAGAACUAAUUACGUAAAUGAAAGAUAUUAGCAUCUCAAUUACGCCCUAUUUAAAGUAACCUGCAUUGUUUGAUUAUUUGAUAAAAUCUAUGGUAUUAUCGUGUUUUUUAUUUAUUGAUUUGUCUAAGGUUUUAGAGAAAAGUCUUCAUAGAUAAGGAGGUUCUUAUCUUAUCAGAUAAAACCUAACUGUUAUAACGUCAAUAAAAAAAGCUACUUUUUUAAUAUCGAAAAGAUAGUUUACGUAUAAAUUCGUAAUCCCGAAUGCUAAAAAAACAAAAUAUGUUUUUGGGUAUUUUUGAAAUAUUGGCAAAUCCUACUAAUUUUGGUGUGAUAAUCUAGGCGCUACUUACUUAAUUAUAUGCAAAUCCUAUGUUUCAUGCUUGCUCUAAACAUGUUAAGGUUAACUAUCGUUUUGUCUGAGAUAAGGUUGCGAAGAAAGAGAUUCAAAUUCGUUUUAUCCCCUCUUACGAUCAACUUGCAGAUGUUCUUACUAAGUUGCUUCUUACUGCUCCAUUUAGUACCUUUCGAUUCAAGUUUCAGUCGAUCCUCCACUCUUAGCUUGAGGGGGUAUAUUAUAGAAUGUACCUAUAUAGAAAAUAUUAUAGUCAUAUUCUUGUGUUGUAAUCACCACCAUUAUUAUUGUAUAUUGCCCUACACAUAUAAAUAAAAAAGGUUCGUCAACCAAUAGAUUAAGCCUCCUAAUUAUUCUUAAUUAUAAACAUCUUUUGUUAUGUAUAAUUUUUAUAUUUGUGGUUUGUUAUGUUGUUAUAAAUUGUCUUUUUAUUCAUAAAUCAACCUAGGAUAAGAAGAUCAUUUGUUGGGUUUUAUUAAUUGGAUGUUGCGAAUCACGUAAACUUAAUUUUGCAUAUUCAUGCAAUUUAAUUUUGAUGGCACCAGAUUUACUUUUAAUUGUGUCUGGUAUUUUUUGGUUGUUUAUACAAAAUUGACCUAAGGAUUGGAAGACUUUAAUUUUGUGCUAUCCCUCGAAUGUUGCAUUAAGGAUAGUCGAGUCAAUUAAUGCUUAUUUUCUAUAUACAAAAUUUCAUUUUCAUAUUGUGCUAUAAUCUGGAUUUGUGAGCUUGGGAAUUCCCUCAGCAAUACCCUUUCAAAAUACUAUUCUAGUUAUCAAGUCAAUCAUAUUCUAACUAGGAAAAUCACGACAACAUUGUUUUUAAUUAUAAAUGUAAAUAUUUUAAAACAUUAAUAUUAUUUUUUUAAUUAUAAUUAUUAUUUAUAAAUAUUUAUUCAUCAUUUGAAUUUUCUACGUCUGGUUUGAAUGUGUGUGAAUGAUUGUUUACUUGUUUUAAGAUAUAUUUUCUUGAUACAGGAAGUGAAUUUGGGAUAAACCCUAUGUAGACCUAUUUUUCAUAUUCAUUUCAAUCUAUAUUAUCUAGAGCGUGCUCAAGCCCUUCAGUUGCUCACAAUUCUGCAAGUCCAAUGUACAUCUUUAGUCAAUCUCUUAGCAUAACAAAUGUUUUUAAUUUUUAAAACAAGUAACAAAGCAAUUUACAUUAAAGUAGGAAGUAUAUAGUAAUUUUUAUUUUUUUAUUAUAUAAUACCCUUAAUAAUAAUCUCUGGAAAACUAAUUAGGAUUUCCUUAAUUGACAGAAAGCUAAAUGACAUAUCACUGAGAUGUCAUUUUUAAUAGAGGUAAACUAUUUGCAAGACAUCAGCAUGCUUAGGUAAGCUAAGUGACCCUUUAUUGUCGAAUAUUGAAAGAAUCCUUAGGUGGUUUGAUUUGUGCUCCUGUCAGAAAGUUUGCUUCACAGAAGACCCCUAGCUGAUCUGGAAUUCAGUAAAGGAAUGGCUGCUGUUCUGAGAUGUCAAUCCUACCUAUGAAAUAUCCAGGCCUACCAGUAGGGGCCACUUCAAGACUCCUUACGACAUGGAAACCAGCGCUGGAUAAAACCAAAAAUGAUGUGAUUUUAGGAAAACAAAAUGUUAGAUUUGUAAAUAUAUAUUCUGACGAUGCACGCUAGCUGACAACUCAAGUAGCUAUGCAUCUGGGACUCAAUAAUUGCAUCCCCAAAGAUAUAUAUAUAUAUAUAGUCGAAGCUAAAUAACUACAGCCCAAAGACCGAAUAUCCGAGGCAGAAGCUAAAUGUAUCAAUUACAGGGAUUCUUGAAUCGAGUUACAUAGAAUAUCUUAUUUUUGUUAGUUUUAUUUUAAAAAUUGUAGUAUAUUUAAAAUAAAGAAUAUGUUUGGACAAAUGACUGCAACAAAAUAAACAGCAGCAGCAGUAAAUAAGCAUGGUACUGGAUCACUUACAGAGAGUAGAGUGAAGGCAAGCUCCCCAUGGUGACGUCAGGGGAUGCUUCCAUAAAGUUGAUUGUUAUCCAUCAGUUGAGGUCAGCAUGAUUGCUUCGAAUUGUCAUCAUCACAUGUCAUAUGGCUUCAGCGUGGAUUUGUCCGUCCAAUUCGCGGUUUGAGAGUUCUCCACCACCCAAAAAAGGCAUUAACAUAGAAACCAGUGAGUUUUAGAGAGGACGCAUUCCCUUGCAAAAAUAAAAGAAAAUUGGAUGAAGUUGAUGAGGAACUUACGUGACAAACGUGUUGUUCUCAUAAGUGCAACUGCAUUUGACUUCAUCGGUAGGACGGUAAAAAAAAACAAAAACAAGGUUUUUUAUAUCUAUUUAUCAUUCAUUAUAAUUUAUUUUUUAUUUUCUCAAUUUUCGAUUUUUUUAUUUUUCGAUUUCUCAAUUAUAAUCUAUGGAAGAGAUUAUCACCUAAGAGUGAAAAACAACUUCUUCUGUUUUUACUAGUAUAAAUGGGGGUCACACUAUAAAACAAGGGAGAAAUUAGUUAGAGAGGAUUAGCAUAAAAAAAAUACUAAACAUUCUAUCUUAAAAAACCAAAAAAGAGAGUAAAAAAACCAUGACCCAUCACACCCUCCAGGACACCCACAUUUAAAUAAAACUAACAAGACCAACUCAUCAUCUUCAAGCUCCCACUGUCACCACUAAAGAAAAAAGAAAACUUAAAUUCCCAUAAAAAAAAUUAUGCCUUCCACUGCUGCAAAACAUUCAAAACUCCAUAACUAGCCAUCGAUCCUUUUUUCUCUAUCAAGUAGCAAAAAAACAGAAAGAAAAAGAAACAUGACAGACCCAAUAAGGGGCGGAGCUGGAAUUAUUUAACAAGGAGGGCCAAAACUAAUAUAAUAAGAUAUAAUUUUUUACAUGUAAACCAUACUAACAUAUAAAACAAAAUUAACAUAUUAAAAAAAAAUGAUAUAUAAAAACAAAUCUAACAUAAAAAAUAAAAUUAUUGGUUCCUAAAGAAAAAAACUUAAAUUGAAUUAAAGUUGGGUAUGUUCUCUUUAAAGAAUCUAAUUUGGCUAGAAAGAUCGUGUCAAAUUGUAUAUUGGACCUAGUGAUAGUAAGAUACAUGUGAGAAAAAAUUGAUAAUUUUUGUUGCUACCCAAUUUUUGACCCAUGUUUUUGAUAUAUUUUCAAAAAAAUCCAAAAAUAGAGAAAAACAAUGAAAAUCCAAAAAAAUAUGUUUUUUAAUAUAUUUUCGUCCUUUUAGCAUUUUCAACGUCGUCUAAAAAAAAAAAAAAAAUUUUUCAAGCGCGUUCGACUUUUCACGCGUCAUUUUUAAAAAACAUUGAUUUUCCUCGUUGAGUCGACGUUGAUAUUGCUCGUUUUCAAAAAAUACAAAAAAAAUAAGAAAAAUCAAAAUUUACAAAAAGAAAGAAGUUGAGGGACCAAGUUGAAAAACUUGGCAACAUUUUUGCCUAUAAAUAUUGGUCUUUAACUCACACAAAAGAGGGGUUAAUUUGGGGACAUUGAGAAAAAACACAAAAACCCUAAAGCCCAAACUUUUCUCUCCACUCAAAACAACUGGCCGACGGCGCCUCCCCCCACUGAUUUUGAAUUUUUUUGUUGUUCCCCGGGGUCCUUGGAUUUUGCUCUCCCAAAACCAGAAAGCCAAGGACCCCCCACCAUCGGAGCCACACAUUUGACCCACACGGUUCACCAUACUCUCGCCUUCUCCUCAGUCGGCCAACAGAACAAACGAAAUCGCCCCACUGAUUUUUUUUUUUUUUUGAUUUUUUCACCAGCCGCCGGCCAAAGCUUCAUCUCCUGAACCCACACAAGACAACCCCGUCUCCAGCUUUUCCCUCUCCGCCGAACACAAACUCUCAGCCCCGCAGACGGUGCCCAGUUCAUCUGCCUCCAGCGAGCUCGACCACUGCCCACCAACCAUCAUCGACUUGGACCGGUCUUCACUGAAACCAACCCGGAGCAGCCCGAACACACCGGCCAACCACAGUCUUUCUUCCUCCAGUAGCGCCGCCCGAAGUAGAGGGGAAGAAGAUGAAGCCCAGCGCCCGCCGCGGCGCAAUCCACUAGUCGCCUCACCAUCUUCACCAUGAGCCGUAGCAGCUCCAUCCACGACAGAUCUUCCUUCCCCUUUGCAACAGAACCGUCGCCGAAGAAGAAGAAAGGAACCACGGACAGCAAAAAAAAAUAAAAUUAAAAGCAGAUCUGAAUAAAAAACUAAAAUCAAUUGCUUGCUGUGUGUUGAGGUUUGCUUUGCAGGUGACUGCCGACGACGAAAGGAUGAGUGGAAAAAGCCGAUCCCCCCUGUUGCUGCGUUUUCUCGUGGAGGCGCGUGAACCCACGCGCCGCUAGUGGCGGUGGCGCGUGGGAAGACGCGCCGCCACUGAUUCUCUGCACCAGAAGCCUCCCAGUACUGUUCCCGUGCACUGUUCCUGCAUGUUCUAGAAGCCUUAGGAUGUUUUAGAGGCUGUUUUGUGAUUUUAAAUUGUUUGAUGUUUUUUUUAUUUAGUUUUUGGAUUUUUAUUUGUAUAUUGUAAAUGUGAAUGUAAUAAGGAAAAGAAAAGAAAGAACAAAAAUAUAGUGAAUGUGUGUGAUUGUAUUUGUUUUAUUUUUUAAAUAUAUUUCUUAUUGAUAAAAUUGCAGAUAUUAAAGAAGAAUUUAAUUUUUUGAUUGGAUCACGGUUAAGAAUUAUUAACUUAUACGUAAGUGAUAUUUCUAAUUUCCGAUGAAAAGACAAUUAUUAAAACUUCUUUAACACAUCAAAAAUCGCGAAGCAGCUUACCUCAGGUAGGGUGCGAUAGGGGUGCUAAUACCUUCCCUAACCGCAACCAGUCCCUUACCCGUGAACCUCUGACGAGACCAGUACAUCUGGUUUCCUAGUAGCCCGCAAUCAAUUACUAGGUGGCAACUCCAACGAACCAAAUUCAAACAUUACGCAACAACGAAAAAUCGCCAGCCGAUGCCGCGCGCUGAUUUUUUUUGGGGUGCGACAAUUUUGACGACUCUGCUAAAAACAAAAUAUAAAAAAAUCCAAGCUUAAUCGAAACAAACCCAUAAAAUAUAUCCAAUUUAUUAGAAAAAACGACAUUCCCUAUAACAAGAAAUAAAAAAAAUGGUAAAAUUAGUAGAUCUAGAAAAAACAAAUAGCAUAUAUAUAUAUAUAUAUAUAAACCUCAUCAAAUUCUUAACAAAUGUCGCACCCAAAAAAAAAAUCGAUGGUCUUGCUGAAGCCGUAGCGGAGAUGGGCUUGCUGUCGAUUGUCAGUUGAAGGAGGAGAUCGGUGGUUGCUUGCUGCUGUGGUCGGGUCUGUUCGUUGACCCGGAGAGGGAGAAAGGGGGAGUGGCCAGCUGCUGUGGUGGCCGUCGCGGCUGUGGAGGGCGAUGGGUCGACUGUUGCCCUGUGGCUGAGGGAAGGGAGGCCUGAUCCGGUGUGAGGCUGAGCUCGGGCUGUUGAAGCUACGGUGGAGCUGGCGGCUGCUGGUCUGUGUUGUCGGCUGAGAAGAAAACCAGUGGUGAUGGAAACCGAAGGAGGAAGAAGAUAGGCCGGCUAUUGAAGGAAAUGAGGGGGCUGGGAGUGUCGCCGCUGGUGAGGGAGAAAGGAAGAAAAAAUCAAACUGGGGGGUUUGGGGGGGGGCUGUUUGGCCGGUGUUCAAAAAAUGCAACAAGGUGGGGGCGGCUGUGUUUUGGCUUCAGGAGAAGAAGGCUCGGGAAAAAAAUUCAAAGGGAGGGGGGCGGCAGGCUUGGUAGAAAUAGGUUUAGGGUUAGGUUGUUUUUUUUUAUAUUUUUUUGUUAUUUCAAAAUUGCCCCCCUUUUUUAAUAUGAGUUGAAGACCAGUAUUUAUAGGCAAAAAAUGUUGCCAAGUUUUUCAACUUGGUCCCUCAACUUCUUUUUUUUUUUAUAAAUUUUGAUUUUUCUUAUUUUUUUGUAUUUUUUGAAAACGAGCAAUAUCAACGUCGACUCAAAUACGGAAAAUCAAUGAUUUUAAAAAUGACGCGUGAAAAGUCGAACGCGUUUGAAAAUCUUUUGAAAAAUUAAAUUCUUUAAAUAAAAAUUAAAUUCUUUUUAGACGACGCUGAAAAUGCUAAAAUGACGAGAAUAUAUUAAAAAAUAUAUUUUUUGGAUUUUCAUUGUUUUUCUCUAUUUUUGGAUUUUUUGAAAAUAUAUUAAAAACAUGGGUCAAAAAUUGGGUAGCAACAGAUGCCCCCUCUUUACAAUGCUUACGAAGCGAAAAUCCUCAAAAUUUUGCAUAGUAAGCUUUGUAUGGGUGACGAACCCAAGAAAAUGAUGGUCUCAUUGUAUGGGUGACGAACCCAAGAAAAAUGAUGGUCUCAUUGUAUGGGUGACGAACCCAAGAAAAAAUGAUGGUCUCAUUGUAUGGGUGACGAACCCCAGAAAAAUGAUGGUCUCAUUGUAUGGGUGACGAACCCAAGAAAAUGAUGGUCUCAUUGUAUGGGUGACGAACCCAGAAAAAUGAUGGUCUCAUUGUAUGGGUGACGAACCCAGAAAAAUGAUGGUCUCAUUGUAUGGGUGACGAACCCAGAAAAAUGAUGGUCUCAUUGUAUGGGUGACGAACCCAAGAAAAAUGAUGGUCUCAUUGUAUGGGUGACCUACCCAAGAAAAAAUGAUGGUCUCAUUGUAAUGGGUGACCGAACCCAUAAAAAUGAAUGGUCUCAUUGUAAUGGGUGACACCCAGAAAAAAUGAAGUGGUCUCAUUGUAUGGGUGACCUACCCAAUGGAAAAAAUAUGAAACGGUCUAUUGAUGGGCGACCUACCCAGAUGGAAAAAAUGUGAUAUGACAAGUGUGAAAAAUAGGACUUACCUGGCGAAGUCUGAAGGGAUGACAGAAGAAAGGGCUGGAAAACUUGGUGCUUCCUGAUAAUUCCCGAUCAUAGGGUUUGAAAACUCGGUGUUUCCUGACUGCAAGGGUUGAAAACUCGAGGCUUCCCGAUUGCAAGGUUGAUCUAUUCAUUUCUUUGGGAUUUUCCUAAUGGUAGGGUUCAUCCCAUCGUCCUUUUAUUCCAUGAUCAAAACCGAUUCUUUAUUAUCAUCACCACAAUGCUUCUUUCUCUUUCCACCAUCUUGCUGGACCUCAUUAAGGAUUUUCCUGUAACAAUUCAAAAAUAUGUGCAAAUGUUUUUUUUUUUUUUUUUUUUUUGAGGUUAGAUGAUAUGCAUGCAUCCUUACCUGAUUUGAAAUAUAGGUCCCCCCUCUUUGAUGCUCCAUCGUCAUAGGGUGCCCUUGUUUGUAUCCCAAAGCUUUCUUUGUUCUUCCGAUGCAUUGGCUCAUUCAUGUGUUAGCCAUCCACUCAGCUGUAAAUGCAGUGCCCAUCCCGGGCUGUCUUCGACAAUUACUGCUUGCAUCGUUCAUCAAGCUUGACCCUGCCCCCAAGUGUGGUACUGCUUGAUUCAUCAUGAAGGAUUUUCUCUCCUGGCUUCUUCUGAGAAUUAUCCUCUGAUUGAUUGUGUGCAUCAUGCCAACACCCAUCACGUUUGUUAAUCAGUCAUGAACUUGCCUUCGGUUGAAACACCAUUCAAGUAUGUAUGGUCACCAGCCUUCAUGGAACUGCCAAGUCAUCCAGACAUGUAUCUCAUGCUUUGCAGUAAACAGCUCAUCAUUGUAAGCGCGAUGUAUUUCUCUAUGGAUUCCUCUUAGCUUGUCAAAUCAGAUCGUGAAAAUACCUGCUUUGGCAUCAUCAAUGAUGUUCAUGUUAUCACCCAUAUUCAUGCGGUGAAGUGCGCAUUUGAGCUUCAGAAUAGAUGGUCCCAUCGUAAAUCUUGGUGGUAUGCAUAUGUUCGAUGUUCAUCCAAAUGCACUCACCCGAUAACAUCUGUCCGGAGUCAUAUCCAUGUUUUACAAAGUAACCUAAGAUGAAGAUAUGAAAAUAUCUUUCUAGUGCAGCGUUGCUCAUCAAUUGCUGCUGAAGUGCACUAGAUCAUGGAUUGUCUUUGAACAACAUUGGCCCCAGUAUGAUCUGAAGGUUUGUUCAUCGGUUUAUACUCAAGAAAGUUUUUCUUUGUCAUUGUCAUAACACAAUUUUGGGUUAUUCCCCAAAUUUCACUUUUUUUCAAAAUAAAAAUAAAAAAAUAGAAUAAAUGCUGGCACUGUGGAGGAAGAAGAUAAAAAAAGACUGCAAAAAUAGGCAAAAAUCGAAGGUCAAAUUAAAUGCAAAUUCGAAGGUCAAAUUAAAUGAUUAUUGGAUGAAUUUGCAUAAAAAUUAAGUCCAAUGACAUAAUUAAAUUUUUAAUGGGCCAAUUUGAUUUAAUCAUGGGCCAAAUUAAAUUUUAAUUAUGUUUAAGAAUUAAUUUAGGUCAAAUUGAAGGAUUUAAUUAAGUGCAAGGACUUAAUUAUACUUUAAAUGGGUCAAAUUAAUUUGGGGACUUAAUUGGUGAAAAAUUAAGUUUGGGAGUCUAAUUUGGACUUAAUUGAAAAGAUUAAAAUUUUAAGAGACCAAAUUUAAUUUUUCACCAAGUGAAUUGAUUGAAAAAUUGAGGGACCAAUUUUGAGACCCGAAAAGAAUGGCUUGCCUAUAAAUAGCAGCUUACAAAAUUUGGUAGAGGGGGGGUUCAUUUUGUAAUUUUGGGAAGAAAGAGAGAACCCUAAAAAACUAAAAUUUGAAAGCAGCCGCCAGGGAGACCCCCCCCGUUUUGGGAAAUUUUUUCCUUCUCCGAUCACAGCUGCCAGCUCCCCUUUUGAUUUAUUUUUCCUUCUCCCUCAGUCGGCCACCACCCUUCUUUCAAAAACUACCCGAAGCCAUCACCAUUUUUUUUUCCUUGCCAAAAAUCUCAUCCCCUGUGCACCAGCCUCAUUUUACUCCUCUCAACUCAGCCCUCAUUUUUCUAUGGCGUAGGGACCACAACAACCUCUUCUCCUUCUCAGUUACAGGAACAAAAGGCAAACCGGAGCAGCUCUUGACAACCAUUCACCCCACUCUCUGAAAAUCAGCCGGACAGUCAGCCACAACUCCUCUCUCUCUCCCCGGACGAUCUGACUUCCAGCACCUUCUCCGGCAACCGACACUCCCUUCUUCAUCCUCGGCGACCAGCCACAACAGUGUUGCCAUCACUGGAGACCCAGCAGCACAGACCUCGGCUGUUCCCUCAACAGGCGGCCAACAGCAACGACGAAGCAGCACCGAGAACCAGCCGCCGGAAGAAAUAGCUCCACCGUAGCUUCAACAGACCCAGCUACAACAGUGCCCGCAGGCCGGCCACUGAAUGGAGUCCUGCACAGAAGCAAGUCGUCGUCUUCCUCCAGCGCUCCUUCCACGACAAACUGACCACCUGAAGAAGGAGAAAAUGGCAAACCGAGAGAGAACAUAAGGAUUUGAACAGAUCUGAAAAAUAAUCAAAUAAAAUCGACUGUUUGUGUUCCUUUCUUUGAUUGCAGGUGACGGGCAGCAGGAGAUUGAAGAGGGGAGGAAGCCAUUACAGCCCCCUCACGCCGCCUGAAUUUCUGGGCGGCGCGUGAACCCAAGCGCCGCCAGUGACGGUGGCGCGUGGGAAGACGCGCCACCAGUGUACAACGACCACAGAAGAUGCCCAGAAUUCCCCAGCACUGUUCCCGAAGCUAUUUUGGAAUUUUCAAAUGUUGUUGUGUAUAUUUGGGCACUGUUGUGUUUUGAUUUAUUUGAUUAUUUUUUCUUUGUUAUGUUGUAAACAUGUAAUUGUGGGUGAGUCAGCAUAAUAAAAGGAGAUGUGUGUGUGUGUGUUUUUAUUAUUAUUAUUAUUAUUUAUUAUAUUGAAUUAUAAAAAUAAUAAUAAAGAAAAAACAAAAAAGAAUUAAUUGUUUAAUUUGAACAUGCACAAAUUCUAAGGAUGGAUAAAAUCAUGUUGUAUUUUCCAUGAAAAUGUAAGAACAUGUUUCUACAUAUAUUCUGGAAAUUAAUAACUGAUGUAUCGUAGCCUUAGAAGUGGGCUAAAAUUCUAUUUUUAAAAUUACAUCAAGCUCACGAAGCUUGAAUGUGGUGUGUGUAUUUUGUUUGCAAAUUUUUUAUGAUAAAAUUGCAGGAAUUAAGAAGGAUUUAAUAUUUUGAUUGGAUCACGGUGUAGAAGUACAAACUUGUACGGAAGUUGUAUUUCUAAAAUCCGAUGAAAAGACAAUUUUUAAAACUUGUUUUAACACAUCAAGUCCACGGAGCAGCUUACCUCAGGUAGGGUGUGUUAGGGGUGCUAACACCUUCCCUAACCACAAUCAGUCCCUUACCCACGAGUCUCUGACCAUGACCAGUCUAUCAGGGUUUCCUAGUAACCUCAAUUAAAUACUAGGUGGCGACUCCUAAAGAACCAAUUCAAGCGAUACAACGAGAGACAUAAAUCGGCAGCCGAUGCCGCGCGUGGCAUUUUUCGACGUGCGACAGAAUGGCGACUCCACUGGGGAGGUAUUGACAAUUUGGACUAAGCUUUGUGUACUUGAUGUGUUUAAUUUUUGCCAUUUUUGUCUUGCUUUAUUUUAUGCAUGCAUUUUUAGAAUUGUUUCAUGCAUCACUUGUAUUUAUUUUUGAAAGCACACACAAGCUUCUAAGUUAGGUGGGGAGUAGCAGUCUACCUCAUGACUUUCAGUCGGAGUUCAGAUUUGUGAAACAUCCAACUAUGAGCUGAGUGUUUACUCGGUAAUGGCGGUCACAUGGUGCCCCAACCAUUCCUUGUAAACCCCUAUACUGCCUUCACGUGAGGUCGUCACUGGGCAGUUCAUAGACCCUUUUGAGACCAGGUAGAAAACCUACCCAUGUUCACACAAUGAAUAGAACCUGUCCUUAGGUUGUAUGUGCUAUCAUUUAUUUGUAUCGGGAUGAACCCUUCUUGAAGCAUCUUGAACUCAAGAUUUGUGGGUGACACAUUGGUCGUCACUCGGAAAAUUUUCAUUGUAGAGUUCGGGCAAAAAUCAUGAUUUUUGUUCCAUCAUACAAGAGUACCAUGUUGUCACCCCUCGAAGGGCGAGUUCAUCAUAUAGACUUCAUGUUCAUACAUUUGUCAUGCAUGCACCAGAAUAAAAAGUAGGUCCCCUCUGAGUCUACAACACCUGAUUUUAAGAGAAAAAACAUUGGAGACAAAGAGCGUGCUCACCGCAGCAUCCAUUUCCAAGAAGAGUUAGAGUCUCUGAAAUCAAGUGUGGCUCGCCUCACUAGCUUACUUAAGCAUAUACUGAGAAAUGCCUCUGGUGAAGGUCCUUCCAAUCGGCCAAUUAUUUUUGUUCAGCCCCAACUCAACCCGAAGAAAUUAGGGGCCAACAUGAUCAAGAGCCUCAACACAAUCUGAAGGGGAAUUGCAUCACCGUUGCAAAAUAGAGCCUGUUCUUGCUCUGCCAAAAUCACUACCUCUGUUUGAUCAUGCCUCCAAAAACUUGAUUUUUUGUUUCAACCUAUUCUAGUUUUUGUUGGUAAUUUGGCUCAAAUUUCCACAAGACUUUCUCUGCCAAAUGAGCCUUUCCUGUUAAUAAAAUCGUGUUUUCUUUUUUUGUGUUCAUGCAAAUAACAUACUGAGCACACCUUUGUACUUACAAAACCAUUGCGCCAAGAAUCUUUGGGCGUGUUUCCCCUUUCUUCCAAAACUAUGCAUGUUUUCACAAGGAUUUUUGGGAAAUUAAAGUUUAGUACAAAAACAAAAAUCAUUUUGGUGUUUGUUCGAAACAAACAAGUUCUGGAAAUUAAGGUGAUUCCUUAGAGAGGUAAUCAUACACCUAGAAAACCAAAAAAAAACACCAUGAAGUGACUACAAAAGCUAAGUUUUGAUUGCAUGAAUAAUGAGAAAUCACUCUGCAUACUCGCAUGAAAGCAAGGCUUAUCGAUCCUAAAUGCAUGCAUUUGAGAUGAAGAAAGGCCAUCUUUGAUAAUCUUUUCACAAUGCUGAAAUAUAUCCUUUGCAAUCCCCUUUGGAGCCUAAUAAAUUUUUCUUGAAAAAUAACCUUGGCUAGGAUCACACCCUACACUAGGGGGCAAGUGCAAAAAAAAUCCAUAAUGAUUGAAAGUGCCCAAAUAACUCUUGGGGGCAUGAAAAAGUCUUCAACAAUGAAAGUGCCCAAACAAUACUGGGGGGCAUAAAAGAAAAUCUCAAUCAUCAAAGGUGCCCAUACAAAGCUAGGGGGCAUGAAAAAAAAUCCAAAGGAUCCAAAAUUUUGAGCAAAAAACAAGGCCAAUGCAAUGAUGCUCAAAAUCAAAUGAAGAAAAGAAAAACAAAGAGAAAGAGCCCAAGCCCAACAUUGGGGGGCACCGUGGACCAUUUUACAAAUAAAUUCCAAGGUCCAGAAAUGUAUGAACAAAAGAGUUUGGGAUAUAAGCACUAGUGAUCCUUAGUCUUAAAGUCCCAUAAACAAUUUUUAAGCCUACAUAUAUCCUUUUCUUCAUAGCCAAUAGCCCAAGCCUACAUUACGUGCCUAAUCAAGCCCUUUCUGAUCAAAGGCAAGCAAUCUGGAUCGAUAGGCAAUGCUUUCUCAUGCGAGAUAAAGUCAUUAUUCAUGCAAAUAAAAUGAAUGCUUUGACAACGGUUCUAAAUAACCCUCAAAUUGAAAUUUCAACCUUUUGUGACCAACCAAAUGUCACUUCAUAUUUUUCACCAAAAUCAAAACAAAAAGUUUUCAUCACUUCUGAAAACCUCUCCAUAGGAAUCACUUGAAUUUCUUCAGAAUGAGUUCGCUUUGAAUCGAUGUUAAAAUGAUUUCUGUGUCUGGAAUAGCUUUGAAAUUCCAAAAAUUCUGCAUGAAAACAACUCCUUGUCAAACCUUCCUUCACAUAGCCUCAUCCCGAAACCCGAAUUGAAUACUUGGGGGCAUGAUCAAGCUAGGGGGCAAUCAAAAACAUUUGGUAGAGCUGGCUCCAUGAUUCCCUUUCGAAGAAACUAUUGGGCAAAAUUGGCAACCCUUGAGAUAAAAGGGGCGGAGAACAAAGAAGUGAUGACAUCAACUUUCCUAGAGGCCAAGAUUGUAAGAUAUUUCUCGAGUAAGCAAGGGGACAAAAGCCAUCAAAGCUUACUAUCAGAGACUCAAACUUUUGAGAAAAGGAGAACUCCAUGAAGAAAAGGGGACCUAUACUUCUUAGGUAAGUAUACAUGCAUAUAUUGAUCAUGAUGCAUUUCUUUCAUCCUUAACAGAUCGAUGUCUCACCAUCACCUCUUUUUGAGCGGGUUGCUGAAGCCUUAACCCUCUUAGGUAGUGUGUUUUCCAACCCUGCCUCUUUUGGAGAGCUCCUUCGAGCACUCACUUCUUAGGUAGUGUGUUUUCUAACCCUACCUCCUUUUUUAGUGUGCCUUGGAGCCCUAACCUUCUUAGGUAGUGUGUUUUCCAACCCUACCUCCUUUUGAGAGCUCCUUCGAGCACUCAUUUCUUAGGUAGUGUGUUUUCUAACACUACCUCCUUUGUUAGUGUGCCUUUGAGCCCUAACCCCUUUUAGGUAGUGUGUUUUCCAACCCUACCUCCUUUUGAGAGCUCCUUCGAGCACUCAUUUCUUAGGUAGUGUGUUUUCUAACCUUACCUCCUUUUUUAGUGUACCUUUGAGCCCUCGAUCACCUUUAGGUAGUGUGUUUUCCAACCCUACCUCUUUUUGAGUGUCCCUUCGAGCACUCAUUUCUUAGGUAGUGUGUUUUCUAACCCUACCUCCUUUUUUAGUGUGCCUUUGAGCCCUAACCCCCUUUAGGUAGUGUGUUUUCCAACCCUACCUCUUUUUGAGUGCCCCUUCGAGCACUCACCCCUUAGGUAGUGUGUUUUCUAACCCUACCUCCUUUUUUAGUGUGACUUCGAGCCCUAACCCUCUUAGGUAGUGUGUUUUCUAACCCUACCUCCUUUUUUAGUGUGCCUUCGAGCCCUAACCCUCUUAGGUAGUGUGUUUUCCAACCCUACCUCUUUUUGAGUGCCCCUUGGAGCACUCACCUCUUUGAUAAUGUGUUUUCUAACCAUACCUCCUUUUGAAUGCUCAUUUGAGACCCCAAACAUCUUAGGUAGUGUGUUUUCUGACCCUACCUCCCCUUUUGAGUGCGCCUUAGAGCCUUCAACCCUUAGGUAGUGCGUUUUUCAACCCUAUCUCAUUUUAAGUGCGCCUUAGAGCCAUCAACCCUUUAGGUAGUGCGUUUUCCAACCCUAUCUCUUUUUAAGUGCGCCUUAGGGCCAUUAACCACCUUAGGUAGGGCAUUUUCCAACCUUACCUCCUUACCUCUUUUCGAGUGCACCUUUGAGCCCUCGAUCACCUUUAGGUAGUGUGUUUUCCAACCCUGCCUCCUUUUUUGGUACGCCUUCGAGCCUUAACCCUUUAGGUAGUGCGUUUUCCAACCCUGCCUCUUUUUUAGCGCGCCUUCGAGCUAACAACCCCUUUAGGUAGUGUGUUUUCUGACCCUACCUCCCCUUUUGAGUGCGCCUUAGAGCCUUCAACCACUUUAGGUAGUGCGUUUCCCAACCUUACCUCCUUUCGUAUGCUCCUUCGAGCCCUCACCACUUUAGGUAGUGAGUUUUCCAACCCUACCUCCUUUUGAAUGCUCCUUUGAACCCUUACCCCUUCGGUAGUGCGUUUUCCAACCUUGCCUCCUUUUUAGAGCUCCUUCGAGCCCUCACCUCUUGUGUAGUGUGCUUUCUAGCCCUAUUUGCCUCCUUUUGAGUGCGCCUUGGAGCACUCACCUCUUAGGUAGUGCGUUUUUCUAACCCUACCUCCUUUCGAGUGCGCUAACCUCCUUUAGAGUGCGCUCUUCAUCCCUCGUUCCCCAUCGAGUCCUAUCAUGUCAUCCCUUUCAGACAUUUUGCCUUUUCGCCCGGGUAGGUCACCCAUUAUAAUCAGACCUCUUUCAAGACUCUUUUCAUUUUCCAUUUGGGCCGGUUGCCCAUAACAAUAAAACCAUUUUGAGAAGUCCUUGCAUUUCUCCCCAUUUUCAAACUUCUUCCAUUUUGGGCCGGUUGCCUAUAACAAUGAAACCAUUUUGAGAAAUCCUUGCAUUUCUCCCUAUCUUCAAACUUCUUCCAUUUGGGCCGGUCGCCCAUAACAAUAAAACCAUUUUGAGAAAUCCUUGCAUUUCUCCUCAUCUUCAAACUUCUUCCAUUUGGGCCAGUCGCCCAUAACAAUGAAAUCAUUUUGAGAAAUCCUUGCAUUUCUCCCCAUCUUCAAACUUCUUCCAUUUGGGUCGGUCGCCCAUAACAAUGAAAUCAUUUUGAGAAAUCCUUGCAUUUCUCCCCAUCUUCAAACUUCUUCCAUUUGGGGCGGUCGCCCAUAACAAUGAAACCAUUUUGAGAAAUCUUCGCAUUUCUCAACCACUUUGAAAAAUCUUUGCAUUUUUCAUCACUUUUCAUCUGGGCCGGUUGCCCAUUACAACAAAACCAUUUUGAAAAAUCUUUGCAUUUUUCAUCAUUUUGAGAAAUCUUCGCAUUUCUCAUCACUUUGAAAAAUCUCUGCAUUUUUCACCUCUUUGAAAAAAAUCUUUGUAUUUUUCAAAAAUUUUCAUCUGGGCCGGUUGCCCAUUACAACAAAACCACUUUGAAAAAUCUUUGCAUUUCUCACCACCUUGAAAACUCUUUUUGUUUUCCAUCUUGGGCCGGUUGCCCAUUACAACAAAACCACUUUGAAAAAUCUUUGCAUUUUUCACUACUUUGAAAAAUCUCUGUAUUUUUCACGUCUUUGAAAAAUCUCUGUAUUUUUUACCACUUUAAAACAUCUUCGUGUUUUUCACCCGGGUAGGUCACCCAUGACAAUUCGACCAUUUCAAAAUCUUUGAAUUUUUUUUUAAAAAAAAUCUUCCUUUUUUUCUUCUUUACAACGCUUACUAUCUAAAGUCUCCUACGAGACUUUCUAUCAUAAGCAUUGUAAAGAGGGGGGCAACUGUCAUAACACAAUUUGGGUCAUUCCCCAAAAAUUUCUUUUUUUCAAAAUAAAAAUAAAAAAAUAAAAUAAAGGCUGCAACGUGGAGAAGGUAAAAAAAGCUGCAAAAAUGCAAAUCGAAGAAUACAAUGCAAAUUCAAGGUCAUAUUAAAUGAUUAUUGGACGAAUUCGCAUGAAAAUUAAGUCCAAGGACAUAAUUAAAUUUUUAAUAGGCCAAUUUGAUUUAAUCAUGGGCCAAAUUGAAUUUUAAUUAUGUUUAAGAAUUAAUUUGGGUCCAAUUGAAGGAUUUAAUUAAGUGCAAUGACUUAAUUAUACUUUAAAUGGGUCAAAUCAAUUUUAUUUGGGGCUUAAUUGGUGAAAAAUUAAGUUUGGGAGCUUAAUUGAGAAGAUUGGAAUUUUAAGAGACCAAAUUUAAUUUUUACCAAGUUGAUUGUUUGAAAUCAGGGAUCAAAUUGCAAGAAAAUUGAAGUUUUGGGGUCAAUUAGGGGUAAAAUUGACAAAAUCCAAAGACAAGGACCAACUUGCAAAAGGCGCCAAACUAUAGGGGUCUAAUUGACUGGAGGGCUAAAUUGCAAAUUGAAAGACAUUGAACGCUAGAGGGCUAAAUUGAAAAUCAGCAAAAAGCCCUAAUUUUUAUCCCAAACGGCGCCGUUUUUGUGUUGAGGGAAGGGACCAGGCGACGCGUCGCCCGGUUACUGUUCAUCGUCUUCCUCACAAAGCUGCCCGAGUGGCUGCUUUCCAGGCGCGUUUUCUCACUCGUUGGCCCCCAAAUCCGACAAGGCGUGCACCAACAUGUUCCCCUGAAACAUCUUUAUCUCGUAGAGUGGUCGGUCGGGUAACAACUUGGACAGCUCCGUUUAUUGGCCCAAAGUGGCACCCUCGGGCAGUCUGCAGCCUUGGAUUGCCAAAUUUGGCAGUUCGAGGUGCACACUUUGAACCAACGGCUUGGAUUCCUCGAGUCGAAUCAAGGCUGAGACUUUUUCCCCGUUGAACACAGAUUACCCUCUUUCCAUCCCUAUAAAUAGGAGCCAAUUUAAUGCUCAGAGGAGGAGAAACCUGAGCUCAAAGUUGGGAAAAAUCAGUUUUUCCUGCCCGGUUUUCCUGCAACCAGUCCUCUCUUUUUUUUUCUCUCCGCCGUGGCCUCUAGUUGCCACCACUGACCUCGCCACCAUCCUCUCCCUGAAACACCACAUCCAUCCAUCACCCAGCAACCUCACCGAAGCCUGCAACCUCCUCUCUCUCCUCUCUUUCUGCAAAACGUUUCUCUCUCUCACCACCGCAAUCCCAGCAGCAGCAGCGUAACCACCCUUUCCAGCGGCUUGCACUUCUAUCAGCAGCAUCUUGGGAAGCAUCUCCUCCUCAGCCACACCAACAACUCCAGCCGUGAGCUUUCCCUCUCCUCUGCAGGGCUUGUUUCCUUCUUCUUCCAGCCGGGACCAGUGCACGCUGCCGGCCUCGCCGCCUCCAGCUUCACCGCGCGCCACCAGUCGGGCCACCAACUCUCUCCACGCCAGGUAAUUCUCUCCUCCCUGCUCCACCAUUUUCGUUUUCGUUUCUGCAUGCAGUGGCUAAUUAAUUAGACACUUGUUUGGGCCGGGCCGGUUCUGGCCCAGCCCGGCCCAAAAAAAAAAAAAAAAAAUUUCAAAAAUAUUCAAAAAAAUCAUGUAAAAAUUUGUGGUUUUCUUAAAUAUUUUUCCACCAAGUUUUGCAUAAUAUCGGGUUGUAUAUUUACAUUGUAAAAUACAAAUUCGGUAUUAAAAUACCUGGUUUUCUCCAAAAUAUUUCAAAAAAAAAAAUCAAAACAUUUCCAAAAAGAAAAAAAAUAUUUCAUUGCAUACAGAAAAAAUCCAAAAACUUUUCCAAGCAUAUUCUUUGUAAAAACAAAAAUUGCAUCUUUUUCAUGUUUUUUAAAUGGAUAUCGUAACCAGAUUAUGAUUGUCCAUUAGGAUUUGGCCAAAAUGUCAAAAACCUUUUUUCAAUCUUUUUUCCUGGGAUCCGGAUGUAGACUUUAAUAUUGGUGGGGUGUAAAAUUACGCGAUAAUGUACAUCCUCGGGUAUUAAAGAUACAAGGUGUAAAUAAAAGCAAUUUUAAAAUUAAGACUUUAGAAUGGUUAGGAUUUAACCGAAUAAGGUAGAGACUUCCUCACGAGGGGAGAUCUGCCUUGAACCUUAGAAAAGACCAGCGAAUAGAAACCCGACCUAGAAAAACAAUCAAACAAUAAUGCAGUUUGCCUUAGGUAGGGUGCACUGGGGGUGAUGCGUCUUCCCCUUGCACAACCAGUCCUUACUCAGACUCUCGCAGACCUUAGGUUCGUAGUGACCAUAACACUAGGUGGCGACUCCCAACAAAACAAAUCAACACAACAACAAUGAGAGACAAAUCGCCAGCGGAUGUCGUGCGGAAUUUUUUGACGUGCGACAGUCAUUGUCAGAUGCUAAACAUAACUUUGAUGAACUUUGACAACUCAUCAUCGGAUCCUUUCUUUGACCCCAGCUGAUCAGAAUGUUGUUUGUUUUUCUUCUAAGGGUCCACUGUAUUGCCCCCAGGUGGUUAACAUUUCAAGGAGUGUCGGGAAAUUGAUGUCAUUUUUGUCAAGGAUUUUGCAAACUCAAUUGAUGUUCUUGUUUGAAAAUCUUUCUUGUUCUAGAAUCAAAUCUCAUAUUUCAAAGAUCAUGUUUAUUCAAAGUCUAGUUGUUGAGAUGAAAUCAGAGAGAUAUCAGUUUUUUUUGUUUUUUUAAAGUAUUUUUGAAAUUCAAGCUUCUUUGAUCAAAGACCCAACACACGUCAUUCAAUGUAGUCCUUCGAUUGUCUUGUAUUUUGAAAACAGAAAUCGACCCGUUGUAAGAUUAAAAAUGGUCUUUUCCAUGGUUCUUUGUGUCCACUUUAAACUCUGAUUUUGGGUAUAUCUUUUGAUGGUCUGCGAUGAGGUGACCUUCUGUGAAUUUCAAGGAAAACAACAGGCUCAAGUCAAAACUUGAGGAUUCAUGAAGGAAAAAUGUUUUGUUUUUUAGCAAUAAUUUUAUCAACAUGCAUAACGACCGGUAACUUAAUUCAUGAAGCCACGACUCUUAUGGAAAAACUCUUCAAGUUUUGAGAGCGCCAUUUAUCGGUUCAAGUUGCUUGCUUGAUUAAAAAGGGCUUUUAAAAAGCAUGUAAUGCAGGCUAUGGUUCAUGGCUAUGAAAGAAAGGAAUUUCAAAGGCUCAAAAGGUGUUUGAGGGUUUUAAAAACCUAGGAUCAACAUCAAUUAUUCAUCAACUCAUUUUCUAUUGUUGUCUUUGUAGAGGAAACGACAUAGAACCUUGUUAACCUCAAAGAUCAGACUUCUAUUAACAUAAGUCAUAAUGCAAAUCCAACUUUCUUUGAGGAAUAACCAACCUUAAUCAUCUGAUAACAUCGUAGGCUUUAUAAUGGAUACCAAAAGUCAACGCUUAUAGCUUAGUCUUUUUCCGGUAUUGACUUUUGUUGUACCUUUCCUUGAUUGAAAUUUCUUUGCUCUUUCUAGACUUGAUAGGCAUUUUCCUUCCUUUAUCUUUGACUUGUAUUUAAGUGAAGACAAUUUCAACUUCUUUUUUUUUUUUUUGUUUUCAUAGCCUUCCUCAAAACUUUCUUAUAUGCCCCUGUUGCUACCCAAUUUUUGACCCAUGUUUUUGAUAUAUUUUCAAAAAACAUCCAAAAAUUGAGAAAAACAAAGAAAGUCCAAAAAAAUAUGUUUUUAAUAUAUUUUCGUCAUUUUAGCAUUUUCAACGUCGUUUAAAAUUUUUUUUUUAAGGGUCUUUCGAACGCGUUCGACUUUUCACGCGUCAUUUUUAAAAUAAUUGAUUUUCCGUAUUUGAGUCGACGUUGAUAUUGCUCGUUUUCAAAAAAAUACAAAAAAACAAGAAAAAUCAAAUUUUACAAAAAAAUAAAAAUAAAAAUUAAGGGACCAAUUUUGAGGCCGAAACAAUAUUUUUGCCUAAGGGAAUUUUGAAUUUUGGAAGGAGGGGCAACCUAUCUGUAGAGGAGCCGAGCCGAAACGGAGAAAAAGAGAAACCGAAGCAGAUCUCAAAAAAACAAAGGAAAUAAAAUCUAAAAUCAACUGUUUGUGGCCUUUUGUUUGCGUUUCUUGUGGCAGGUGAAGUUAGCAGUCACCGCGGGCGAGGAAGAAGGGAGUAUCUCCCCUGUUGCUGUUCUUUUUUUUCGGCGGCGCGUGAACCCACGCGCCGCCAGUGACGGUGGGCGCGUGGGAAGACGCGCCGCCCGUGUUAGCUGCCCAGAAUAUGUUUCCAACACUGUUCCGGUGGUGCCCCAUAAAUUCCAGAUUGUGUUGGGGCUGUUUUUUUUUGUAAAUUUUAAAUAAUUAAUGUAAUUUUUUAUUUUGAUGUUUUGAAUUUGUAUUGUAUAAAUGUGAUGGAAAAGAAAAGAAAAAUAAAUAAUAAAAAAUUGUGCUGUGUGUUUGUAUUUUUUUCUUAUGACAUUGAAUUAUAAAAAAUAAAAAAAAGACAAAAAUAAUUAAUUGUUAAUUUAAAUAUGGUUAAAUAUCUUAAGGACCAAAAUAAAAUCAAGUUGUAUUUUCCACGAAAAUGUAAGAACAAGUUUUUUUUAACAUAUAUUCGGGGAUUUAAUAACUGAUUUAUUCAAGCCUUAGAAUUUAAUUAAUAUUUUAAAUUUUCUUAAGUAUGGUUAAAUAUCUCAAGGACAAAUAAAAUCAAGUUGUAUUUUCCAUGAAAAUGUAAGAACAAGUUUUACAUAUAUUCGGGGAUUUAAUAACUAAUUUAUUCAAGCCUUAGAAUUUAAUUAAUAUUUUUAAAUUUUCAAAUCACAUUAGAACACAAUGCAGCUUACCUCAGGUAGGGUGUGUUAGGGGUGCUAAAUACCUUCCCUAACCACAACCAGUCCCUUACCCGCGAUCUCUGACAAGACCAGUACAUCAGGUUUCCUAGUAGCCCUCAAUGAAUUACUAGGUGGCGACUCCAACGAACAAAUUCAAAGCAAACGCAACAAAACGAUGAAAAAUCGCCAGCCGAUGCCACGCGAUUUAGGAUUUUUUUUGGGGUGCGACAUGCCCCGAGUCUAUGUGUCUUCUUCUAGCUCUCUCAAUCAUUUGACUUUUGUUCUAAGCCUCCCCUUUAUCCAUUAAUUAUAUCGAUGCCUUCAAAAUAUCUCUCAUUUACCCCAAGUGUGGGGUGUGAUCCUAGUCAGGGUUUUUUUUGAAAGAAAAUAUUUUCAGGCUCAAAAUGGGACUGCAAGGGAUAUAAUUUUAGAAAGUGAAGGGAUAUCAAAGAUGGCCUUUUCUCAUUUCAAGCAAGGUCGGUUAGAACCGAUAAAUUUUGACCUCAUCCAGUGUAAUGAUUUGGACUUGUAAGAAUCAUGAUUCACGAGUCCAUAACUACCAAUCCACUACAUGUCAUUAUGCAUACUGCUAAAACUUAGCUAUAUGAUGUGUGGUUCAGUUUCAAGGUAUGAGUUCAAAAUUGUUUGUCACCUCAUGUCAUUUUCAAGCAUCGAGUCAUUUCUGUAAUCAAAACACUUUUAAUCUUCCGGAUUGAUUAACCUUUAUCGCAUGUUGGAGUUUGAUCAAAAUAUUUUGUCAGAAUAAAAUGUAAACAUCUGUUGAUUUCAAAACAACAAAAGACAAAAGCAAGGCAUGUUUCGUUGAAGGAUGAGAUGUGAUCCCAAAACAAAAUGCAGAAUUCCAAAACAAUAUGAUUGACUGUUCAUCACCAUUCUUGAAUCAGCUUUUCUGGCAAUAUUGUUUUGCCAAGCACUUUCGAUCAACAUGUCAUUCUGAAGAUGUUCGGGGACAAUAUAGCCAAUGACACCCUCCUUCACGACUCCACUUGUCUCUUGCUCACCAACUUUCAGCAAUUCUUGCAAAUGUUCACUUGAAAUGGUUGAGGACCCCACCAUGACAUCACAUCUCUUAUCUGGAUUAUACCACCUAGAAAUUGGUGGUUGCAUGGGAUUUGUCGGAGUCAAGCAAAAUUCUGGAAUCUGGCAGAUGCUGGUCGACAAACUUAAGGCAGAGGAAUGUCCCAUCUUGGCAAAGACAUUUGAGCAAUUGAUGCUACCGUGAGACCUGGCUAUACCACAUAAUUAAGGGUUCACACCGUCAAAGUCAUCUCCUGAUUCACCUCUCAUCAUUGUUCUAGAAUCCAUGGCAGAUCCUUCAAUCUUUCUCUCUCUUCAUAGCUUGUUCAAUUCUUCGGCAAAUCCUCACAACAUUAUUUCAAUCUUCCAAUGUUGCUAUGGUUGGUUGAGGAUUGUUAGAAAACUUUCUAACAGCUUGGUAAUCUUGGCAGCGCCCAGAAACUUGUAGUAUCGCCACUACCACGUGUGGAAUCACCUUAUCUCUUCUAUGGAGAAAACGAUGAACAUGAAUCUCCUCUUUUCUUCUUUCGAUUCCUGAAGUGCAGCAAACAAACACCUAUAGAGGAAGUUGCUCUGUUGAAGUUUCAGUCUUCUUCAUGUUUUUCAGUCUAGGCAUGUCUCUUCUCUCUACUUUUGCGUUUUAAUACUGACACUGUUGGAGGAAAAUCAUAGAUGAUCUGAAACUACUGUAUUCCUUCUUGGAUUUCCCACUUGCGGAUCCACAAACAGAUUCCUGCCGAGAGAGCUCUGCUACGUUGAAGUUUGAUGUCUGCUCAUAUUUUUCAGACCAGGUCUGGCUCUUCAACCUACUAAGUCUUCGUGCUGAAACUGAUGAGAGAAAUAUUUGUAGCAUAUGCAACUUAUAAAUCCCCUCUUGCACUUCCCAAUUUGCAGAGCCAUAAAUGGAUUUUUGUAGAGAGCUCUGCCACAUUGAAGUUCAGUGUUCAAUCAUGGUUUUUCAGACCAUCUUGUGCUGCUGAACUGGAAUAAUCGGGGUAACUUCAAAGCAGAUAAUGCACCAUGUACAGGAGGCUAGUAGUUGUUUGGUUCCAUUAGAUGAUGUGGAGGCGAUGAACACUUAACAGCAACUGACAGAAUCGAGUUGUCAUUAGUUGAUGACUGAAGGCAUUGUUGUUUGUUCAUGACGGAAAAGGAGAGAUACAACUUCAAUUGGAUGGAACAAGCAGUGUUCCCACAGAAACUGUGCAGACAUCUCUUUCCAUUUGAUGCUCAACACUUGUUCGAGCAGAUCUGAGUCCGCUACUUCACCUUGAUGCUCUCAACCUUAAUCUGAUAAUGAGCCUAUAUGACUCCUUUCUUCACUUCCAUUAUUUUCUUCAAUCACGUGCAGCACAGCUUGUGGGGGACCUACCUUUCACCCGGUACAUGCAUGAUAAAUGUAUGAACAUGUAAUCUAUAUGAUGAACUCACCCUUCGAGAGGUGACAAUAUGGUCGUAACUCUUGUAUGAUGGACAAGAAUCGUGAUUUUUGCCCAAACUCUACAAUGAAAAUUUUCGGAGCAACGGCCAAUGUGUCACCCACAAGUCUUGAGUUCAAGAUGCUUCAAGAAGGGUUUGCCCUUAUGCAAAAAACGAUAGCACAUACAACCUAAGGACAGGUUCUAUUCAUUAUGUGAACAUGGGUAGGUUUUCUAUCUGGUCUCAAAAGGGUCUCAUAUCUGCCCAGUGACGUUCUUCGUAAAGACAGUAUGGGGGCGUUGCAAGGAAUGGUUAAGGCACGUAUACCCACCAUUACCAAGCAGGCACUCAGAUAUGAGUUGGGUGUUUCACGCAUCUGAACCCUGACCAAUAGUCUUAGGGCAGAUCGCUAGUUCCCCACCUAACCUAGAAGCUUGUGUGUGCUUUCAAAAAUAAAUACAGGUGAUGCAUGAGACAAUUCUAUAAAAUGCAUGGAAAUAAAUAUUAACAAAAAAGAUAAAAAUGCAAAAACUUAAACACAUCAAAUACACAAAGCUUAGUCCAAUAAUGUCAGAAACAGUACCUUCCCCAGUGGAGUCUCCAUUUUGUCGCACCCCAAAAAAAAUCAGCGCGCGGCAUCGGCUGGCGAUUUUUCGUUGUUGCGUAAUGUUUGAAUUUGGUUCGUUGGAGUCGCCACCUAGUAAUUGAUUGCGGGCUACUAGGAAACCGGAUGUACUGGUCUCGUCAGAGGUUCGCGGGUAAGGGACUGGUUGCGGUUAGGGAAGGUAUUAGCACUCCUAACGCACCCUACCUGAGGUAAGCUGCUUCGCGAUUUUUGAUGUGUUAAAGAAGUUUUAAUAAUUGUCUUUUAAUCGGAAAUUAGAAAUAUCACUUACGUAUAAGUUAAUAAUUCUUAACCGUGAUCCAAUCAAAAUAUUAAAUUCUUCUUUAAUAUCUGCAAUUUUAUCAAUAAGAAAUAUAUUUAAAAAAUAAAACAAAUACAAUCACACACAUUCACUAUAUUUUUGUUCUUUCUUUUCUUUUCCUUGUUACAUUCACAUUUACAAUAUACAAAUAAAAAUCCAAAAACUAAAUAAAAAAAACAUCAAACAAUUUAAAAUUACAAAACAGCCUCUAAAACAUCCUAAGGCUUCUAGAACAUGCAGGAACAGUGCACGGGAACAGUACUAGGAGGCUUCUGGUGCAGAGAAUCAGUGGCGGCGUGUCUUCCCACGCGCCGCCGCCACUGGCGGCGCGUGGGUUCACGCGCCUCCACGAGAAAACGCAGCAACAAGGGGGAUCGGCUUCUUCCACUCAUCCUUUCGUCGUCGACAGUCACCUGCAAAGCAAACCUCAACACACAGCAAGCAAUUGAUUUUAGUUUUUUAUUCAUAUCUGCUUUUAAUUUUCUUCUGCCCGUUUCGGAUCUGCUCCUCUUUCUCUUCUUCUCCGUUGCAGAUUUGCUUUUAUCUGCAGAUCAGUCCGUGUGUUUCUUCUUCUUCUUCUCCUCUACUUCAGGCGGCCGAUCUGGUGGUUGCAAAGGGGAUCGCGGUUGUGGUCGCUGCUGCUGUCGUCCGUUCGGCGGCUGAAGCCGUAGCGGAGAUGGGCUUGCUGUCGAUGGUCGGUUGAAGGAGGAGAUCGGUGGUUGCUUGCUGCUGUGGUCGGGUCUGUUCGUUGACCCGGAGAGGGAGAAAGGGGGAGUGGCCAGCUGCUGUGGUGGCCGUCGCGGCUGUGGAGGGCGAUGGGUCGACUGUUGCCCGGUGGCUGAGGGAAGGGAGGCCUGAUCCGGUGUGAGGCUGAGCUCGGGCUGUUGAAGCUACGGUGGAGCUGGCGGCUGCUGGUCUGUGUUGUCGGCUGAGAAGAAAACCGGUGGUGAUGGAAACCGAAGGAGGAAGAAGAUAGGCCGGCUGUUGAAGGAAAUGAGGGGGCUGGGAGUGUCGCCGCUAGUGAGGGAGAAAGGAAGAAAAAAUCAAACUGGGGGGUUUGGGGGGGGGGGCUGUUUGGCCGGUGUUCAAAAAAUGCAACAAGGUGGGGGCGGCUGUGUUUUGGCUUCAGGAGAAGAAGGCUCGGAAAAAAAAUUCAAAGGGAGGGGGGGCGGCAGGCUUGGUAGAGAUAGGUUUAGGGUUAGGUUGUUUUUUUUUAUAUUUUUUUGUUAUUUCAAAAUUGCCCCCCUUUUUGAAUAUGAGUUGAAGACCAGUAUUUAUAGGCAAAAAAUGUUGCCAAGUUUUUCAACUUGGUCCCUCAACUUCUUUCUUUUUGUAAAUUUUGAUUUUUCUUAUUUUUUUGUAUUUUUUGAAAACGAGCAAUAUCAACGUCGACUCAAAUACGGAAAAUCAAUUAUUUUAAAAAUGACGCGCGCAAAGUCGAACGCGUUUGAAAAUCUUUUGAAAAAUUAAAUUCUUUUUAGACGACGCUGAAAAUGCUAAAAUGACGAGAAUAUAUUAAAAAAUAUAUUUUUUGGAUUUUCAUUGUUUUUCUCUAUUUUUGGAUUUUUUGAAAAUAUAUCAAAAACAUGGGUCAAAAAUUGGGUAGCAACAACAAAUAUAAAAAAAAACAAAAAAUAUUUAAAUUUGAGUCACUAAUUACCUUAUUUUGAUGAAUAAUGAAUUAAUCGACAGCUAUAUUUUAACCUUUCCGCAUUGCUUUGUAUUAUUUUUUUUUUUUUGUUAGGAUUCUAGAGAAGAAAGAUAAAAAAUUGGUAAAAAAAAUAAUUAAAUUUAACAAGUUAUAUAUUUUUUUUUACAACUUAGACGAAGAGAUAAUUUUAUAUUCAAAGAUAAUUAAUGAAAUAAUAAUUUAUUAUUAGAAAACCCAUUACUUAUUAUAUUUAAAUACUAAUAUAUAUAUAUAUAUAGGGGUGUUUUGCAGGGGCCCGGGCCCCUGCUUGCCACCCCUUUAUUCCGCCUCUGGACCCAAUAGCGGAGGGAGGAGGGGCUGGCAGGGGCCCCGGCCCUUGCAAAAAAAUACCCCUCCCUUAUAAAUAUUUAUAAUUUUAAUAAAAAUAACUGAAAUUUUUUCUAUCGGUAGGACGGUAAAAAAAACAAAAAACAAGGUUUUUAUAUCUAUUUAUCAUUCAUUAUAAUUUAUUUUUUAUUUUUUUAAUUUUCGAUUUUCUUUAUUUUUCGAUUUCUCAAUUAUAAUCUAUGGAAUAGAUUAUCACCCAAGAGUGAAAAACAACUUCUUCUUUUUUUACUAGUAUAAAUGGGGGUCACACUAUAAAACAAGGGAGAAAUUAGUUAGAGAGGAUUAGCAUAAAAAAAAUACUAAACAUUCUAUCUUAAAAAACCAAAAAAGAGAGUAAAAAAUCCAUGACCCAUAACACCCUCCAGUACACCCACAUUUAAAUAAAAAUAACAAGACCAACUCAUCAUCUUCAAGCUCCCACUGUCACCAAUAAAGAAAAAAAAAACCCAAUUUCCCAUAAAAAAAAUUAUGCCCUCCACUGCUGUAAAACAUUCAAAACUCCUUUUCUCUUUAUCAAGCAGCAAAAAAAAAAAAAAAAAAAAAACAUGACAGACCCAGUGGUAUAAGGAGGGGGGCUGGCAGGGGCCCCUGCCCUUGCAAGAAUAUACCCCUCCCUUAUAAAUAUUUAUAAUUUUUAUAAAAGUAACUGAAAUUUUUUCUUAACCUCUCUAAUUUAUAAUUUAGCCCCUCCUAAUUAUUGUUUCGUGCUCCGCCUUUGGACAGACUCCUCCCUUUCAUCUCUCUUUCUCUCACGAAGAAAAAAAGGCCACACCCUCUCUACACUCAAGUGCCUAAAUAGAUUAACUAAAGAAUUCAUGAGCACUUUUGAUAAUUAAAUAUUUUUAAAAUUCUUAAAGAAAUGAUCGUAUCUCUUAUUUAAAUAGAUGAUCUUUUAUUAAGAUUAUUCUAUUAUAUUAUAUUUAGUAUUUCAAUAAAUAAAAAAAGAGAGUAAAAAACCAUGACCCUCAGACCAUCCAGUACACACGCUUUUAAAUAAAAACAACAAGACAAACUCAUAAUCUUCAAGCUCCCACUGUAACCACUAAAGAAAAAAGAAAACCUAAAUUCCCUUAAAAAAAAAAUGCCCUCCACCACUACUGUAAAACAUUCAAACCUCCAUAACUAGCCAUCCUUUUCUCUCUAUCAAGCAACAAAUAAAAAAAACAAAAAAAAAAAACACUAAAAACCCCUCCCUUUUAUCUCUCUAUAUCAACACGCUUAUACACAAAGCUCUCCUCCACUCAAAUAUCCCAACUAAACCAAUAUAAUUUUAUAUUUUUUAAAACUCAUAAAAUCCAUUAGAUUUUAUUAAUUUUAUCAAAUUUCAUCAAGUUUAACUAAUUUUACUAAUUUUUUUAGUUUUUAAUUUUAAUUUUAUUUUAUAUAUUAGAUUCAUAUAAUUUUACUAGCCAACUUAAAAUUUAAAUGAGGAUUUCAUAUUAAAAAUUUUUCUAUGCCCAGCUAAUGGCUCUGCUGAAUGAUUUGACACAUCAUGAAAUGAAUAGAUUUUGUGACGUUGUCAGAAAAAUAAUAAUGUAAAUGAUUGAACCCAUGGAAAAGUAAAAAUGCAUUUGUAAAAUUUAUGGUCAAGUCUUUUGUUUAUCUUUGUCCGUGUUCAGCAUCAAUGAUUGGACCCACGGCAUGUAAACCGUGGGAAGUAAUAAAGGUAAUAUGCCUUCUAUGAUUGAACCUUGGGAUCUUUAAGAUUUAUGGUCAAGUGAUCUUUGUUCAGUAUAUAGCUUACCAAAAAAAAGAUCUUUGUUCAGUAUAUUGUGUUUAUCUUUUGCAUUUAAUAAAGCUAAAGCAUCAGUACGUAUGAUCAAGGCCAAAAGCUGACAGCAUACCCUACAUGUAACAUUGAGAAGCAAUAAUGCAUCUUUAAGAUUUAUGGCAAGUCUUUGUUCAUGUAAUUCAGCAUCUUUUGUUUCAUACACCAUGGAUAAUGAGCAAGACUCGAUUGAUUUGGCCGAUGACGUGGACACCUAUGGUGGUGGGGAAGAAGAAGAAGAAGACGUUGCAGAUGAUAAGGAUAGAGCAGGUGUGUUUCAGUCAGUCACAAGGACUUUUGGGGACGGCAGCAUCGGGUUGGAAAAAUCAGAUCUGGCAAAGGGUGGAGACAAUUAUCAGGUGGUGGGCUGCCUCAAUCAGAAGAUUUUCAUAAUUUUCAUAAUUUUUUAAUAAUUGAUAACGUGUAAGUUUAAGAUUAAUUUCACUAUUGUGUUUUAAUUUUUUUAUAAUCAUGAAUUAAUUAUUUUAAUUUGAUUAGUUACUAGUUAGUGGUGAAUAAAUAAUGUUUUUUUAAAUGCUAAAAUCAUAUUUAGAUUAGUCCAAUGAUUUAGAAAGGUUUAUUUACUUUGAUUUAUAUUAAAAUUUAUUUUCAUUUUUUAUUUUAUUUUAAAGUAUUAUAAAUUUUAUCAUCUUUAAUUUACAUUGAGAAAAUAUAACUUUGUAAUUAAACAAGAUUCUAAUAAUAUUUUAUUAAUUAAACAUGAUUUUUUUAAUAUACAUAUUUUCGAUACUUAACCUUUAGGCUAUGUUUGUAUAACAUCAUAAUUUAAAAAACCUUUACAAAUUAAAUAAGUGACUAAGCUUGCAUACAUACAUGUAUACAUUCCCAAUAAUAGUUUUAUACUAUUUCACUGACAAAAAAACAUAUAAUUAUACCCUAUUUCCGACCUAGGCAAUGGAGUAAUUAAAAAGAAAUUACGUAGACAUUUGCAGAUAAGCUUGCAUUAAUUGGAUGUUAAUCUAGUGUCUUACGCUGUAGGAUAAACAUGUGCCAUCGAGUUAUUGGUCCAGGUAGAAAGCCCAUUAACUCGUAAUAUCACGAAGCCCCAGUAAAAUCCAAUAUUUUAAUUUUUUUAUAUAUAUAUUAUAUAAAAAUUAGAUGAUAAUAAUAUUUUUUUCAUUUAAGGUUGAGUUAAAUUUUUUUAUUAAAACAUUUUUGUUUUUGUGUUUUAAAAAUUUAAUUUUUCAAGAUUCAAUAUUUUAAUCUAUAUUUGUCUAUCAAUUUUUCAAGCUUUACUUUUAGAUGUCAUUAAUAAUUUUUUAUUGAUUUAUUAAUGCACAUAAUUCUUAGUUUAUGUUACUAUAUAUGUGCAUAAACUUUUUGAUUUGUUAUAAUUUUUGAAAAAUUAAAAUGCAUUAAAAAAACAUGCAUAGAUAAGUUUUUAUAAAAAAUAAAAUCUCUCUCUCUCUCUCUCUCUCUCUAUAUAUAUAUAUAUAUAUAUAACAACUAUCAUCAUGACUAGAUUCCAUAAAUUACUAAAUAAACAAACAUUGAAUCUUAUAAUAUAGUUACUAAACUUAAUUUGAUAAUUGAUUUAGGAAAAAAUAUAUAUAAUCUAAAAUUUUACCUGAGCUGAGCUUCGUGUUUAACUAGAAAAAAAUAUUAAUUCAAUGAAGUCUAAUUAAUUUAUUUAGAUUUUUAGUGAUUUUAUUAAUUCAAUUAAACUAAAUCAGGUCAAUUUAAAGAAUUUUCUUUAACAAAAACAAAACUAUAUUAUUUUAACUAAAAGAAUUUAAAUUAAUGGGAUAUCUCGCAAAUUAAUUUGAUAAUUUAAAAUAUUAAUUCAAUGAAGUCUAAUUAAUUUAUUUAGAUUUUUAGUGAUUUUAUUAAUUCAAUUAAACUAAAUCAGGUCAAUUUAAAGAAUUUUCUUUAACAAAAACAAAACUAUAUUAUUUUAACUAAAAGAAUUUAAAUUAAUGGGAUAUCUCGCAAAUUAAUUUGAUAAUUUAAACUAUUUUUCAAAUUAGUUUUUGAUUUUGAAUAGAUAACUUAAAUCAUUCUACACCUACACACUGUCGGAAAAAAAUAAUGAUAUUCAUUUUUCUCUGGAAAAAGUAAUAACAUAUCUCAACCUGUAGAUUACUCCUAUUUGUCUAGCAAAACCAAGUGCAUAGAAAACUAUCAGUAACAAAAAUACAAGGCAUAUUCCUUCUGCUUCUUCUUCUCCUUCUUCUGGUUCGUUGAAUCUAACUUUCUAUCCAGAACAACGAUCACUUUUCUAAAGAGCCAAAUUAAUAUACUAAAUGAAAACAGUCACUUUUUUUAAAGAGCCAAAUUAAUGUAAUUAUUUCUUCUGGAUAAGGAUUAACAACCUAAAAAACGAAAUUUCGACAUGUUUUUGGGGUCCAUACGCCGGGAGCCACGUUCCCCAGGUCUCUUCUUGGGGUCCAUCGGCCGGGGACCAACGCAUCGAUUACCACGACGGUUAUGGCCGUGGAGAGGAGCGAGAGGGUGAGUGCGUGUCGUUUCACGGUAACAGUUUUGCCUGUUUCAGGGGUUCGAGGGAUUGUGGAGAGCGGAUGAGUGAUUUACUGUGGUGUGGUAUUUAUAGGGGGAUUUGAUUUUGACGCAGUGCGAAUUUAUUGUCUGGAGCACCGACAUGGGGGCCAUACUGGUUGAAAAACAAUUUUGGAAAGUAGCAUAAAAGAAUUGUUUUUUGGUUUUUCUUUUUCUAAAAAUAACACAGCAAAAGUGUUUUUGCAAUAGAGGUUUCUCUUAAAAUAAUUUUUUAAUUAAAAAAAAAAAUAAAAACUAAUCGAUGAUUUCAAAUUAAUGUGUAAAAAAAACUUAAGGCGUUAUUAAUAUAGAUGCAUAUUUAAAGCAAUGUGCAAUAAAAAGUAAUAAAAACGGAUUUAAAUAUACAUUCUAUUAUUUAAUUAAAAAUGGCCGAUAUGCUGCAUUAUUUUUUAGUUUGAUGAUGAAUGAUAAAAAUAAGGCCUGAUAUGAGUGUUUAAAUUUUAAUUUAAAAUAUGAUUCAAAUAAAAAUAUUUUAGUUUUUUUAUUACUAAAACAUGAUCCAAAUAUAAAUAUUCUUUAAAAUCAAGAACAAAAUAAAUUUUUAGAUAAAAAUUAAAUAUCCAGAAAACAUAUGGGCUGUAUUACAGGAGAAAGUACAAUCAAGAUAACUAAAAGCACUUUGCAAAUUUAAGACUAAUCAUGAAGUUUCUUUGUUUUUCACAUUUUGUUCCUUUCUCUUUCAAUUUAGAUUUUGAACUUAACAAAAAAUAUUUAGAUAGUAGAUAAUUUAUAUUAUUAUUAAAUCAGGCUAGUAGAUCAAUUUUAAACCCUCUCAAUAAUUUUAAACAGUGUGAGAGUUUUUUCAACAUGACUUAGUCAAUUUAACUGGUUCAAAUAUAAUCUAAUCGUGACUAGUAAAAAAGUUUGAAGAUAAAAUUAAAAAAAAAAAUUGAUAGAAAAAAAAAAGGAUGAAAAUUUUCAUUGUAAGAUUUAUUUAUAAUUUACAUAUCAAAGAUAAUCAAUUCAUACUGGGAUAAGAUAUAUUUUUUAAAAAAUAUAUUGUUGAUAGCUAAAUUUGUCCCUAUAAUGUUUCUCUAAUUUUUCCUUGCAUCUUUAAUUUGAUCAAUCUUAUCUUUAAAUACAUUAUUCAGUUCUAAUAAUUUAUCAUUCGGCAGGAGAUGUUUAGACAAGUCCACUAAAAUUAGUUGUGAAAUUGAUAAUAAAUGUAAUUUUGACAUGUUGAUUUAAAAAUCUCAUAAAUACAAAAUUAACAUAUUUAAAAAAUAAAAUAAAUCUCUAAUUUUAAGAUAAAUCAUCAAAGAAUAGCAAAAACAAAAAUAUAAAUAUAGGAAAAUAGAUACAAUGAUCACUAGAGAGCAUAAAUGAUCGCUAGAGAGCAUAAUUAUGAUGUAAAUGGAACAACACAGCAUUAACAACAAGUAUAAGCAAAAUAAAAUUCUACUAAAUAGGGUUAAUAUACAAAAACUCUCAAUUCAAAAUCUUAUUACUUAAUAUUUUCUUUCUAGUAUUCUCUUGAAAUUCAAGCUAACCAACUUUGUUUUGUCCCUUUCUAUACCUAAGCUCUUCACCGGCUUCGCCGGAUCUUGCUAAGACAAACCUUGGAUGUUGAUGGAGAGAAUCCUGCUUGAAACAGGAAGUUGGCAGAGGCAGAAUCGGCAUCUGUCCUGCCUGCUCGAAAGCCUGUCUUAGCAAUCCUGCUUUAGAUUGCUAAUAAAAAGGACUUAUUCCAUUCAAACUUCUUAGGUUUCGAAACAAUCUUUGGCAAAUUUAUUUUUAAUUAGUCUUAUUCAUAAAAGUAUCCUAAGACAAUAAUUUAGCUUCGACAUUGAUGCAAUAUUUAUAUCAAAAAAGUCUCUUUAGACGUUUAAUGUUUAUGUAUUGUAAAUUUAUUUGUAUUUAUUUUCGUUAUACAAAAAAGUAAGGUAUACCUUUUAUAUCUACCUAUGUAUCUAACUGGUCCAAGUUUAAGAGUUUUUCAUAAAUAGACAUUACAAUACUACUACGUGGAUUGAGCCUAUGGGUUGAUAUGAAAUAUAAUUAAUUUAGAAUCUGGAGCGGUUUAAAUUAAAUAAAUAAAUAAUUUAGUUGAUUUGAUAAAAAAAUUUAAGUUGAUCUACUGAUCAAUCAACAACCGGCUCUCAAUUUCUAGAAUUUUUUUUAUAAAAAAAUAUUGUUUUUAUUGUAUUAAAAAAACAUUUGAAAAUUGAUUCAGGAUGAUCUUUUUAACUCAUAACCUGUAUUUUAUCUUGAUCAACUCUAUAUCAAGUUUUACAAUUAUAUUAGAUUUAUUAAUCCUUACGGAAUUAUUUUGGAUCCAUAUCCAAUAUAAAAAUGUGAUCCAAUAUUUAAUAUUAAAAUUGUAGUUGCAUAAAUCUAAUGAGUUUGUAAAGUAGAUAAUAUCAUAAAAUUAUCCUUUACACAGGCUAUAUAUAAAUGAUGGCAAAUAAUAAUAUUAUUCAAUUCACGAUAUUACCAGCAGCCAUAACAGCACAAAUAAAUCAUUGCAGACAAAGCAAACACACAUAUUUUCUCAUGGAGUCUCUCACGCACACAUCAAUGUUCUCUUGACACCACCACAUAAUUAGACUCAAGCAAUUACAAAAUAAAAAAGAGGCAGAAGGUUUUCAUAACCAAACUUAACAUUACCAAUUAGCUAAGAAAUUGGCUCUAUUUCCAACACCCUGGAACACGCACCGCAUAGUCCUCCAAUACUUGCUGAUGGAGUAUCAUCGCCUUCAGAAAUCUCAUCAAUUCUUUUCUCACCUUCAAGUACACUAACGACUUCAGAUAUUUUAGGCCUGAGAGUAGGAGACAGAUUAACGCACUUCAUUGCUAACAGCAAAACAGUGAGAGCCUGCUUCCUGUUGUAACUGGAUGCUAAUUUCUUGUCCACCAAGUCAAGGAUUCCUCCCUUAUCGUGCAAAACACCAGCCUGCAAUUACAAAGCAAGAUUAGCUUAGCUCCGAGUAUUAAGGAAAUAAUCUAGUAAAUAUUUCUGAUUAUUUUCUAUUCAAUAAAAAACAAAUCAAGGAAUUAAAUAAUUCUAGGUAAUCAAGAAAUUAUUUCAAUCAUCCGAUACAAUCAACUAUAUUUCCUAUAUUUUAUUUUAUUUUAUUUACUUAUGUGUCUUGUUAUAUAAUUAUAUAAACUUCAUAUAGGUUGAAUAUAACACAUAUAUCAAAUUAUUGAAUAAUAAUAUCUUUUUUUAUUUUAAAUUUCUUCCUAGUAUAGCGAUCUCUAAAUAUUAGCUUUUGUAUUUUCAUGAGUUGAAUGUAACACAUAUAUCAAGUUAUUUUAUGUUGAUAGAAUAUGUUUGGUUUGAUAAUAACUAUGAAAAAAAAAAACAAAGGGUUUAUCCUGUAAGAUCCACCUACUUUAUCCAGAAGAAACUCAGCUUCUUGGUUUGGUGUGUAAUCUGCACUAAUUUUCCCGCUAACUAUUUCGAGUAGGACAAUUCCAAAACUAUAAACAUCAGCUUUAACAGUUAUUGCUUUUCCCAUUGAAUACUCAGGUGCCAUGUAAACUCUGCAAGAAGAGAUUAUUUAUUGGUUAGCUCUUAAUUAAAAGAAUGAAAGUAGUUGUCAAUCAAUGAUCAUAAUACUUACCGCGACCCUUUUGCUUUGAUGGCCAUAAAUGGAUCUUCCUCAUCACAAAGCGUUGCCAAUCCAAAGUCAGACAACUUGGCCGUAAGAGAGUUAUCAAGCAAAAUAUUACUAGGUUUUAUGUUUCCAUGAACAAUCUUGAACCUUUUCUCUUCAUGUAAAUACUUCAAACCUCUCGCUAUUCCCAGACAGAUACCAAAUCUAGCUUUCCAAUCAAGUUUUGUCGUGGAAUUUGGUU